Molecule: long non-coding RNA, 102858 nt
Filed under: Triticum aestivum (bread wheat)
Lineage: Eukaryota; Viridiplantae; Streptophyta; Magnoliopsida; Poales; Poaceae
Description: long non-coding RNA (TAES_LNC028382)
Source: RNAcentral
UAGACAACGGUAGUAGUUGGAACUAGAUACAAACCAAUAAAAAACAAGAUCUCAAAUCUCCAACCAAUAAAGAGUUCAACCCAAAUUUUACAGUAACACCAUUAUAUUCAAAUAGUGAUUAUUCCAACACAUGGAUAAUUAAUUAAGGCACCAGGUUGCCCUUGUGACUAGGAAAGACAAACUUAUGAACUUGCAAGCAUGGCAAUCAGAUCGACAUCCACACAAUGCCAAUAUGAACAUUGUCUUGAUACAACUUUAUUUUUAUUUUAUUUCAGAAUUUAAACAACUAGUAUGGGCGGGUCACACACGACAUUGUGUGACACUUUAUUUGUCACCGCUGCAUCGACAUAUCCAUCGACUAAACAACGGUGAUCCAACUAUAUAUUACUAGAGACCUUUCCUUAUUAGUAGGAACCAACUCCGGUGCCAACACCGAAUGGCACACUAGUGGUGGUUCUAUACAACGGCACAUUGACACGGCACAUCGUUGGCAGGGUACGGAGCGCAAUGGAAGUCAUCACCUCAAGCUGAGCUAUCUGGUGUGGCUGCAAAAAGGUACCUUGUGCCAAUUGUUGUUGUUGAGGUUGUUGCCCGAGUUGUUGUUGUGACUGCUGUUGGGGUUGGGAAACACAUUGGCCCAACUGUUGGGGUUGCUGCUGAGGAGUUUGGAUGGAACCCUGAACCUGUUGUUGUUCUUGCAGGAUGAUGGAGUAGAUGAUAGCACGGAUUGCCUCAUAGCGGGAUUGCUGGGGGAUUUGCGGCAACUGCUGGCAACAUUGUUGUUGCAUCACAUGGCAACUGCUCUGCUGCAACAUUUGCGACCUAGCAAGACUUUGUGGCAUUGCCACAGGGCUGCAUUGCUGCUGGAGGAAUACCUUGCAUGGGUUUAGCUGCUGCAAGAUAGAUGGAUGAACAAAUGGUAUUUGUUGUUGCGGUAGAACUAGUUGUUGUUGUUGCUGCGAAAAUGGUGGUUGUUGCGGUAGACUUGGUUGUUGUUGUUGCAAAAAUGGUGGUUGUUGCUGUAGUACUAUUUGUUGUUGUUGCGAAAACGGUGAUUGUUGCUGUGAAAAUGGUGGUAGUUGUUGCUGUGAAAAUGAUGGUUGUUGCGGUAGAACUGGUUGUUGUUGCUGCGAAAAUGGUGGUUGUUGUUGUGAAAAUGGUGGUUGUUGUUGCUGCGAAAAUGGUGGUUGUUGUUGUGAAAANNNNNNNNNNNNNNNNNNNNNNNNNNNNNNNNNNNNNNNNNNNNNNNNNNNNNNNNNNNNNNNNNNNNNNNNNNNNNNNNNNNNNNNNNNNNNNNNNNNNNNNNNNNNNNNNNNNNNNNNNNNNNNNNNNNNNNNNNNNNNNNNNNNNNNNNNNNNNNNNNNNNNNNNNNNNNNNNNNNNNNNNNNNNNNNNNNNNNNNNNNNNUGGUUGUUGUUGCUGCGAUAAUGGUUGUUGUUGUUGCUGCGAAAAUGGUGGUUGUUGUUGUGAAAAUGGUGGUUGUUGUUGCUGCGAUAAUGGUUGUUGUUGUUGUUGCUGUGAACAUGGUUGCUGUUGUGAAAAUGGUUGUGGUUGUUGUUGGAUGGGUUGUUGUUGUUGGUGGUGCGAUAAUGUUUGUUGUGGUGGUAAUGGUUGUUGCUGCGAUGGUCUCUCCAAACCAGGGAUGUGGCUAUUCUCCAUUUGUGCAAUGGCACUUGUCGCCACAAUGGCGAGGAGAGCAAAGAUGAGGAAGGUCUUCAUGGUGGAUUGGUGUUAACCAGUGUUGCUUGGUUUUGAUGCUUGUGCUUGUGAUGAUCUUUAUACUUCAUGCCUAUUUAUAGUAGCCCGGGCACCACCUCUUUUCUUCUUUGCAUUAGCUUUAAUAAUUCUGUUUGGAUGCAUCUAAAAUGAUUUUUGGUACAAUGUGUUAGGUUGCACUAGCUACACGCGUACUUUUGGAUUGAUCAUCAAAGUUGCUUUUUAGUUGUGCAUAUGAUCACACACAAAGUACAGAAACCUUGAUGUUUGGUACAUAUGACUCACCUUAUUCACUUUACAUGUCACACACUUAUCUGGAUAGUAUCACUUUUGCAACCGAGUUUGGAACCUUGUAUAGGCUGUCAUCCAUAAACAAGAAAGGCAAAACUUGUGUAGGACUAAGUUUGCAAUCGGAGGGUUCUUCUAGACUCGAUUUCUUUUCGUAAAACUAACUUUGUAUUUUUCCUCUAAGAUGAUAAGAUGAACCGACGCCUAUAGAGCAUGACAUGACUCAUCGAAUUCCCUUUACAUGUAAAGGAUGGUAAUUGCUUACAAGCUACUCCUACUAGCAUAUAUCCGGUUCCAAGCCUAGACACGUCAUCAUCAGUUUCGUCUAUUUUUUUAGAUAAAUCAUCAGUUCUAUCUAUUUGUGAAGGGUUUUUUUGGGGGGAAAUGAUAGUUUUUUUAUGCUAGGGGGGUUUUUUNNNNNNNNNNNNNNNNNNNNNNNNNNNNNNNNNNNNNNNNNNNNNNNNNNNNNNNNNNNNNNNNNNNNNNNNNNNNNNNNNNNNNNNNNNNNNNNNNNNNNNNNNNNNNNNNNNNNNNNNNNNNNNNNNNNNNNNNNNNNNNNNNNNNNNNNNNNNNNNNNNNNNNNNNNNNNNNNNNNNNNNNNNNNNNNNNNNNNNNNNNNNNNNNNNNNNNNNNNNNNNNNNNNNNNNNNNNNNNNNNNNNNNNNNNNNNNNNNNNNNNNNNNNNNNNNNNNNNNNNNNNNNNNNNNNNNNNNNNNNNNNNNNNNNNNNNNNNNNNNNNNNNNNNNNNNNNNNNNNNNNNNNNNNNNNNNNNNNNNNNNNNNNNNNNNNNNNNNNNNNNNNNNNNNNNNNNNNNNNNNNNNNNNNNNNNNNNNNNNNNNNNNNNNNNNNNNNNNNNNNNNNNNNNNNNNNNNNNNNNNNNNNNNNNNNNNNNNNNNNNNNNNNNNNNNNNNNNNNNNNNNNNNNNNNNNNNNNNNNNNNNNNNNNNNNNNNNNNNNNNNNNNNNNNNNNNNNNNNNNNNNNNNNNNNNNNNNNNNNNNNNNNNNNNNNNNNNNNNNNNNNNNNNNNNNNNNNGCCGCCACCGCUCGACAAAAAAGGUCACUUUUGUAGCUCCCCCGUCGAUUGCGGGCCGUACGUCGACGGCAGCCACUCCGACCUCCCCGUCAACACAAGGUAUCGAUCUGUUUCGUCUGUCUCUUCCAGCGAUUCAAUGCACAUAAAUCCGAGAGGCAGACCCAUCUCCAUGCUAGCUGCACGGAUCAGGAGGGUCAGGCAUCAGAAUUCAGCUGGGAAGCCUGACACUAAUGUACAUUUGUGGCUUUAGUAGCUGAAUAUAACUAUGUGUUUUCUGAGAAUUUCACUUCAAAAGUUCCAAUAAUCAUCAAAUUUCCGCCUAUGCGCGCUAAGCAGGUGGACCAUAUAUUUCUCAUGUCGACGAACGAAAAAACAAAACUCCACAACUAGAAGUCUAUGAUAUUGACACGGAACCGUGCUGUAGGGUCGCAAGUAAAAAUAUGAAAAGCAUGCCUAACACUACUAGGAAAAGGGCUAUAGAUGGAAUUGACACUAAUGACGCACCAGACAUGUGGUGCGCCAUUAGUAUAUACUAAUGGCGCACCAUCUUCUGAUGCGCCAUUAGUGUUGAAAUUACUAAUGGCGCACCCUGCCCACGGUGCGCCAUUAGUACCAAUUUUUUUUUGAACUAGUGCGCCUGUCCAAACAUACUAAUGGCGCAUCCGCUGGUGGUGCGCCAUUACUAGUUGUAACUAGUAAUGGUGCACCAGCCAGAGGGUGCGCCACUAAAGUUAUUUUUUUUAUUAUUGUUUUUAUUCCUUUUUUUGCAAAAGUACUAAUGGCGCACUCACACGCGGUGCGCCAUUACUAGUUCAAACUAGUAAUGGCGCACCGUGGCAGAGUGCGCCAUUAGUAUGUUUUUUUUUCAAAACUACUAAUGGCGCACCACCUGGUGGUGCGCCAUUAGUAACCUGGAUUACUAAUGGCGCAUUUGUUGCUGGUGCGCCAUUAGUAAGUGGGCAGCAACAAGAUAUUUUGGACAGCCUCUCCUCCCACACUCACUUUCUCCCCAUUUCAUUCUCUCCACCGCCUCCUCAUGUCUCGGGUGCCUCCUCUUUUUCACCUCAUUUCCACCAUAGAUUCAUUCAAAUUAAGUGGUUAAGUUACCUUGUUUUGCUAGGUAAGUAAGGGGGGAAGCUAUAUUUAUGUUGUUCUCCCUACAACAGUGUGCACAUGCACUUUUUAUGGCCUAGCUAGAUCUAUGUAUGUUCGUGGUGUUGCAUAUGUUUGUGGUGUUGCAUAUGUGUUUGUGUUUGAAGGUGUACCGGUAUUUGAAAUGCGAUAGUUGCCAAUAUUUUGCCGGAAUGUUGAUUCAUUUCCGUUUCGGCGAGAAUUUUGGCAUUAAGCAUUCUUUUUGGUCCUAUUUUUAGGGAAAGUCAUGCCAAAUUUUUUCUUGGUUCUAAAAUAUCGUUUUGCUCUACCCCGCAGGCGACCAUGGUCCGCACGAUGACCGAAGGCAUCGUGAAUAGGUUUUUGAGGUCCACGAAGGCCGAGAUGCUUCAAAAGAACGAGACGGAGAUAAGAUGUCCGUGUCGAAGAUGCAAGCUGAAUAGCCUUAUUGCGGACCCGGAUUCCGGGCAGGUGCGGGACCACCUGCUCUUGCGUGGUUUCAUGGAUGGCUGUCGGUGGCAAGGUGAUGAAGAUGACUACGAAGUCGUCCAUGGGGGCCGGGCAAGAAAUGAGGAAGGGCAGCAAGACAACCACCGCGGCUCGGGGGGGCGAGAAGAAGAAGAAUCCCCAGGAGAUGAUCACGACGGUGAUGUUGUACACAGUCAUCAUGUAGAAGAUGCAGGACAUGAUGAUGAUGCCGGCGGAGCAGACGACGCUGGACCAUCGAUGGGCUGGGUGCAGGACCCUCAUAUUCAAGAGCUGCUUCUCAAGCAGACGGAUAACGCAAGAGCUGCCGCCCGAGAGAAAGCCAAGAUGGAUCAACUUGAGUUAGACGCGGUUACUCCAUUGUAUGAAGGAUGCAGGCCCGAGGAUACCCGCCUGAAAGUAACACUCAUGGCUCUGGAGAUGAAGGUAAAACACAAAAUGACCGACGCAUGCUUCGACGAGAACAUGUCAUUCUGGCACGAACGUCUUCCCAAAGGGAACAAGUGCCCGACCAGUUUGGAGGAGGCGAAGAAAAUCGUGUGUCCUCUGGAUUUACCGCACGUGAAAUACCAUGUGUGCAUGAACAAUUGCAUCAUUUAUCGGGACGAGCACGCGGAGUCUACCAUAUGUCCGGUGUGCGGUGUCACUCGAUACAAGAAGGGGAAGAAAGCUCCUCGAAAAGUGGUGUGGUACUUUCCGAUCACUCCUCGUCUGCAGCGGUAUUUCGCGGACCCUAAGGUAGCAAAGCUCCUGCGUUGGCACGCGGAUAGGGAGGAGAAGAAGCGAGAAGAUGACGCAAAUGAUACGGAGAUAGAUAAAAAAGACAAGAUGCUGAGUCACCCUAAGGAUGCGAGCCAGUGGCAAGCGUUGAACUUCGAAUAACCAGAAUUUGGGAACGAUCCAAGGAACAUCGUGCUGGGCGCGAGCACCGGUGGAGUCAAUCCGUUUGGCAGCCAGAGAAGCACACAUAGCACCUGGCCUGUGUUUGUGUGGAUGUACAACCUUCCCCCCUGGUUGUGCAUGAAGAGGAAGUACAUUCACAUGAGUAUGCUAAUUGAAGGGCCGAAACAACCAGGGAACGACAUCAAUCUGUAUCUGGGGCUGCUGAAAGAGGAGCUUGACACGCUGUGGAAAACGCCCACCAAUACGUGGGACGCCGCAGAGAAAGAAUAUUUCCCUAUGAGAGCCGCACUGCUCACGACGGUGCACGACUAUCUCGGUUACGGAUAUCUUGCGGGGCAGGUAGUCCACGGAUUUUCUGGAUGCGUAAGGUGCAUGGAUGACACAACGUAUCGCCAGCUAGAUAGAGACGAUGACCCGUGGAGGAAACGCAAGGAUCUGUUCGAUGGUGAAACCAAACCCCGAAAACGCCCGUGUACGAGGAGCGGCGAGGAAAUAGACAAGCUGUUGAAAAAUCGGAAAGACUGCCCACUGCCGGGAAAGAAGCAAAAGGUGCCAGAGCCGGGAAAGAAGCGAAAGGCGCCAGAGCCGCUGCUGAAGCUAUGGAAAACGAGGUCUGUUUUCUGGGACUUGCCGUACUGGAAGAUCCACCGUGUGCCUCACAGCCUUGAUGUCAUGCAUAUCACGAAGAACGUGUGCGAGAGUCUGCUUGGUACCCUGCUCAACAUGCCAGAGAGGACCAAAGAUGGGCCGAAAGCGAGGGCAGACUUGAAAUCAAUGGGCAUCAGGCAGGAGCUUCACGCUAUAUAUGAUGAUGAUGAUGAUGAUGAUGAUGAUGAUGAGGCGAAGCAGGACACAGAAAGUCGUCGCAAAGGCAAAAAGGCCAAGAAGACCGGAAAUGACUACCCUCCCGCGUGCUUCACUCUAAGUCAGGAGGAGAUCGAGCAGUUUUUCACCUGCCUCCUAGGAGUAAAACUUCCUUACGGUUACGCGGGGAAGAUAAGCAGAUACCUAGACCCAGCGAAGCAGAAGUUCAGCGGGAUGAAGUCUCACGAUUGUCACAUGCUGAUGACGCAGAUACUUCCAGUUGCAAUCCGUGGGAUCAUGGACGCGCACGUCCGUGAAACGCUAUUUGGCCUAUGCAACUUCUUCGACGUCAUCUCUCAGAAGUCGAUUGGCAUGAGGCAACUCAGAAGGCUACAGGAAGAGAUCGUGGUGAUACUAUGCGAGCUUGAGAUGUACUUCCCGCCCGCAUUCUUCGAUGUUAUGGUGCAUCUGCUGGUCCAUAUAGUGGGGGAUAUCAUCCAACUCGGGCCGAUGUUCCUGCACAGCAUGAUGCCGUUCGAAAGGAUGAAUGGUGUCAUCAAAGGAUACGUUCGCAACAUGUCACGUCCAGAAGGAAGCAUAGCCAGGGGCUUUCUGACCGAAGAGUGCAUCUACUAGUGCGCGAAUUAUCUAGGCAUCGAGAACCCCGUUGGUCUGCCCGUCAACAGGCACCUCGGCAGGCUCGCUGGAUGGGGUCACCGUGAGGGUCGCCGCGAAAUGCAUGUCGACUUCGAGGGUCGACUCGCCGACUUUGAAAGAGCAAACCUAGUCGCGCUACAACACAUAGACGUGGUCGAUGCUUGGGUGGUAGAGCACAAAACCUUUAUUAAGAAGACGUACAAUGACCGAGGCCAACAGAGGACGGACGGAGAUAUACUCAAAGAGCACAACUCAUGUUUCACGCGUUGGUUCAAGCAGAAGCUUCUGUCGUACCCUUUACAUGAGGAUUCUUCCGCGGAAGAACAACUCAUAUUCGCCUUGUCACAGGGCGCCGAGCACAACCUGAUGACCUAUGAGGCGUACGAUAUCAACGGCUACACAUUCUACACCGAGGCCAAGGACAUGAAGAGCGAUGGUUAUCAGAACUCCGGGGUAACGAUGGAAUCCUACACCGGUAACGACAAGGACAGAUACUACGGAAGGAUCGAGGAGAUCUGGGAGCUGAGCUAUGCUGGAGAGAAGGUCCCGAUGUUCCGUGUCAGAUGGGCCAAGAACGUCAUAAAAGAAGACCGGUAUUUCACCACCAUGGUUAUACCCGGAGCCAAAUCCAAGACCGCGAGCGCAAACGUCACCGCGAAAAAUGAGCCAUGGGUACUGGCUUCCCAAGUGGACCAAUGCUUCUUCAUUACCGACCCGCCAAAGCCCAGUCGUGUUGUCGUGAGGAGAGGCAAAAGGAAGAUCAUCGGAAUGGAUGGAGUAGCCAAUGAGCAAGACUUCGACAAGUACGGCGACCCGAGGAUCGAACAUGACGACGAUGAUGAAGUAGCAGCAUACACCACAAGAAGAAGCAGGACCACCCUACCUAAAGGACGUCCGUUCCACAGAAGAACUCCAUUUGCGAAAAAGAAGGGCAAGAAGAUUGUGAACAGAUAGCUAGCUAAGAUCGAUUGUAUUUAAAUCGUAGCCUUCAUUUCUCGAUUGUAUUUCAUGGGUACUUUUUGAACUAUCAUGAAUAUUUUUAAAUUUAAUGGACACUCGAUCUCGAUCCCCCUCCAUCUCGAUCGCUAUCCCACCUCGCCAGAUCCGGUCCCCCUCGCCGCCAAGCACCCCCCCAGCCCACCGGCCGCCGCCGCCGACCCCCCGCACCCUCGAUUCCCCUACCCAACCGCCGCCGCCGACCCACCGCACCCCGCGCACCCUCCCCUGCUCCACCAGCAUUACUGUUUGAUGAUAUUUUUAAAAAAAUUAUUAUUGUCUUAUAAAAAAAUAUUACUGUUAUGAUUUAAACAAGUUUGAACAUAUUUAAACACAAAUAAGUAUCAAACAGGUUUUUAAAUGCUAAAAAAAAUUUGUGGAGCCUGGGAGUCGAACCCAGGACCUCCUGGUGUGAGAACUGGCUGCUGACCAGUCGAGCUAGUAGAGGGGACUUGAUGUGGAUCAAUUCUGGUGGUACAUAACCUGUUGGCUCGAGUUGAAAUAAAAAAAAUACUAAUGGCGCACCACGGUGAGGUGCGCCAUUAGUAUGGAUGUACUUAUGGCGCACCGAGGGGUGGUGCGCCAUUAGUAUUGUGCCCGAUCCCUUCCCUCUCCCCCUUCGCCCGAUCCCCCCUUCCCUCUCCCCCUUGCCAGUUCCCUCUCCCUCGAUCCACCGCCGCCGCCGCCGCUGCCCUGACCCACUGCGCCGCAGCCGCCCACGCGCCCCCGCCGCCUCCCUCUCCCCUUCCUCCCCCUCGAGCCCGCGCCGUCCGCCCAAACCUAACCCGACGCCGUCCGCCGCGCCCGCUCCACCGCCGCCGCCCUGCCUCUCCGCCCUCUCCCUCCCUCNNNNNNNNNNNNNNNNNNNNNNNNNNNNNNNNNNNNNNNNNNNNNNNNNNNNNNNNNNNNNNNNNNNNNNNNNNNNNNNNNNNNNNNNNNNNNNNNNNNNNNNNNNNNNNNNNNNNNNNNNNNNNNNNNNNNNNNNNNNNNNNNNNNNNNCGUCGCCCCGCCGCCCCGACACCACCGUCCGUCGCCCCGCCGCCCCGCCGCCCCUCUCGCAGCAAGGUAUGCGGCUGGUUCGUCCCCUGUCAUGGUUCUCUCUUCGUUUAUUUUCCUGAAAUCUCUGCUGUUCAUUGGCCGAUGAUGUCUUACAAGUAAAAUAUCUGGCAAACUUGUGCUGUAAACUGUACAUUGCUGAGGCUGUGGGCAACCUGUUCUUCUCUUUGCCAUACUAGUGCUUUUGUUCAUUGGCCGAUGAUGUCUCUGUUGGUUUACGUCCCCGGCAAAUUAGGUACCCGUGAACCAUUUAUAGGCCCAACUUUCUUACUCUCAAUGACCACAAUGUGCUUAUUUUGUUAGGAUUGUGCAUUUGCGCGAUUUGUGCAGUGCUUAUUUGUUGGCACCUCACCAGCUUUCAAAUUCAGCAUUUGUAACACAGUUCAAUUUGAUCUAAGGGCCUAUCUUGUCUCAUUUCCAACAUGUAAUAAACUUCCCCCGAGGCCAUAGAUGAGAAUACUUCUUUCAGUACAUUUUGCUGAUUUCUCACUGUUGAAUACUUCAUUUCUGUUUGCCUUUGGCCAAAGAUGCAUUCAGUUCUUUCUGCCCUUAGCGGUUUGAUUCAAGUUUGUCAGGUUCUGUUAACUAAAAAGGUUCAGAUUCAGAAACAUUGUUGGACUACUAGGAAGUUGGACUACUAGGAACAUGUUUAGAUUCAGGUUCUGUUAACUAAAAAAGUUCAGGUUCUGUUAACUAAAAAAGUUCAGAUUCAGAAACCUGUAAUUUCUACUUUUAUGCCUCUGUUACUCCAGUCAAAAUUUUAUGUUUGAUGCCCAUGGUAGUUGAGCUCUCACCUCACCUCACGCAACAUGCAUGAUGCCACAAUGUCUAGUAUGUACUGCCAAGCAACUGGCAAAUAAUUAUAACUUAGAAUAAAUAAAUCUGAUGUAAGAUAAGCAUGGCAUGAGCUUUAAUUAAAUAGCAUAAUACACGUUGGUAGUCCAUCUCUCUCAAAAAAAAUACAUGUUGGUAGCAGAAAAAAAUACAUGUUGGUAGCAGAAAUUUUUUUGAGCCCUUAUUAGCUACUCACACUAUUUGCCCCGCAGUUUCUCUGUCAUGGCUACCAAGUGAUUGACGGUGGGCUAGAAAAAUAAAACCACCAAACUAUCAGUAAAAGAUGUGAACCAACAUCUUUCAUUGUUAUGCAUAUCAAACACCAAGGGUUAUUUUCACUUAAAGUUUUAGAAUGGGUGCAUUACAAUUCAGUCUGAUAUCUAAUAAGACACUCUGGGCUGAUAUAAUUAUGGAACAGAACCAACCAUGAUAAAUAAAAGGUGAUGUUGUCUAUGCAUUACCAAAAAUGUAUCUUUGUGAACAAAUAAAUUGGUACCAACAGCAAUGCCAUCUUACUGUAGAAUUAGAAUACAUGGACAUGAUCAGCUCAGCUCCCAAACUGCCAUUCAUCACAUCAAUUUCCCCUUAUGUAACUCCAGUCAAAAUUUUAUGUUGGUCUACCUAGUAGAUGCCCAUGGUUUGAUUUUAUGUUUGUUCCUAUCAAUACAAAUGCUGAGCUAUGUUCCAUUUUUACUGUUCUUUGUGAUAGUUUUUGCAACUUUACUUCCCAUCUUAAGGCAAGCCCCAUUUUUACUGUUCUUUGUUAGCAGAGCUGCUUGUUUCUAAGAACUUUGAUACUAUUUGGAUCAAAGUUAAAUGAGCACAUAGAUGACAAAAAAAAGUUCAGAUUGUAAAAUGUUCAUUUUGCUGCUAGUGCCCAUUUUGAGUAAUUGCUUAGAGGGAUGAUCCUGUGUGAGCUGGUGGAGUGAUUUGUUUUCUACAUAAAGCUCUUUAGUCAGGCUGGUUUUCGUGAAAUACACAUGAAGCUUCACCAGCUCCUGUGGGUGUGGGAUCCAUGUGACAUGUGACAUUGCAUCCAUGUCCACCUGGGAUAAUGAUUUUGCAUGUACCCCGAGAGGCCCUUAAGUUUGCCGGAAUGUCGAUUAACUUCCGUUCCGGCAAAUUCGGGUACUCCAUAUGUCCUAUUUUCAGCAAAGGUCAUGCUGAAAUUUUCCGUGAAUUUUAGCAUGACUUUGCAAAAAAUAGGACAUAUGGGGUACUUGUGACUAAUGCAUGGGCCGGGGUAUCAUAGUAGUUAAUUAAGUAGGAUCAAGUGCCCCGGCGUACUUGUGACUGAUGCAUGGCUUUUAGGGUGCCUCGGUGUUGAUAAAAACCGAAAUGAUGAAAGCUUAGGCUUUUAGGGUGCCUCGGCGUCGAAAAACCCUCAAUGAUAAAAGCUUAGGUCUUAGGAUGCCUCGGUGUCGACAAACCCUAAAUGAUGAGACCAUGUCUUGUUCCUUGACAAUAACCAACUUUUUGACCAAACUUUGUUUCUAUUUAGAGAGAAACAUGGCCCACAACGAUGAGGCCGGGGGUUCGGGCGGCAAGGCAUUCUGGGAGCUGUCCCAGGAGAUGGAGGAACAACCUCACUUGUAUGAGGCCGCCGCCUUCCCCACCGAUCCUGAGACCACUGAUGGUGCCGCCGAGGAUGACCACACUGAUGCCACCACUGAUGGUGCCGCCGAGGAUGCCACCACUGAUGAUGGCAGCGCCCGCACAGAUGGCAGCCAACCGAAGAGGCAACGGAAGGACCGACGCCCGAUCGUGCUCCUCACCCUCAAGGAGGAAGUUACUGAAGUGGACUCCAACGGGUAUCCAACGGCGCCCGAACGAAUAGUCAAGGGGUACUCGCUUCAGCUCGGGUGCAUUGUCCGGAGCACCGUCUCGAUCAACACCGAGAACCUGAGGCAUCCUGACCGAGGGAAUUUGUGCCACCUCCUCUUCACGAAGCUGCACGAAUGAUACAAGUUCCCCGCUGAAUUUGCAAACAGAAGCCUCAAAGGGAAUAAAGUGAACAAUGCUGCCCUCACGAAGAUGAGCAAGGCCCUGUCUACUUGGAAAAGCAAUGUGAAGAAAAUGAUCGAUAAAGGUGAGAGUUAUCAGAAGAUCAAGGAGAAAAAUCCUUCGAUCACCAAAGAUGACUACAAUGACUUCAAGAUCAAUUGCUCGAGCACCGCAAGCUCCCAAUCAAGUGAGUGGGGGAAACAAAUGCGGGAGCUGAACAUAGGGGAACACACACUCGGUCCCGACGGUUACAGAGUGGCGGAGCCUAUAUGGGACAAGGAGGAGGCGGACCGUGCCGAGCAAGGCCUACCGCCCCUCUUCGAGAAAUACAGCGGUAACAAGCAGACCAGGAACUUUGUCAGGGCCCGGUACAAGAAGGACCCGAAAACAAAGGAGCUUACCACGGAUCCGAAGACCAGGCAGCUUGAGCUUGUUCUGGUAAGGAAUACACCCCCGCGUAAUUAGCUCCAUAUGGUUGCAUUCUAAUUAAUGAAGCCAAAUUUCUAAAUGGUUCACAUUCCUUCCGCAGGCGACUGAAAGCAGUAGCGCGGGGUCGACUAAGAGCAACCCUUGGGACACCACUCUAAAUAGGGCGAUGAAUGUAAUGAAGAAGAAGGAUAAGCUCAGUAAGCCGACGUCAGCUGGUCGUGUGGCCGGCAAAGGCUUGUCGACAAAAUGGGGGUCAUACUAUACCGCUGGUGUGCGGAAGGAGAAAAAGACCAGCUCGGAAAGCCAGGCGCGAGAGGAUCAAGAACUCAAGGAACAGGUGACGCGGAUUCCGGAGAUUGUCCAAGAGCAAGUGGAACAAUGACUCGGAGCGACGAUCACCGCCAUUGUGCCUACCUUGAUCUCGGGGUUGAGUGCGUGGAUUGCGGGCGGCCAACAGGGGCCGCCCCCGAUUCCUAGCUUCACGGCCAGCAACUCGCAUAAUGCGAUGGCGGGGCCAUUGGUGCCUCCGGCGGAGGCGGCAUUGGUGUCUCCGACGCCGGCACGGGAGCUUAAUGCACCCGGGUGUACGCCGGCCGGCACCUCUGCAGCAAGCGGCCCCUCCGUCAACUGCACGCCCGCCGUUGGCGGUGCGUCGACAUUAGCCGAGCUCGACGCCAUCAACACGGUAACUAAUUAAGCCUCUCUCGGCCGAGGACUUCAUCUCCUUGCCUUUGACUAGGCAUCCCUGACGCCCUACAUGUUUUCGCAGGGCGCCGCCGACGUUCCGUGCACUCUCCUCCACUUCGUGAACAACGAGUUGGUCGAUGUCGCCAAGGGCAAAAUCGUUCAACCGGCAACCCCUUGUUCCACGGUACCCAGAUGCCACCCAACUUGUUUAGGGUUCAACUGGUUCGGGUGUUGCCAGGCUGCGACGACUUGUUACCUCUGAUUCGACCCGUUGGGGCCGACGAUGAAGACGUGAUGACCCUCAGCGCCUGCCUGAGCUGGCCCCUAGUUUGGCCGAAGAGCCAGAUUCGUUUGGGGGCGGGGGACACCACCCCAAAGACAACACCGCCAGUCGUGCUGGUGCCAAGUCGGCCCCAUGGCAAGACCGCCGUAACGGUGCCGGACAUCCCUAUGCCACUGGAUCCAAACAUGCAUAUGGCACAGGAUCAGAAUGACGACGACAACGACGAUGAUACAUUUGGCAACGUCGAUCAGUACUUUGCCGAUCAUGGGUACGAUGGCGACUUCAUGGGGCCUCCUUCUCAAGAACCAAACCCAACAAAAGACGUGUGCGAUCUAGCUGGUACCGCAGAGAAGCCAAGUUGCAACAGGCGCCGUCUGGCGUUCAGCUCUCAGGAGACGCCUCCAGCUGCCGACUUCACCGAUCCUCAGAUAGGCGAGGUGCGAAAUAUUAUCAGCCCCAACACACUCAAGAAGGCGGUCUGUGAGCAGAACUCGGUCCCAUUACAGGAGAAGAAGAAGGCACGCAAAAGAAAGACUAAGAAGGGUGCGAGCCAGCCGGCACCGAGUACGAUCCGUGCUCAGGACGGGCCACCUUCACCGCAGGAUAUCUCGAGGAGGGUGCAUGUGGCGGGUAGGGCGAUGCUACCGACAAAUAUGCUCAAUGCUGCAACCGGUGCUAUGCGGAGUCUGCAUGACAGUGUUCUUGCUUUGGAGAAGCGGCGUCUCAGAGAGAAGGAUGUGGCAUACCCGGUUUUCGCGGCCAAGGUGCCAAAGGGCAAGGGCUUUGUGGAUAACUCCAUCGGGCGUACGAUCGUCCUGCGUUUUGAUGACAUCCACGCUAUGUUGAACCUUCAUCCGCUGCACUACACCUUCGUUCGGCUAUUUUCGCUGAGUAUGGAGAUGCGGAUCAUUCGCGACAAGACCCCGGACAUCGUGAUAGUCGACCCCUUCUACAUGCGUGCCAAGAUCUUGGGCAGCGCUGGGGACCGGCAAGUCGCGAGUUCUUACCUCGAAGGCAUCAUUCUGGCAAACCAAGAUAAGGAUAACUUCCUCGUGCCUUACUUUCCCGAGUAAGUCCUCCCCUCAACCGGCCCGUAACAUAUGAAUUCUUACAUUUCGAUCGUUUUUCUUUUAACAUUCCGUGUUUUUUGCAGUGACACACGUUGCACGCUCAUCCUCCUAAGCCCCAAAUAUUCCAUGGCCACAUAUUUCGACCCGGACUGUUAGUCGAACGUAGACUACACAAAUGUCAAGAAGGUUCUUGAUGAUGUUCUCCCCGGCUAUGCCAAAUCUGGAGGCACCUUCACCAGGCCUAAUCGUAAGUACGGCAAGCAUGUUUUCUCCCACAAUACGAUGUUCUACUGCGUCAAGCAGCCGCCUGGUGGUCAGAAGGGUGCCUACUACGCCAUCCAUCACAUGCGGGCGAUCGUACGGGACCAUCAUCAACUUCUGCUACCGAGUAAACUCAAAGAUUGGGCAAAGAGCGUGUCGGCAAUCGAGGACGCGGACCUCCGACAAGAAUUCUUUCGCAUCCAGUCGGAGUUUGCGGAAAUCAUCCAUCAAGAUGUCCUUCGUACCUCGGGGCAGUUCUACCUCAACAAUCAACCGUCCAAUAGUGACAUCGACAUAAUGCUACAAAUGCAGGCUGACAACGACCGUUAUUUCAUGACUCCCACGAUAGACGGCGGCUUCAUCCACGCUCCGGUCCCUUGAGUCGAGUCGAAAGCAGUGAUGCUGUGUCUAGUUCUGAAACAUCGAUUGGCUCAUGUUGUAAUUAAACUUUAAUGAACUUGUAGUAUGUCUCUUUGGUUUCGAGAGUCGUUCAACUUAGAUGUAAUCGAUGCUAUUAAUGUCUUGCUUUUCUCUUCCGAUUGUUCUGUUGCAUACUUAUAUAUUGCUUAUGUAUUGUCUGUGAAUUGGUACUAACGUUUCGUUUGGCUAGUGCAUAGCGAUGCCGACGUAUGUCGUGUACAAGGGUAAGGUUCCCGUAGUCUACGAUGACUGGGAGGAGUGUCGGAGACAGGUUCACCGAUUCAGCGGUAACAGUUACAAAGGGUACACCACUAGGGCCGAGGCCGAAUCUAGAUACGCCCGCUAUCUAGCGGGAGAGGGGAGGGAGCGUUGGAGGAACCGGAUGAAGACGAGUUUCAUCGUGAUGAUGCUCAUCGUGAUGACCGCAGCUCUCUUCUAUGUGAUGGUAGUUUAGAUGAUCGAUAUCGACUUGUAAUGUGAAGACAAACUCGCUACUCGCGGUCUCGAGACUUGUAAUAUAAUGUUCUAUCUUUGUUCGGUCUUUUUAAUUCGGAGACUAAUAUGAUGAAUUGUAUUCGGAGACUAAUAUGAUGAAUUGUAUUCAAAGACUAAUCUUCUAUUGUAUUCGAUGAAUCUGUUGUUGAUGUGUGCUGUCUAUAUUUUGUCAAAUUAUACAUUUUGUAACCUGUGCAAAAAACAGAAAAUAAAAAAUAAAAAAAACCUAAUAUUCAUACUAAUGACGCAUCACAUGAUAGUGCGCCAUUAGUAUGACAGUGCAUACUAAUGGCGCAUCACUGGGCAGUGCGCCAUUAGUAUGCCGCGGUUACUAAUGGCGCAUCCAGCGGUGGUGCGCCAUUAGUAUGCCAAAGCACCUGGGUAUACAUGGCCCCUGGGAGGCAUACUAAUGGCGCACCCUUGCCUAUACUAAUGGCGCACGCGCGGUGCGCCAUUAGUAUACCAGAUACUAAUGGCGCACCAGGUGGUGCGCCAUUAGUAAAAAUUACUAAUGGCGUGCUAUUAAUGGCGCACCACAGAUGCGCCAUUAAUGGCCAUUUUAGGUGCGCCAUUAGUAGGGGUUUUUCUAGUAGUGUAAUAAGCGAGAUGACGCAGUUCCUGACCGCCCCGCUACCACUACUGGUUCCAGCGUGGCGUUUGAAUUAUGCCGCGCUAGAUGCCUUUUGUCCAGCGAGGAACAAGUGGGGUCAAGCGUGCUUUGGCAAUUCCCGCCGUCAGAAGACUUCCUUGUAGUCCGGUGUAGAGGUGAGGUUGUAGGGAGAUGCAUCGACUAGGAAGGAGUGGCCACAUGAACGAGCAUAUGUAUGAUGUGAUUAAGUCUCUCGAUCGGGUAUCUGGUGCCUUACGUACGGUGUCUUAUUUUUGUCAAGCUAUGACAUCUUUCAGUUUGAGUGUCUGAUAUUAGGGUUGCAUACGUUUUGUUAUUCAGUUGCCUGUUGUCAACUCUAUGGUUAUAUCACCUCGAUGUGUGAGUCAAUGUGUUUGAACCAAUGUAGAGUUUCAUGUGAAUGUUACAAGUGUGAUUGAUAUCUUCAUGUUAUAACCGCAGUUGCCUUGGUAAGAAAUUGAAAGAGCAAACCGUUAUCGUGUUAGGAAAAAAGUCAUCGCUCAAUAUAAGUUGCUUCUCUAGAACAACCACACCUUUCCCUCAAAAAAAAGAACAACCACACCUUGUGAAAGAAGAUGGCAAACACCCAAUUAUGUCUGGUUAGAUAUGGGCAUGGCUAUGGGUAGCUUAUAGCGACACGGAAGCUAGCAUCGCCUGAAGAAACACCCGGAUGGGCCGGCCUAGAGACAAAUUUCUUCAUUUCUACCCUUAGUUUUGUUUUUCUGCCCUUUUUUCUUUAUAUUUUAUAUUUUUCCCGACAUGUUCACUACUUGAUGCUCAACUGGGAUCUCAUCUGAUGCGGAGCAUCCUAUGGACAUCACCAUGUCAAGAGUCCGUUCGGCAAGUGACACGUGUGACAUCUACUUCUCAUACAUAAAGGUGAAUCUUCUCCUUUACACGUGUUUACUUGACCCCUUCGAGGAUGGUAUACUACUUGACACUUCUCCCGUGUGCAUGCAUAGGUAUUGUCGGAGCUUCAUGGAUGUCGAGGAGGAGUGCAAGCGCCAAGGAAUGACUACACCGUCCGCGAGGGAAGCAUGGAAGAGAAGGAGGAAGAGAACCUGGCUACUCCAGAACGAGCGGUACUACUGCCCACUCCAAGCGGUACUACCGCCGAGGCCACCCAAGCGGCACUACCGCCCAGCAUCCGCCCUUCUACUGCUCAACCCGACAAACUCCAGUGAUCGAGCGGUGUAAGUCCGGUACUACUGCCCCUCCAAGCGGUACUACCGCUCAAGCGGUACUACCACCCAUGAGUCCGGUACUACCGCCCUGCCUCUGCCCAGCCGUGGGCCUUUGGCCUUGUAUCCCUCUCCCACUUACCCCUUCGUGGCUUAGACUAUAAAUAGGCCACCUCCACCUCCUUUCUAGGGUUAGCACAGAUUUAGCUCAUUUUGAGAUAGAGCUUUGCUCAUCCAUACGGAUCUACUCCUCGUGAGAGACCGCGACCUCUUCGGAGAAGAUCCAUCUUGGAUUCAAGACCCCCUCGUGGGAAGAUCCGUCUAGGAUACCAACAAGACCUCCUCUUGGAGAUGAACCUUACCUUGUAUCUUUCCCUUUGUUGUUCAUGUACCCUUGUGGAUCUUGUGUGUUUGAUUGUCUAGUGGAUGUGUGAUUGGACUUGUACUUGAGUGUUUCCCCUUGUGAUUUCUCUCCGUUCUUCCACGUGUUCUUCAUAGGGAUCCGCUCCAAACGUGAAAGAUCGGCCUCUAGGGUUCUAGCCUACAUCAUCUUGGAUCAGAGCAAGGUUGAUCACGGAUUUGGAGCCCCUACCCCUCUUUUUCUAGCCUUCUUUUGCUUGCUUUCGUCCUAAAAUCCCCACAAAAAAUAGCCCCAAUUUUUUUGUGAUUUGUUCGUUUGAUGAUUUUUUGUUGAUUUUGAUCCAUGGAUUUGCUUGGUUUUGAGUGGAUCUAGCAUCUCUCCAAGUUUCCCCACCUUCCAUCCACGAAAUCCAUCCAAUUUUGCCCCUGAAAUCAUCCUUUUCCGCCCCAAAUUCGCCCCGAUUUCGAUCUGUGAAUUUUCCCGACACGAGCGGUACUACCGCCCUCGAAGCGGUACUACCGCCCUCGAAGCGGUACUACCGCUGAGCACCACAAGCGGUACUACCACCCUCCCAAGCUAUGACGCCCGGAUAAUUAAGCUACAGUAAUCCCCUUCUAAUGGUGCCAUGUCAUCACAUUACUGUUGCUAAUCCUCGCUUGAUCCAAAUCUUAGUUCAAACUCAAAUUCAAAUUAAAGACCAAAAUUCAAAUUUCUCAAGCAUGCAAAAUAAAAUGUUCAAAGUGUGGCAAAUAAUCGCUGGAUAUUUGUCAUGUUGCAAACAACCUCUUUUGAAUUCUCAAAAUGCCCCUGGGAAUUAAUUUUUGGUCCAGUAGUAAAUUAAAUGGCAUUUGCAAAAUAAAGAAUUGUUUAUUUAACUCCAAUUGCCUCCAAACUUUAUGUGCCACUCCAAAAUAUUUGUGGCUCUGUCUAAGAUCGCCAAGGAAUUAAAAGGGCACUUCCCAUAUUUUCCCUAAGUAAAUAGUGUGCCCAAAAUAUUCUCUUAACCAUCUCUAUUUUUUUAAAUAAAAAAAGGCGAAGAAGAACUCCCCCGGGCCUCGGGCCACUCCCACUUACCAGCCCACCUAAGCCGGCCCACUCCCCCGCUCCCCUAGCCUAUAGGCCACGGCCGACCGAACCCUAACCCCGCAUGAUCCCCCCACUCCCCACUCCUCUCCCCUCUCGAUCCGAUCUGGAUCGGACCGAAACCGGCGCAAUUGGUCGAUCCAUGUAUAAAGUAAAAAUAACUAGGCCCAAUUGGUCGAUCCAUGACAGUUUUCGUGACGGUACUUCCACGUCUGUCAUGAGGGGGCUACCCUACUUGGCCCCAAAUGGAUCUUGCUAAUUGGUGACGGUUUCCGUGAUAGAUUUCUGGAACGUCACCAGAAAUCCGUCAUUGAUUAACAGAUUUCCGCACAAUCCCCCCACUCCCCACUCCUCUUCCCUCCUGAUCCGAUCUGGAUCGGACCGAAAUCGGCGCCGCGACGCCAACCGCCGUCGCUGGAGGCGUCCCCGACUCCACGCCGGGCCGCCCCGUCACUGGACCUCCUCCCCGUCGCCACUCGUCACUCGCUGGACCGCCUCGUCCCCACCAAUGCCGCCCCCACCCCAACGUCCCCGACGCCUUCGCCGUCGGCACCGCCCCAAUGUCGCCGCCACCCGACGCCGGCGCCCUCGACAUCGCCACCCCGAGCCCACUGCCACCCCUACGCUCCGCUAUGAGCCCCUCGCUGAUUCCCCCUCCUUCCCGUCGUCGUAGGUGGCUGCGCGCGUCGUUGGCCAUCGUGGCCGCGCUCCGGCCGUUCCCCAUCCGUGCGCUGGCCUCGCCUUCCUCGGAUUGCAAACAUUGAACUUUUCCCCUCGGGUUCAUCUAUCUGACAGACGUUCGGGACCAGAAAAACUUUCCCGGAUGUUUCCCCCUUCGCCAGUAUCACCUAGCACCGCGUUAGAACACUUCUAGCCCCGCUUAUUGUCUUGUUAUGCAUAUGUUUGCGUGUAUUUACUGUUUCUUCCCCCUCUUCUUCUCCGGUAGACCUCGAGACCGUUGCUGAUGCCCCUGUGGUCGACUACGUCGACGGCGACCCUCCUUGUCUGAGCAACGAGGCAAGCCCCCCCUUUGAUCAUCCCGAUAUCGCCCAUUCCAUUCUCUAAUGCUUGCACUAGAUUUUCUACUGUAUUUGAUUGCUCCUAUUCUGAUGCAUAGCAUGCUUUUCUACCUGCUGUUGUACCUUACCUGCUUAUCCUAAACUGCUUAGUAUAGGUUGGCUAGUGAUCCAUCAGUGACCCCCACCUUGUCUUUGUUGCCCCUGCUUCAUCAUUGACGACUCGAUCAACGUGAUCGACGACCGGAGCCUGACACCUCACAUCACAUCACGCCCCUUUUUGUUGCUCGACUCUGCAGAGUUACCAUCGAGUGCCGAGGGUGGAACCUCAUACAUCACUCCUUAUGAGAUCUCUGUAGUGUAGCUAUUCGGUCGUGGUCAUCGAGGGUGGUUCCUCCUUCACCAUUCCUAAUACGGCUCUGUCGUGCAACACCUCAAGUGUGAACCUCGAGGGUGGUUCCUCUUACGUUCACCUUGAUGAUUACAUCGAGUGGAAUCCACCGGGGGUGAUUCCUCGGAUUUUCCCCUUUAUGUCUGGACACACAGUUACCUUGACUUCACUUGAGACCGUUUUGAAAGCCGGGCAGGCCCGGAGAGCACCCGUGCGGUGUGACGGUGGCGGCUGGCUGUUUAGCGGUAUCACCCGGGAGGGGGUGAUAGCUCCGGACUUGUCCCGACAGCCGUCACUUCUUUUAAUAAUGCACUAACAGGUUUGGGUAUUUUUUCUAAGUUCACUAACCACGACGCUAGAAUAGUUAUGGGUCUCGAUGUUGCAGUAUCAGCCGAAGCUUUCUCAGACGUCCAGUUCAGCAUUGUGGCCGGGCCGAAUCAUGCCAUCCACUUCACGGGUGGUGCUGGUAUCCCCUUGCGCACAACGACCCAGAGUGCAACGGGCGAUGGGCCCAGACCCCGGAGUGCUUAGGAUGUAGACCGGCAGGGACCUCUCUGCUGAGCCUAGGUAGGGCAGCUACGUGUUGAUCUUCCGAGGCCGGGCAUUGACCCCAGAAAGGUGUGUCCUUCCAGAGUGAUCGAGCGUGUUGGGUAACGUGGUGCCCCCCUGCAGGGAAGAUUAUCUAUUAAUAGCCGUGUCCACGGUAACGGACGUUCAAACUUAUAUCUUGAUCUUAUACAACUACAAAUGGAUACUUGAGAUAUGUGGCUCCGGGAUUGCUUUCUCGCAGGGAGUCGAGGAAGGAUCUCUGGGCGUUGUUGUCACAACAUGCUUGUUAAUUAAACUGCUAUUCUUUACUCUUCUACAUGCUGCAAGAUGCUUGGAGCUACUUGAAGAUGCUAGUCUUCAUGAGGCUAGGCCUUCCCCUCUAUUCUGGCAUUCUGCAGUUCAGUCCACAGAUACAACCCUUCCAUUUGAUACCAAUGCAUACUUAGUAUAGAUCUGAUGCUUGCGAGUACUUUGGAUGAGUACUCACGGUUGCUUUGCUACCCCAUUUCCCCCUUCUUUCUUCUUUCCGGUUGACGCAACCAAAUGGUGGAUCCCUGGAGCCAGAUGCCAGCGCUGAUAGAUGCUACUAUGUGAAGAUCGCCGACGACCAGGAGUAGUUAGGAGGUCCCAAGCAGGAGGCCUUGCCUCUUCGAUCAUUGUUGCUUUUGUGCUAGCCUUCUUAAGGCAUCUUUGUUUAACUUAUGUCUGUACUCAGAUAUUGUUGCUUCCGCUGACUCUUGUGUAUCGAGCUAUGUAUUCAAGCCCUCGAGGCCCCUGGCUUGUAAUAUAAAGCUUGUAUUAUUUUGAUUUGUGUCUAUAGUUGUGUUGUGAUAUCUUCCCGUGAGUCCCUGAUCUUGAUCAUACACAUUUGCGUGCAUGAUUAGUGUACGAUUGAAUCGGGGACGUCACAAGUUGGUAUCAGAGCCGACUGUUUGUAGGAUCCCCCUUUCCAACUCCUUGGCUGAAGUUGAGUCUAGUCUUUGAAAAAAAUUGUUUUACUAACAUGGUUGUGUGGCUUACGGGCCCAUGUCGCCAUUGGGUGGUAUUAGGAUCUUUUACUCCUCGACCUUUACUCUGGGACUCUAAUCGCUCUUCUAUUCGGGUUAAAUGGUCUCGCAAACUAUAACUCUAGGUUCUCGUAAAUACUUUCUCCCGGAGAGCCCCUUCAUUCCAGAUGAUGGCCUGCUUCACCAGAUGAUUUCGAAGAUACCCUUCUGUAAUUUCCUGAGACUUUUGUACUCAUUGCUUUUGCAGUUCCCUACCUCUGAUAUAUCCUUACGGAUAACUUCAUACACUUGUCAUUCAUACAAUCAUUCCUAGUUGCUCUUGUUUUUACAAGAUACAUUGAAUUAUUCUCCGACUUUUAAGAAUCCCUUGCUUACUGCCCUGCAGUUCCUUGCCGCAUGAAUACCCCUACGGAUAAUUACUCGCACUUGCCGAGUAUCCGUUCGUCCAUAGUUGUUCAUGUGUUUCACAACAUUCUUUGGAAAGCUAUUUGAUCUUUUCAAAAAUCCUCAGUAGCCUAUUACUCUUGUUCCUCCUUACCUACUUACAGUAUGGUUACUUCCAUUUGUCUAGCAAUAUUCUUUAAAAUCCUUUGCGAUUGACAUCCUUACCCUAUUGUUUCAACAUGUGUGUGAAUGCACGCAAUCAUCAAUUGUUCCCUGGAAUUGUCCUUCUGGCUCAGACGUUACCCCGGACACGAGCUGGUGUUCGACAAAACAAACCUUGAUUGAUUUUGAAUCUAUGUCUAUACAACUUAAUUGUCUUUGAUCAGAGCCUCUGCUUUUGAUCCCCCAUUUUGAAAAUCAUAAUCCCCUUUGCAUUCGAGCAUAGAAUUAGUCAGUUGUUUCUAUAACCUGACCUCCUUGAAUUCUUUCUUCUUCUGGUUGAGUAUCGAUACUCACAUCAGAUCCAUUGUGGACCUCCAGGUCCUUUGUUGGUUUUUAUCCGACAGCAUCCUUCAUAUUCAGUAACCUUGUGAGCCUUUCCUCGAAUACACAAUGCCUUUGGUAAAUUGUAUCCCCCACUCUCGUCAACCAUACUCUGCUUCCGGGCUUGAGUUAUUUACUCGUGAAGUUUGUGGUAUAUGUUCCUAAUAUGUCCCUAUGGGUUGAAUCUAUGUCUUCCCUAAAUCUGUGUGAACCCUACGACUCAUACUCUACUGGUGUUAUGCCAGAUAAAAUCUCAACAGUACGGCUUCGUUGAAAAUGAGAAGUGAAUGAAAGGUUAUGCAUCGAAGAAGUGGGAGUCGACCUUGAGCCUUGUGUUCAUGCCCAUGGACACGAUGUGGAACUUAACAUGGAAGCUUCUUUUUAUAAUAAUAGCCCCCUAGCGAUAAGUACAUCUUGUAUCCAUGUGUGGUCCAUUGCAAUCGUGGUUCCGACCAUAUUGUUCUUGUUUGAUCCAUUUAUCGGACAAGUUAAAGUACUUGUCUUCUUCAAAUUGUUUCACAUGUUCAACCUCUACAUUGAUAUACCUUCGAGCAUUAUCCUCUGGUAUCUCGAGAAUAUCACGGAACUACAUAACUUCUUAUGAGUUCUUGAUCAACUAUUAUUUCUCACUGAUUCAAAUUUUUCACUAGUUGGGAGUUGUUAGACACUCGAGAAUACAGUUAACUGAUUCAAGUCUACGCUUUCCUUUCCAUUGUUCUGUUUAAUCUUUCUGGUAACCUAUCUUAUCUGAGAACUGAUAAUUCCCUGCUUAUGUAAACACCUCGGUGUACAAGCUCUGUCUGUAAGACCUUGUUACUAUUGUUGAGGACAUUCCGAUAGCUACCGAUGGACGAGAACUUUGCCUAUUGGUCCGCCUCAUCUUAACGAGCAGGAAAAUGGUUCUCUUUGUCCCUCUCCCUUGGUACCAACGUUGUUGCCAACAUAACUGACAAGUUGUCCUCUGACCUGCCUUGCUAUCAUGACCAUGCAAAAUGCUAGCGCCCUUCCUGCUUUUAACCCACAAGGUGGGCCUGAGGGAGUCCUGGACUAGGCGGUGUCCGGACAGCCGGACUAUCAUCGUCCGCCGGACUCCAAGACUACGAAGAUACAAGAUUGAAGACUCCGUCCCGUGUCUGGAUGGGACUUUCCUUGGCGUGGAAGGCAAGCUUGGAAAUACGGAUAUGUAGAUCUCCUACCAUUGUAACCGACUCUGUGUAACCCUAGCCUCCUCCGGUGUCUAUAUAAACCGGAGGGCUUUAGUCCGUAGGACACAACAUACAUUACAACAAUCAUACCAUAGGCUAGCUUUAGGGUUUAGCCUCCUUGAUCUCGUGGUAGAUCCACUCUUGUACUACCCAUAUCAUCAAUAUUAAUCAAGCAGGAUGUAGGGUUUUACCUCCAUCGAGAGGGCCCGAACCUGGGUAAAACAUCGUGUCCCUCGUCUCCGGUUACCAUCCGCCUAGACGCACAGUUCGGGACCCCCUACCUGAGAUCCGCCGAUUUUGACACCGACAUUGGUGCUUUUAUUGAGAGUUCCUCUGUGUCGUCACCAAUAGGCUCGAUGGCAUCUUCAACCAACAACGCUGUCCAGGGUGAGACUUUUCUCCCCGGACAGAUCUUUGUAUUCGGCGGCUUCGCACUGCGGGCUAAUUCGUUUGGCCAUCGGAGCAGAUCGAAAGCUACGCCCCUGGCCGUCAGGUCAGAUUCGGAAGUCUCAACUUCACGGCCGACGUCCGCGGAGACUUGAUCUUCGACGGGCUCGAGCCACAGCCAAGCGCGCCGCACUGUUACGAUGGGCAUGAUCUAGCUCUGUCGCCGAACAGUGCCUUGGUGGCCGCCCACGAAUCCGCUUCGGCCUUUAGUCCGGGGCCGAUCGCCCAGACCGAGGAACGGUGGAUGGACACCGCCUCGGGGGCUUCAACUUCCACGGCGAUGGAGCCGAACACUAAUCUUGUCCCUCGCAAAACUCGUGAUUCCGAGGUGCCGGACUCCUUGCCGGACUCCGAAGCUCCCACGCCCCUACCAACCGAAUCGGAUUGGGCGCCGGUUAUGGAAUUCACCGCCGCGGACAUCUUCCAAUACUCGCCUUUUGGCGACAUCCUGAAUUCGCUAAAGCAUCUCUCGUUAUCAGGAGAGCCCUGGCCGGACUAUGGCCAGGAUGGUUGGGAUACGGACGACGAAGAAAUUCAGAGCCCACCCACCACCCACUUUGUAGCCACUGUCGACGAUCUAACCGACAUGCUAGACUACGACUCCGAAGACAUCAACGCUAUGGACGACAAUGCCAGAGACGAACAGGAACCAGCGCCUACAGGGCACUGGAAGACCACCUCGUCAUAUGACAUAUACAUGGUGGAUACCCCAAAAGACGGGGACGGCGAAGAAACAGCGGAGGCAUAUUCUUUAAAGAAACAGCCCAAGCGCCGGCAUCAGCGGCGCUGCUCUAAAUCCCGCCACGGCAAGAAUGGAGAUUCCAGCACAGGAGAUAAUAAUACCCCAGAAAGUGCCGAAGAUAACCCCCUCCAGCAAGACUCAGCGCAGGAGGAUGCAGAAGCAAGCCCUCACGAGAAGGCGGCAGACAAAGAGGUUGAGGAUUACAACUAUAUGCCUCCCUCCGAAGACGAGGCAAGCCUCAACGAUGACGAAUUCGUCGUGCCCGAGGAUCCCGUCGAACAAGAGCGUUUUAAACGCAGGCUUAUGACCACGGCAAAUAGCCUAAAGAAAAAGCAGCAGCAGCUUCAAGCUGAUCAGGACCUGCUGGCCGAUCGAUGGACCGAGGUCCUCGCGGCCGAAGAGUAUAAACUCGAAUGCCCCUCCAAAAGCUAUCCAGGACGCAAGCUGCUCCCCCGAUUAGAGGAGGAAGCAUACAUACCUCCAUCACCAGCGCACGAUACGGCUGACCGACCACCCCGUGGUCGUGACAGAGAGGCAUCCAGGCCCCCAACCAAGACCGUACCCCGGCAUCGCUCGAAAAGUAUGAAGCCAAGAGGGAACGCGCCGGACUUGCGAGAUAUAUUGGAGGACAAAGCAAGGCAAUCCAGAUCCAUCUACGGAUCACGGGGGUGCCCCACGACCCAUGACGAAUACCGUCGCGCCGGAUACAAUAACCCCGGCCGGGCCGAACACAGCAGACAACGCUCUCUCGAGUUGCAUCGUGAUAUUGCUCAAUAUAGAGGCGCCGCACACCCGCUAUGCUUCACAGACGAAGUAAUGGAUCAUCAAAUCCCUGAAGGGUUUAAACCCGUAAACAUCGAAUCCUACGAUGGCACAACAGACCCUGCGGUUUGGAUCGAAGAUUACCUUCUCCACAUCCAUAUGGCCCGCGGCGACGAUCUACAUACCAUCAAGUACCUCCCACUCAAGCUUAAAGGACCAGCUCGGCAUUGGCUCAACAGCUUGCUCGCAGAGUCAAUUGGGUGUUGGGAAGACCUAGAAGCCGCAUUCCUUGAUAACUUCCAGGGCACGUAUGUGCGACCACCAGACGCCGAUGACCUAAGUCACAUCAUUCAGCAGCCAGACGAAUCGGCCAGACAAUUCUGGACACGGUUCUUGACAAAGAAAAAUCAAAUCGUCGACUGUCCGGAUGCAGAGGCCCUUGCAGCCUUCAAACAUAACACCCGCGACGAAUGGCUAGCCCGGCACCUGGGGCGGGAAAAGCCGAAAUCCAUGGCAGCCCUCACAUCAUUAAUGACCCGCUUUUGCGUGGGAGAGGAUAGCUGGCUAGCUCGCAGCAACAAUCUCCGUAAAAAUUCUGGCAGUCCAGACACCAAGAACAAUAAUGGCAGGUCACGUCGAAACAAAAACAAACGCCGCAUCAACGGCAAUGAUAAGGAGGAUACGGCAGUCAACGCCGGAUUCCGAGGCUCUAAACCCGGUCAACGGAAGAAGCCAUUCAAAAGAACCACUCCGGGUCCGUCUAAUUUGGACCGAAUACUCGACCGCUUAUGCCAGAUACAUGGCACCCCUGAAAAGCCAGCUAAUCACACUAAUAGAGACUGCUGGGUGUUCAAGCAGGCAGGUAAGUUAAUUGCCGAAAACAAUGACAAGGGGCUAAACAGCGAGGACGAGGAGGAGACCCGACCGCCGAACAAUAGAGGACAAAAGGGUUUUCCCCCACAAGUGCGGACGGUGAACAUGAUCUACGCGACCCAUAUACCCAAUUGGGAGAGGAAGCGUGCACUAAGGGACGUCUAUGCGAUGGAGCCAGUCGCCCCGAAGUACAAUCCAUGGUCCUCUUGUCCGAUCACUUUCGAUCGAAGAGACCAUCCGACCAGCAUACGCCAUGGCGGAUUCGCCGCAUUGGUUCUAGACACAAUCGUCGAUGGAUUUCACCUCACGAGAGUCCUGAUGGACGGCGGUAGUAGCCUGAACCUGCUUUAUCAGGACACAGUGUGCAAAAUGGGCAUAGACCCCUCAAGGAUUAAACCUACAAAGACAACCUUUAACAGUGUCAUACCAGGUGUGGAAGCCAACUGUACAGGCUCAGUCACACUGGAAGUGGUCUUCGGAUCCCCGGACAAUUUCCGGAGCGAGGAGUUAAUCUUCGACAUAGUCCCGUUUCGCAGCGGCUAUCACGCUCUGCUCGGACGAAUCGCGUUCGCAAAAUUCAACGCGGUGCCGCAUUGUGCAUACCUCAAGCUCAAGAUGCCAGGCCCUCAUGGAGUCAUCACGGUCAAUGGGAAUACGGAACGCUCCCUCCGAACGGAGGAACAUACAGCGGCUCUCACGGCAGAAGUACAGAGCAGCCUUUUAAGGCAAUUCUCGAGUCCGGCCAUUAAACGGCCGGAUACAUCAAAGCGCGCCCGAAGCAAUACCAACCAAGACCACCUGGCGUGAUCAGAGCACGCGUAGCAAUGCGGCCCCAACCCCCGCCCGCGCGUGAUUGCAAGAAUAACCCUCCGCGUACAUCAUUACGCUUUGGAGAUACCAUGGGCGCAGGGGAAGGGGCACGAUCACAACGGACCCAGAGUGCAGUUCGACCGCACCAGGGGCUCGCAAGUGUGCCCCCUUUUUUUUAUUGUUAUUUUCCCUCUUUGUGUACACAGGACUCCGUUAGCCAGAGGCCCUAUCCGGCGGUGAACCUGCCGAACUCAUGAUGCAAUAACCAGGGAAGAAAGAACGCUGCGACGAACACUCAGGUGGUCUCAAUUACAAGCAUUAAAUUCGAUUAUAUACACCAAGUCCGCAGCUUACCCUUGGAGGGGGACAUGUUUAAUUAGUCCAAAUCCCUUGCUUACCACACUAUUUGUAUCAGUCCGCACUCAUAGCAGACUUUCUUUCAUAAAUAAUGCAGCACCUUUUUGACUGCAAUUACAUUACCUUUUAUAUAUAUAUGCUCAUUACAUGACAUCUUGCACCCGUAUAUUUUGGUACGGCCUAAUACACCAGGGGCUUAUGUUCCCCACAUUAUGGUGUGAUAAGUCCGAACACUUUCGUAAGUGCAGCACCCCGAACUUAUAGCACUAUAUGAAUCGGCUCCGAAUCAUGUCUUGGGUCAAUAGUUGGGUUUGCCCGGCUCCCACGUUUUGGUGCCUUACGUUCCGUUCUGUCGGCUAAGGUGGCACUGGGAGAACCACUGCGAUUGCGCCCCGGUUGAGCCGGGCGAGCACCUCAGUGGAGAAAGCUAAAACUGACCGGCAUGAUAAGGCGAGAGACUGGUCGCUGUUCGAGAGGUUUUUUCGGGUCCUUAAAGACUCACGCCACUUCGAGCGAAGUUCCGGACCAUGUCUGACGAAGGCGUGGAUAGCGCCCCGGAUUCGGCCUUUCGGAUACCAGGGGCUUCGCCGAAAUUUAAAAUUAUAGAAUUCUAUGGCUAAGUGAGAGUGUUCAAGCAUUAUAAGUCCGGUCGCCUUGUUCGUUGUGUUGAGCACCUCCCUAGAUGGACCCAAAAAUGGGAAUAAGAGUGCUCAAGUUUAUCCCGAACACCCCAGCACUCGUGGCUCGGGGGCUGAAGCCAAUGACUUUCCAUCUCUCAGAUUUUAUAAACGGCCGCACAGAAGGUAAUAUUUUAAAUUAAAACAAGCGUUGCUCAUGGCGCAUCUGAACGAAGUUUUCAGCGCACAGGAUAAUACAUAGCGAGUUCACUCAAAGAUUACAUUUCUAGGGCACUCAUCCGCAAUAUCGCGGGCUCCCUUCAGGACAGUUUUAUAAUACAUUUCAGGCGUGCGAUACUCCUUGCCCGGCGGCGGUGGGUCUGUGAGAAGCUUCUCCGCAUCCAACCUGCCCCAAUGCACCUUUGUGCGGGCAAGGGCCCGACGAGCACCUUCAAUACAGGCGGAGCGCUUGAUGACCUCCACCCAGGGGCAUGCAUCCACCAGCCGCCGCACGAGGCCGAAGUAGCUACCAAGCAUGACCUGUUCAGGCCACAGCCGGACUAUAAGGCCCUUCAUGGCCUCUUCAGCUACCUUGUGGAGUUCGACCAGCUGCUUCAGCUGGUCGCUUGGGGGCACCGGAUGGCCUGCCUCAGCGUACUAAGACCAGAAGACCUUCUCCGUUGAGCUCCCCUCCUCGCCACGAUAGAAUGCGGCGGCAUCGGAGGCACUACACGGCAGAUCUGCAAACACCCCUGGAGAGCUCCGAAUGCGGGUAAUUGUCAGGUAGUUUACAUUAACAUGCUUGCUUUGCAUGAAAAAUGCCUUACCCGCCGCUAUCUUCUUUACAUCUUCAACCUCCUGAAGGGCCUUACGGGCCUCGGCCUUGGCGGACUUGGCACUUUCGAGAGCCGAGGCAAGCUCGGACUCUCGAGUCUUGGAGCCUCCUGCUUUUCUCGCUCCGCCCGUUCCGCGACCGCACUGCGUUCAGCCGCGGACACAGCCUCCUUCAGGGCUGCCACCUCGUUCGUGGCCCCUGCAAUACCCAUAUUAUCCUUGUUAAUUUUAUUGCAACCAAAAUCCUUUUCCGUAAGGUGACUAUUCAAAGCGGUGUUACUCACCUUCUUUGUCCUCGAGCUGCUUCUUGGCAGUGCCGAGCUCUUGCUCGGACCGCUCGAGAUCCUGCUUCAACACAUCGACCUCCGCCGUCAGUGCGGCAGAGGUCAGUAGCGCAGCCUGCAAACCCAUAUUGACAUAUUUUAAGCAACCCUGCGUAUAUCUUGUUAGAUCCUCAGUCCGGCUUUUCUUUCCGAACACCGAACUGAGCAUCAAGGGCUACUGUCUAUGCGGUAUUACAUUACAUAAUUUUAACUUCUUACCUCAAAGCCUGUUAGAAGGCUGCUGCAGGCUUCGGUCAGCCCGCUCUUGGCGAGCUAAACCUUUUGAAUCACCGCACUCAUGUUAGUGCGAUGUUUUUCCUCGAUGGAAGCGCCUUCAAGCGCCUCCAACAAGUUAUCCGGCGCCUCCGGUUGGACGGAGGUCGCCGGUGUCAAGGUCUUGCCCUUCUUUCGAAGGGGCCGCCCGCCGGACUCUAGAACCACUGCGGGUUCCGAUGUAGAGUCCGGCACAAAGUCUGGGAGGCAGCCUGACGACGCCUCCGGAGCCUCCUCCUGAUGGGUCCCUCUCUGGGAUCCCACCUCGGCGUCCCCGUCGGCGCGGGGGGUAGAGGCGGUCGGAAGUGAAUCCACAUCUAACGGGGCCAACGACCCGCUCGAUGAAGCGGGGAGAUCAUCAUCGGCCGGACUACGGACAGAACGCGGCAUUAGAAGGACACUACGCGACACGAAAGAAAUUGCAUAUCAUGGAUCCGGAUACUUACGAUCUUGUCGGACGCCUGGCCCUUGGAGGCCACUCAUCCUCGCCAACGGUGGUGUUGGCGAAACUGUCCGGGGGGAUAGUCCUCCCCCUCUUGGACCCUUCGGCCUCCCCUAUUGGGAAAGCCUUCCACUUCUUCUCUCCCUCCUCCGAGAGAGAGUCCUCUUCCUCCUCCUCGUCUUUGGGGGAGGAGUCCGCCUCGUCGUCGGACGCCUAAUUGCGGGAACUCUUUCGAGUCCCCGCGGCCACCUUCUUGGCCUUCUUCUCCGGCACCACGUGCGGUGCCGGAACCAGCAGCCCUGCUAAACGGGCGUUCUCUGGGUCUUCAGGCAUGGGAGCCGGGCUGAUGAGCUGCUUGGCCUUCUCCAUCCAUUCCUAUCAAAGGAAAAGAGAGAUUGAAACCCUCUUAGAAUCAGUUUAAUUACCACAAGUGUCCCGUAACGUGGUUGAAUCACUUACCUCGUCAGCCGGAUGCUGCGAGCGAAAUCCGUGAUCUUCCGUCGCGGAUGCGGGGGCUUCGGCGCCCUUAAACAGCACCCUCCAGGCGCCUUCGUAUGUCGUAUCGAAGAGCCCGCUCAGCGCCUGGUGCUGUUCCGGAUUGAACUCCCACAGAUUGAAUACCCGUUCUUGGCAUGGGAGAAUCCGGCGGAUGAGCAUGACUUGGACCACGUCGACGAGCCUGAGCUUAUUGCUCACCAGCUUCUGGAUGCAGGCUCGGAGUCCCGUCACCUCCUUCGGAUUUCCCCACAGCAAGCCCUUCUCUUUCCAGGAGGUGAACUGCGUGGGGACGCCAGAUCUAAACUCGGGGGCCGCCGCCCAUGUGGGCUUGCGCAGCUCGGUGAUGUAGAACCAACCCGAUUGCCACCCCUUGACGGAGUCCACGAAGGCCCCUUCGAGCCAAAGGACGUUGGGCAACUUACCCAACAUGGCGCCUCCGCAUUCCGCUUGCGUGCCCUUCACAACCUUCGGCCUCCCCUAUUGGGGAAGCCUUCCUCUUCUUCUCUCCCUCCUCCGGGAGAGAGUCCUCUUCCUCCUCCUCGUCUUCGGGGGAGGAGUCCGCCUCGUCGUCAGACGCCUGAUUGCGGGAACUCUUUCGAGUCCCCGCGGCCACCUUCUUGGACUUCUUCUCCGGCACCACGUGCGGUGCCGGAACCAGCAGCCCUGCUAAACGGGCGUUCUCUGGGUCUUCAGGCAUGGGAGCCGGGCUGAUGAGCUGCUUGGCCUUCUCCAUCCAUUCCUGUCAAAGGAAAAGAGAGAUUGAAACCCUCUUAGAAUCAGUUUAAUUACCACAAGUGUCCCAUAACGGGGUUGAAUCACUUACCUCGUCAACCGGAUGCUGCGAGCGAAAUCCGUGAUCUUCCGUCGCGGAUGCGGGUGCUUCGGCGCCCUUAAACAGCACCCUCCAGGCGCCUUCGUAUGUCGUAUCGAAGAGCCCGCUCAGCGCCUGGUGCUGUUCCGGAUUGAACUCCCACAGAUUGAAUGCCCGUUCUUGGCAUGGGAGAAUCCGGCGGAUGAGCAUGACUUGGACCACGUCGACGAGCCUGAGCUUAUUGCUCACCAGCUUCUGGAUGCAGGCUCGGAGUCCCGUCACCUCCUUCGGAUUGCCCCACAGCAAGCCCUUCUCUUUCCAGGAGGUGAACUGCGUGGGGACGCCAGAUCUAAACUCGGGGGCCGCCGCCCAUGUGGGCUUGCGCAGCUCGGUGAUGUAGAACCAACCCGAUUGCCACCCCUUGACGGAGUCCACGAAGGCCCCUUCGAGCCAAAGGACGUUGGGCAACUUACCCAACAUGGCGCCUCCGCAUUCCGCUUGCGUGCCCUUCACAACCUUCGGCUUGACGUUGAAGGUCUUGAGCCACAGGCCGAAGUGGGGCCGGAUGCAGAGGAAGGCCUUGCACACGACGAUAAACGCCGAGAUGUUGAGGAUGAAGUUCGGCGCCAGAUCGUGGAAAUCCAGGCCGUAGUAAAACAUGAUCCCCCGGACGAAUGGGUGGAGUGGAAAGCCCAGUCCGCGGAGGAAGUGGGGAAGGAAGACGACCCUCUCAUGGGGCCCAGGGGUAGGGAUGAGCUGCCCCUCGUCGGGCAGCCGAUGCGCGAUAUCGCCGGAAAGGUAUCCGGCGCUGCGAAGCUUGGUGAUAUGCUCCUCCUUAACGGUGGAGUCCAACCAUUUGCCUCCCGCUCCGGACAUAUUCGGAGAAGGUCGGGGCGAGAUGCGCGAGCUUGGGCGUUGGAGCUUGAGUGCACGGAGAUGGAUAAGCAAAGGAGGAAGAAGGCGUAGGUGAGAAGGUAAAUCCUUAUCCCUUAUAUAUAGGCGGACGAAAACUAUGCGUCCCCACCGGCCUGAUAAAACUCGCUUAUCUCCCAAGCGCCACCAUCAAUGGCGCGGUUGGGUUACCCACGUCCGUAUUGAUGGGAAUCCCGGAAUAAGGGGAACACAAUCUCUGCUUCGACAAGACGUGCCAAGGAAACCGCUUCGCUAAACGUGCUGAGGUGGUAUAGUAAAAAACGAUUCAAACAAAGGCUUGGUAGCGGUGUGAUGUCACGCCGCAUAAUACGUCAGCAGAUUGGACUGGUGUACAUUUUAUUCUCUCUACGGUGGAAUGUGGAAUUUAUUUUGCAGAGCCGGACACUAUCCUGGUGUUCAUGAUCUUCUCUGGAUUAUUCAAGGGAGGAACCCGCCUUGCAAUGCCGAACAUUAUGCGCGCCGGACUUAUCGUCAUUGAAGCCUGGUUCAGGGGCUACUGAGGGAGUCCUGGACUAGGGGGUGUCCGGACAGCCGGACUAUCAUCGUCCGCCGGACUCCAAGACUACGAAGAUACAAGAUUGAAGACUCCGUCCCGUGUCCAGAUGAGAUUUUCCUUGGCGUGGAAGGCAAGCUUGGCAAUACGGAUAUGUAGAUCUCCUACCAUUGUAACCGACUCUGUGUAACCCUAGCCUCCUCCGGUGUCUAUAUAAACCGGAGGGCUUUAGUCCGUAGGACACAACAUACAUUACAACAAUCAUACCAUAGGCUAGCUUUAGGGUUUAGCCUCCUUGAUCUCGUGGUAGAUCCACUCUUGUACUACCCAUAUCAUCAAUAUUAAUCAAGCAGGACGUAGGGUUUUACCUCCAUCGAGAGGGCCCGAACCUAGGUAAAACAUCGUGUCCCUCGUCUCCUGUUACCAUCCGCCUAGAUGCACAGUUCGGGACCCCCUACCCGAGAUCCGCCGGUUUUGACACCGACAGGGCCCAUAACCCACAGUUCCACAGGAUCGAAACCUGACUCAUGUACAUCCCUGUUUUUCAAAGUUGUUCCUCGCGCUUGGAUUCGUAUGUAAUUCACGAGCCACCUUCCUUGUGAUCUGUUCUGGUAUCAGAUGCAAUACUUAUUCCCAUUGCUCUAAACCCCUUUCACCUUCUUACCUUGCUCUCGAUGACUAUCCUGAAUUCCAACUCAAGAGAUGCCUCUAUGCCAUGUUGAGGUACCUAUCUUGUGUUGAGCUCCAUCCCUCCCGAGUCUUUCCCCCUUACUCACCCCUUAAAUCUCGAGACGAUAUUUCUUGUAGUGGAGGAGAAUUGUGACGCCCAAAUAAUUAAGCUACAGUAAUCCCCUUUUAAUGGUUCCAUGUCAUCACAUUACUAUUGCUAAUCCUCGCUUGAUCCAAAUCUUAGUUCAAACUAAUAUUCAAAUUAAAGACCAAAAUUCAAAUUUCUCAAGCAUGCAUAAUAAAAUGUUCAAAGUGUGGCAAAUAAUCCCUGGAUAUUUGUCAUGUUGGAAACAACCUCCUUAGAAUUUUCAAAAUGCCCCUGGGAGUUAAUUUUUGGUCAAGUAGUAAAUUAAAUGGCAUUUGCAAAACAAAUAAUUAUUUAUUUAACUCCAAUUGCCUCCUGUCGUGGGAAACGAACACCUAUGGGGCAGGGCCCCUUUUCGGUCUGGCAAGGGAGCGGAGGGCACACGAAGAGCAGAUCGAGGCGAAGCACGCGGGGGAAUUUUACCCAGCUUCGGAGCUCUCCGGAGAGAUAAAACUCCUACUGCUGCUUUGUGUUUCUAUUCUGUUCUUGCUCAAGAGUGUGGGUGUGUUGUAGUUUCGAAUGAGUCGAACCCCUUCUACGUGCGCAUGGGCCUCCUUUUUAUAGUCUAAAGGGGUCACCGACAGGUGGCAGCAUAGAGAGAGGGGUAAAAAAGUAAAAACGCGGGUUGGUACAACCGCUAUCAACAGUGCCCCCUACCUAACUCUGACAGCAGGGGACAAGGGCAUUUAAUGCCCAUCCGGUCGCCCAAACAGUGCAGGAAGUGACCGUUAGGGGCGCCACCAAUCGCCACGAUGGCCUCCUAGUCAUCUUCACUUGCCACCUCGCACCGCUUGGCUGCACAGCUACCCGCCACGUGCACCGGGAGCGAUCCUGCGGCGACACGUCAUCGGAUGCGCUGGAGCAUGGGCGCAGAGUUGUGGCUUUGCCGCGGCAAGCGCCUUGCCGCGGUCACUAUCUUGUUGCACCCGCAAGCUUGCCGCUCGCCGGGUCUUGGUUGGCCUUCCCGGCAAGAUCCUCCUGCCGGGGUCUUGUCCUUCCCGGCAAGCUUCUCUUGCCGGGGCUUCGUCUUCACAGUUAACACUUUGUUCUUGAAUGGCAGUAAAUAGGAAUGACGAAGGAUCUUGGCGGACGCCCGGCAAGCCUUGCCGCAGGACGCUGCGCCUGCCCGUGCACAAGUUCGGGGUACUAAGGUACCCCUACUUUAGUACACCGACUGGAGCCCCCGGGCCUGGGCCAUACACGGUGCUGAGCGCUGUUGGGCCAGGCCCAAAACAGGACACGGGCACGCGCGGCCUGGGUCCUAACUAAAUCCACUCCGUAUCCACCGCGUCCUCCCGUAACGGCACGCGUCAAUCGCGGCGUCGUGGGAGAGAUCGUGGGUGGAAGACGUUCGCGCGUAUCCACAGCCUGAUGGAGGGGUUUACCCUCCAUUUUAAGUUAAUGGAGGGCGAUCUCCUCUCCGUCAAGGUCUUCGGGUGCUUCGACACUCGGGCGAAGUGCUGCGUGGACAGCUCCUCCGAUAGCAAAGGCUCCCCCUCGAGCGAGAGCGACAAGGAGGAGAGCAACAGCGAUGAUGAGGGUAGCGGGCGGCGGGAUGGCGGGCCCGACUAGGUGUCGGGCGCCGCUUCGUGCGUCACCGGUGACCCCAUCAUCCGUGUCGCCGGCUCCUUGAACUCCCCGGGGUCGUCUCCUUGGGCGGCUGGCGUAGGGAGGCUGCGGAAGGGGAAGAGGGCUGGCGACAAGGCCGUCAAAUCGGAGUACGAGGGCGUAGUGCCCUCGACAGCGUGCUGACGUCCUGCCGCCCCAUCUUCGAGCCCCGCUUCCAGCGCCGCCAUCACCGUCCGGCCUUCGGACGGCCCCCGGGAUGUUCUCUUGGUGUCUUCGCCUAGGCGCCUCUUUUGCCCUUUUCGCCUCCUUGACCUACAUCCUGAAGAGAGGGACAGGAAAGGGAUUACGGGCAUCUUAUCUUUUUAAUUUGUAAGCCUUCGGGCCCUAGUCGCAUCUAAAACUUGUAACCCUCUCUUUCAUGUUUUUCAUCCUCUAUGGACUGUACCUGAGUGUGAUGUUUUUUUAAUGAAAAAGGGAUGCUUGCCGGGUUAUUUGUCUCAUGGGUUGAACCCACGCCAAGGAGCAAAUCCUUGGUAUCCCUCGGACAGGCAUUUCAUCUCCCGCCAACAGGCCCUGCCGCCUUCCCACGUCGCUCGACCUUUCUCACGCCUUUGACGGAGGCGGGAACGAGGUGGGUGCGGCCUCCUCAUUUCAUCCCUUUGCUGCUGUGACUACGACCAAACUUGGCCCCGGGAACGAGCCCCAGGGCCUAGAGUUGAGGGAGCACGGCAGUUUUCGGGAAGAAACGCGGUUUCGCAUUCCCCAGUCCAUAAGAGGAUGCAUGAUGAGGGACGAAAGACUUAUCUGAUAUCGCAGCCCCCGGCAACUCUGGCUUGCCGUGGAUGAAUCUUGGUACUCGCAGCCCCCAGCAACACUGGCUUGCCGGGGCCCAGGUGCCGGCGCGCCCUUCUUCUCCUUUCCUUGUCGCUGUUAUUUCAGUUAUGAGAACAAUUUAGUCAGUGCCGCAAUAAGUUACUCUUGUAAUAUAACUUUAUUCUGGGCAAUGCUUGUUAUGUUACAUCCUUUAUUUGAUUCCAUUCCUUGUAUGUUUGUACCCUUACGCUUUUACGGAACUUGCCGGUGCAAACACGCUUGCCACGAGCGCUGAGUGCAAAACAUCAGCAGCCUUCUAGCGGUGUUGCCUCCGGCAAGAAACCUUGUCGGGGCUAGUCGCAGCACACUUUCAUUGUUGAGCGGACUCAAAACAAAGUAAGGGUGCAACUUAACCACGAGCCGGUUCCUCUGCGCACAGGUUUUCCAUACAAGGCAUGGUCGUUCAAGGAAUAUAACUUAAAAAUUUAAAACUGACUGUGCUUAAACUUCGGCAACUUAGCUUUUUUGUUGUUUGUGUCCNNNNNNNNNNNNNNNNNNNNNNNNNNNNNNNNNNNNNNNNNNNNNNNNNNNNNNNNNNNNNNNNNNNNNNNNNNNNNNNNNNNNNNNNNNNNNNNNNNNNNNNNNNNNNNNNNNNNNNNNNNNNNNNNNNNNNNNNNNNNNNNNNNNNNNNNNNNNNNNNNNNNNNNNNNNNNNNNNNNNNNNNNNNNNNNNNNNNNNNNNNNNNNNNNNNNNNNNNNNNNNNNNNNNNNNNNNNNNNNNNNNNNNNNNNNNNNNNNNNNNNNNNNNNNNNNNNNNNNNNNNNNNNNNNNNNNNNNNNNUGUGGGCGCAGGAAUCUUCUCUUUGAGAAAAAGGAAGAAGAGAAAAUAAAGUUAUGGAGCCUUAAGGCUUGUUAUUGCUUACCGGGGGCAAGUUCUGCACAAAGUGUCAGUGUAUACAUGCUAAAAAGAAAAAGGCAUGAAUUUUGACAAUAUGUACUAAACAUAUGAUCUUUAUUUAUGCACGGGAUCUGCGCCCGGCUUUGUACAAAGGGUUACAUGCAACAACGGCAAGGCUUGUACAAAAGGUGGUUGCCAGGACAGCAGGUUCCGGCAACCGCGCCUUAUGGGUAAAACUUACGAAGAUGAUCUAUGUUCUAGGAGUUGCUCACCGGAAUGCCAUCUUCGGUCUCAAGGCGGACAGCGCCAGGCCUAGUGACUCGCUUUACCCGAUAAGGGCCUUCCCACUUCGGCGUCAACUUGUUGGAAUUCUUGGCAGAUUGAACGCGCCGAAGAACAAGGUCACCUUCCUCGAAGCUUCUGGCAUUAACUUCGCGGCUAUGGUAGCGGCGCAAAGCUUGCUGGUAGCGAGCAGCUCGUACAGCAGCCUGAAGACGAUCCUCCUCGAGGAGCAGCGCGUCAUCUUGCCGCAGCUGCUCUUGCUCAAGCUCAUCAUAAGCGAGCACUCGAGGCGAUCCGUAUACGAGUUCUGUGGGGAGAACUGCCUCUGCUCCAUAGACAAGAGCAAAAGGUGUCUGGCCAGUGGCUCGAUUUGGCGUCGUCCUGAUCGACCAAAGAACCACCUGUAGCUCCUCGAUCCAAUUUCUUCCGCACUUGUGCAGCCUGUCGAAAGUUCUGGUCUUGAGCCCACGCAGCACUUCAGCGUUUGCCCUCUCCGCUUGACCGUUGCUUCUCGGGUGAGCAACAGAAGCGAAGCAGAUCUUGGCGCCAAGAUCUUGGACGUACUGCAUGAAGGUGCAGCUCGUGAAUUGUGUGUUGUUGUCGGUGAUGAUCCUAUUAGGGACUCCGGAACGGCAAACAAUUGACCUGAAGAACUUGACUGUUGACUGUGCUGUCACCUUCCUCACUGGCUCCACCUCCGGCCACUUCGUGAACUUGUCGAUGGCCACGUACAAGUACUCGAAGCCCCCGACAGCUCGGGGAAAAGGGCCAAGGAUAUCAAGCCCCCAGACUGAAAAUGGCCAGGAUAAAGGGAUUGUUUGGAGAGCUUGAGCUGGUUGAUGAAUCUGUUUGGAGUGGAACUGGCACGCUUCACACUUGGUUACUUGUGCAGUCGCAUCCUGGAGGGCUGUUGGCCAAAAGCAACCUUGCCGGAAGGCUUUACUGGCAAGUGCUCUUGCGCCAAUGUGGUGGCCACAUAUGCCUCCAUGUAUCUCCGCCAACAGCUCUUGUCCUUCUUCCCGGGAAAUGCACUUCAAUUUCACUCCGUUGAAUCUUCUUCUGUACAGUAUGUCAUCGACAAACUGAUACAUACUUGAUUGUCGGGCUACUUUCUCUGCUUCUUCUUGCUCUUCGGGAAGUUCUCCUGUUUGAAGGAAAUGGACGAUCUGCUGUGCCCAUGCCGGAGCUUGUGGCUCGACGACAAGGACUAAAGGCGCAAAUGCUGCUGCGGGAACAUCCGCUUCUACGGCAAGAAUAUGAGAUCCUGCCGGAGCGUGAUGCUCCCCGGCAAGCGUGCCGGGGCACAGCUUGUCGGGAGCGUCUGCUUCAACGAAACAAACCCUAGGGCUUGUCGGAGCAGACUGCUCCUCAGCACUUUCUAUGUUGAUCCUGGGGACCUUCUUGGCGGCGGCUUCGGGGAGCUCUGCCGGAAAGUAGUCGCCAGUAACCAACUUUCUCUUCUUGCUCUGUCCAGUUGAUGGUGUUACAGAUGGCUGAGUCAGCUUGAGCACAAAAAUACCUGGUUCCACAGGUAACUUGAGUGCGGUGCACUUUGACAGGCCGUCUGCAAUGUCAUUCUGAGCUCUUGGAACAUGUUCCAUCUGCAGGCCGUCAAAAUGCUCUUCCAGCUUCCUCACUUCAUCAAUGUAGGCCUCCAUCAGCGGACUCUGAUAAUCUGUGUUAACUUGGCGGACGACAAGCUGUGAGUCACCCCUGACAAUAAGCUUCUUGAUCCCAAGUUCUGUCGUGAUCCUGAGUCCGGCAAGCAGGCCCUCAUAUUCUGCAGUAUUGUUUGUUGCUUGCUCCUUGGGAAAGUGCAUUUGGAUCAUGUACUUGAGGUGCUCUCCGGUGGGUGCGACAAGUAACACACCCGCACCGGCGCCUUGCAGCGAGAAAGCACCAUCAAAGUACAUGAUCCAUUCCCUGUUUGCUUCCUUGACGGGGAUCCUCGUCUCCGGAGUUUCUUCAUCUGGUGUUGGCGUCCACUCCACUAUGAAUUCUGCCAAUGCUCGGCUCUGGAUAGUUGAAGUACUUUCAAACUUGAGGCCAAAGCUUGACAGUUCCAGUGCCCACUCGACAAUCCUGCCUGUUGCUUCUGGAUUUUGCAAUAUCCUCUUCAACGGAAAGCGAGUGACAACUGUGAUCUGAUGUGCUUGAAAAUAAUGGCGCAGCUUCCUCGAGGCCAUGAGAAGGCCGAAAAGCAACUUUUGCACUCCAGAGUAUCUUGAUCUAGCCACCUGCAGAAGGGAGCUGACAAAAUAAACUGGGUGCUGCACCAUCUUCUUUUGUUUCUCUGCCUGCGGCUGCACAGACUCAUCCUUGUCGGGACCAGAGCUUGACGGAGAAGCCCCCUGCUUGUCGCUGGACUCGCUUGCCGCGGCCGCUGGCUCAUCAUCUGCCUCCCUCUCUGCUACUAACGCAGCACUAACCACUUGAUUGGUUGCUGCUAGAUACAGCAGCAACUUCUCUUGCGGCUUAGGUGCGACAAGUACUGGAGUGGAGGAUAGGUAUCUCUUCAAGUCCUGUAGCGCAGCCUCCGCUUCUGGAGUCCAUUUCAUUGGACCUGCCUUUUUCAAAAUUUUGAAAAACGGCAGGGCGCGCUCAGCAGACUUAGAGAUGAACCUACUGAGAGCAGCAACGCAGCCGGCAAGCCUUCGCACAUCCUUGAGGCGCUUCGGGGCUUCAAUCUGCUCGAUGGCCUUGAUCUUGUCGGGGUUGGCUUCGAUCCCCCUCUGGGACACGAAGAACCCGAGAAGCUUGCCGGAAGGAACUCCAAACACGCACUUCUCAGGGUUCAACUUGAGAUUGAUCUUGCGCAGAUUUGCAAAAGUCUCAUCCAAAUCUUGGAUCAAAGUUUCUCUAUCUUUGCUCUUGACCACUAUAUCAUCCAUGUAUGCUUCUACAUUCCUGUGCAGCUGUGGCUCAAAAGCAUGACUGACUAGUCUUGCAAACGUUGAACCAGCAUUCUUUAGUCUGAAAGGCAUUCAUACAAAGCAGUACGUGCCACAUGGAGUAAUGAAUGCGGUGUUCUCUUCAUCCUCUUUUGCCAUGAAAAUCUGAUGGUAUCCUGAGUAUGCAUCAAGAAAUGAAAGCAGAUCACAUCCUGCCGUGGAGUCGACAAUCCGGUCAAUGCGCGGCAAGGGAAAUGGAUCUUUGGGACAAGCUUUAUUAACAUCCGUGAAGUCAAUACAAAGCCUCCACUUCCCAUUCACCUUGCGCACAAUUACUGGAUUGGCUAACCACGUUGGAUGGAGUACUCCUCGGACGAGGCCUGUUGCUUCCAACUUCUUGAUCUCUUCUGCUAUGAACUCUUGGCGUUCCGCCGCUUGCUUCUUGACUCUCUACUUGACGGGCCGCGCGUGAGGACAGACGGCAAGGUGGUGCUCAAUUACUUUCCUGGGAACACCGGGGAUGUCAGAUGGUUGCCAUGCAAACACAUUGACAUUCGCCCGCAGGAAAGCAACGAGCGCGCUUUCCUAUUUAGGGUCAAGCGUGGCACUGAUGGUGAAGGUACCACUAGUGCCGUCCUCCUUGGCGGCCACUUUCUUGGUAUCAGGUGUCGCUAUCUUUGCCCUCUUGCACUUGCCGGUGGAGCUCGAUGGUGCGUCCUCGACGGUAGCACAGCACUCCGAAGAGGUGCGCUUGCCGGAGUGGGCAUCAGAGCUACUCUUGCCGGACUUGGUCUUCUUCUUCUUCCCCCCGGGAGCUUCAGCGGCAAGUGGUUUGUGCUCUGCUGCGGCUGCUGCUUCCUGGUAGAUCUUGUCGGUGCAGAUAAGCGCAUCCUUCUUGUCGCCUUGGACAGAAAUGACGCUUAUCGGACCGGGCAUCUUGACCACGUUGUAAGCAUAAUGAGAGGCUGCCAUGAACUUGGAAAGCGCUGGACGGCCGAGUAUCCCAUUGUAGGGCAACGGGAAAUCAGCAACAUCAAAUGUGACUCUCUCUGUCCUGAAGUUCAGUUUGCUGCCAAAUGUCACUGGUAGUGUAAUCUUCCCCUUGGGCUUGCUCCUUCCCGGGUUGAUUCCUUGAAAGGUACCAGUUUCUUCGAGCUCGCUGUCGGGGAUCUGGAGCUUGUUGAGCACCGCGGAAGAGAUCAGAUUUAGGCCGGCCCCACCGUCAACCAACAUCUUCGUGACCUUGAGGUUGCGGAUGGUUGGCGAAACCAACAUCGGCAAGCACCCGACCGCAGUGAUGCGAUCAGGGUGAUCCUCAACAUCAAAGACGAUGGGCGUACUGGACCACUUCAGGGGCUUGCGCGAUUCGACUGAUGGUUCAGCUGCAUUUACCUCCCGCACCCACUGCUUGAGUUGGCGGUGCGAGGUGUGCAGAGAAGCACCGCCGUCAACGCACAAAACCUCUGUUGCCUUCUGAAACUCUUGCUCGUCGGUCUCAUCCUCGUCCAUCUCAUCAUCCUCAUCUUCAUCUUCGUCCUUGUCACGGCCACGGGGAGGUCUGUCUCCUUGCCGCUGCUUGGCCUUGCCGCGGCGCCCUCCCCGGGCGGGACGCUUCUUGCCGGAUCCUCCGCCACCUUCCUGGGCCUUCUCCUUGUCGCGACGCUCGUAUUCAGCUUUCUGUAGUUCUGCCAUUUGCUCAACCUUCUUGCAUGCUUGGAGGUCAUGGCCCUUGGUGCGAUGGAUCUUGCAGUACUGCUUGCCGGAACAAUCCUGCUUGUCGGCGGCCACCACAGCCUCGCCGGAGUCACCAGCUUUGGCCUUGUCGGCGCCGCCUCCGUUGCCGGACUGCUCAACAACUAGCACAUCCUUAGCCUUUCUCUUUCUAUUAUUCCGCCUCCGGUUCUUCUUUGCCGGAGGGACGUCCUCAUUGUCCGAUCCUUCUGCUCCUGCAUUCUCUCCGGGAAGUUUCCUCCCCUCUUCAGCUCGUGCACACUUGUCAGCCAGAGCAUAUAGCUCGCUGACAUCUCUAAUCUUGCACAUCGCCAUCUCCUCCCUCAUCCUGCGGUUACGCACGUUCUGAUGGAAUGCGCUGAUAACCGCGGCAGGGUGGACGUCUGGGAUGUUGCGCUGCACCUGGCUGAAUCUCUGUAUGUACUUGCGCAGGGGUUCUCCUUCUUUCUGGGCGAGCAGAUGAAGAUUGCUCUCCUGACCAUGGGGUUUGUGGCCGCCUGUGAAGGCGCCGACAAACUGAUGGCACAGGUCCGCCCACGAAGAGAUGGAGUUGUCCGGCAAGUGCAUGAGCCAAGAUCUGACGUUGGGCUUGAGCACCAGCGGGAAGUAGUUGGCGAGGAUCUUCUCGUCGCGCCCCCCGGCAGCCUGCACCGCGAUGGUGUAGACGCUGAGGAACUCUGAUGGAUGUAUCCUGCCAUCGUACUUCUCGGGUAUGUCCGGCUUGAAGUUCUUGGUACUGGGCCACUGGACUUGCCGCAGCUCACGGGUGAACGCAGGGUAACCUGCCGCGUACGGCAAGUCGCCUGGUUCCCCUGGCGCAUGCAUAUCGACAGUGGGCCCAGCGCACUGGUCAGAUUAAUGUCGCGCUUCUCUUCUGCGCUCGAUGCGAGUACGAGCGUCUCUGUGUCGUCGUUCUUGGAGAACUUGGCGUUGAUCGCGGCGAGCUCGCGGGUCCGACGACGCGGUGGAGUCGGUGUCGAGGUUGGAACGGCGAGUUGGCGAUCAUGGCCUUCGGGGCGGGGAGUGCACGGUGGUGGCACCCCCAGCGGUCUUGUCGGUGUCGGCUUGCGCCCGGGCGUCUUGCCGGGGCUUUCGAUGUGCUCGGUUGCCGGGGCUUGUCGCCGUUGGCGAAGCCGAUGAGGCUUUGGAUGGUGAUCCUCCAGUCGUCGAUCUUGUCUGGCGCUGGAGGGUAAUCUAGAAGCAGCUGGGCUCGGGCCAGCGCUUCCUCUGGAGUCUUGGGCGGCGGUGGCGAGCGACGCGAGGUGCGGGAUAUGCUCAAACUUCUAACAGUGUUAGAAGGAGCAACAUCUCGCCCAGGCGACCGUACUUCGCUCGUGCCAGCGUGUUGACGUGUAUGUUGGCCUUGAGCGUCCCGCGAUCCGCCGGCUUGGCCUUGUUCCAACACGAGCACGGUGCUAGGAGUACCGUGGCAUUGCCGAUCUUGCACCUCCUGGGAGGGGUACGGUGGAUGUACAGACGCUGAAGCUUGCGGGGCCUUGUCCUCGGACCUGGUGACGAUGUGAGUCCCCCCGUCGGCGCCCGCUCCUCCGCCGGCGUCCACCCCACCACCCGUUUGCUCCGGUGGCGGUAGGAUAGUCGCAAACGGAGUGGCCACCUCCGAAGCCUUCUUCUUCGGUGGCAUGUCGAUGAAGAUGUUGAUGUAGCGCGCAGAUGCCGGAUCAGGUACGCACAACCUCGACGCCCACCUACCUGGCGCGCCAAAGAUGUCGUGGGAAACGAACACCUAUGGGGCAGGGCCCCUUUUCGGUCCAGCAAGGGAGCGGAGGGCGCACGAAGAGCAGAUCGAGGCGGAGCACGCGGGGGAAUUUUACCCAGCUUCGGAGCUCUCCGGAGAGAUAAAACUCCUACUGCUGCUUUGUGUUUCUAUUCUGUUCUUGCUCAAGAGCGUGGGUGUGUUGUAGUUUUGAAUGUGUCGAACCCCUUCUACGUGUGCAUGGGCCUCCUUUUUAUAGUCUAAAGGGGUCAGCGACAGGUGGCAGCGUAGAGAGAGGGGUAAAAAAGUAAAAACGCGGGUUGGUACAACCGCUAUCAACAGUGGCCCCUACCUAACUCUGACGGCAGGGGACAAGGGCAUUUAAUGCCCGUCCGGUCGCCCAAACAGUGCAGGAAGCGACCGUUAGGGGCGCCACCGAUCGCCAUGAUGGCCUCCUAGUCAUCUUCACUUGCCACCUCGCACCGCUUGGCUGCACAGCUACCCGCCACGUGCACCGGGAGCGAUCCUGCGGCGACACGUCGUCGGAUGCGCUGGAGCGUGGGCGCAGAGUUGUGGCUUCGCUGUAGCAAGCGCCUUGCCGCGGUCACUAUCUUGUCGCACCCGCAAGCUUGCCGCUCGCCGGGUCUUGGUUGGCCUUCCCGGCAAGCUCCUCUUGCCGGGGUCUUGUCCUUCCCGGCAAGCUUCUCUUGUCGGGGCUUCGUCUUCACAGUUAACACUUUGUUCUUGAAUGGCAGUAAAUAGGAAUGACGAAGGAUCUUGGCGGACGCCCGGCAAGCCUUGCCGCAGGACGCUGCGACUGCCCGUGCACAAGUUCGGGGUACUAAGGUACCCCUACUUUAGUACACCGACACCUCCAAACUUUAUGUGGCACUGCAAAAUAUUUGUGGCUCUGUCUAAGAUUGCCAAGGAAUUAAAAGGGGAACUUAACAUAUUUUUCCUAAGUAAAUAGUGUGCCCAAAAUAUUCUCUUAACCAUCUCUGUUUUUUUUAAUAAAAAAAGGCGAAUAAGAACUCGCCCGGGCCUCGGCCUACUCCCACUUACCAGCCCACCUAAGCCGGCCCACUCCCCCGCUCCCAUGGCCUAUAGGCCAUGCUCAACCGAACCCUAACCCCGCACGAUCCCCCCACUCCCCACUUCUCUCCCCUCCCGAUCCAAUCUGGAUCGGACCGAAACUGGCGCCCCGACGCCAACCGCCGUCGCUGGAGGCAUCCCCGACUCCACGCUGGGCCACCCCAUCACCUGACCUCCUCCCCGUCGUCGCUCGUCACUCGCUGGACCGCCUCGUCCCCACCAACGCCGCCCCGAGCCCAACGUCCCUGUCGUCGUCGCCGUCGGCAUCGCCCCGAUGUCGCCACCACCCGACGCCGGCGCCCUCGACAUCGCCACCCCGAGCCCACUGCCACCCCUACGCUCCACUGUGAGCCCCUCGCCGAUUCCCCCUCCUUCCUGUCAUCGUAGGUGGCCGCAUGCGCUGUUGGCCACCGUGGCCGCGCUCCGGCCGUUCCCCAUCCGUGUGCUAGCCUCGCCUUCCCCGGCUGCGGCCACCAGCCUCCUCGUCGCGCUCCCGCCUUCGCCCACACCUGCCCCUGUACGCCCAGCCGCUGCUGCUCGCCGGAUCCGCAUGUUCGCCCCCUAGCUUCGUCUCCGGCCGUCGAGUCCGCACCCGAUGCCGGCGCCCCAGCGCGUCCAUGCGCCCGUACGGGCGGGCGCCCACGCCCAUGCCCCUCCGCCCGUUAGCCCGCCCCGCUAAGGCCUGGGCACCUAACCAAGGGGCCCCACGCCCCUGUGUAAUAAAAAAGAUUUAAAAAAAAUAAAUAUAAAUAUAAUUAGUUAAUUAGUUAAUUAAUUGUAUAGUUAAUUAACUAACUUAAUUAACCUUGCUUAGUUAGCCUAAUGAACUAGUUUAGUUAAUUUAAAUCUGUUAGAUAGGUCUAUGAGAGAACGACCCCACAUGUCAGUUUAACCAGUCAACACUCUUUUGACUGCUGACAUCAUGAUGACGUCAGGCUGACAUCAUAAUUCCAAUUUUGAAUUAAUAAUAAUUUCAGAAUAUUAUUAAAACUUUGAAAAAUCAUAGAAAAUAAACCGUAUCUCGGAUGGAAGUUGCUUGGAACGACGAGACAAAUCCGAAUGCGCAGUUCGUUCAUCUGUCACGCGUCCCUAGCAUAGCAAACGUUGAACUUUUCCCCUCCGGUUCAUCUGUCUGAUAGACGUCCGGAACCGGGAAAACUUUCCCGGAUGUUUCCCCCUUCGCCAGUAUCACCUAGCACCUCGUUAGAACACUUCUAGCCCCGCUUAUUGUCUUGUUAUGCAUAUGUUUGCGUGUAUUUACUGUUUCUUCCCCCUCUUCUUCUCCGGUAGACCUCGAGACCGCUGAUGAUGCCCCUGUGAUCGACUACGUCGACGACGACCCUCCUUGUUUGAGCAACCAGGCAAGCCCACCCUUUGAUCAUCCCGAUAUCGCCCAUUCCAUUCUCUCAUGCUUGCACUAGAUUUUGCUACUGUAUUUGACUGCUCCUAUUCUGAUGCAUAGCCUGCUUUUGUACCUGCUAUUGUAACUUACCUGCUUAUCCUAAAUUUCUUAGUACAGGUUGGCUAGUGAUCCAUCAGUGACCCCCACCUUGUCUUUGUUGCCCCUGCUUCAUCAUCGACGACUCGAUCAACGUGAUCGACGACCGGAGCCUGACACCUCACAUCACAUCACGCCCCUUUUUCUUGCUCGACUCUGCAGAGUUACCAUCGAGUGCCGAGGGUGGAACCUCAUACAUCGCUCCUGAUGAGAUCUCUGUAGUGUAGCUAUUCGGUCGUGGUCAUCGAGGGUGGUUCCUCCUUCACCAUUCCUAAUACGGCUCUGUCGUGCAACACCUCAAGUGUGAACCUCGAGGGUGGUUCCUCUUACGUUCACCUUGAUGAUUACAUCAACUGGAAUCCACCGGGGGUGAUUCCUCGGAUUUUCCCCUUGAUGUCUGGACACAUAGUUACCUUGAUACUUGAGACCGUUGUGAAAGCCGGGCGAGCCCGGAGAGCACCCGUGCGAUGUGACGGUGGCGGCUGGCUGUUUAGCGGUAUCACCCGGGAGGGGUGAUAGCUCCGGACUUGUCCCGACAUCCGUCACUUCUUUUAAUAAUGCACUAACACGUUUGUGUAUUUGUUCUGAGUUGGCCUCUGGCCUUUACGCACUAACCACCACGCGAGAAUAGUUAUGGGCCUCGACGUUGCAGUAUCUUUCGAAGCUUUGUCAGACGUCCAGUUCAGCAUUGUGGCCGGGCCGGAUCGUGCCAUCCACUUCACCGGUGGUGCUGGUAUCCCCUUGUGCACAACGACCCGGAGUGCAAUGGGCGAUGGGCCCAGACCCCGGAGUGCUUAGGAUGUAGACCGGCGGGGACCUCUCUACUGAGCCUAGGUAGGGCUGCGACGUGUUGAUCUUCCGAGGCUGGGCAUUGACCCCAGAAAGGUGUGUCCGGCCAGAGUGAUCGAGCGUGUUGGGUAACGUGGUGCGCCCCUGCAGGGAAGAUUAUCUAUUAAUAGCCGUGUCCAUGGUAACGUACCUUCAGACUUAUAUCUUGAUCUUAUACAACUACAAAUGGAUACUUGAGAUAUGUGGCUCCGGGAUUGCUUUCUCGCAGGGAGUCGAGGAAGGAUCUCUGGGCGUUGUUGUUAAAACAUGCUUGUUAAUUAAACUGCUAUUCUUUACUCUUCUACAUGCUGCAAGAUGCUUGGAGCUGCUUGAAGAUGCUAGUCUUUGUUUGGCUAGGCCUUCCCCUCUAUUCUGGCAUUCUGCAAUUCAGUCCACAGAUACAACCCUUCCAUUUGAUACCAAUGCAUACUUAGUAUAGAUCUGAUGCUUGCGAGUACUUUGGAUGUGUACUCGCGGUUGCUUUGCUACCCCUUUUCCCCCUUCUUUCUUCUUUCCGGUUGACGCAACCAUAUGGUGGAUCCUUGGAGCCAGAUGCCACCGCCGAUGGAUGCUAGUACGUGAAGAUCGCCGACGACCAGGAGUAGUUAGGAGGUCCUAGGCAGGAGGCCUUGCCUCUUCGAUCGUUGUUGCUUUUGUGCUAGCCUUCUUAAGGCAUCCUUAUUUAACUUAUGUCUGUACUCAGCUAUUGUUGCUUCCGCUAACUCUUGUGUAUCGAGCUAUGUAUUCGAGCUCUCGAGGCCCCUGGCUUGUAAUAUAAAGCUUGUAUUAUUUUGAUUUGUGUCUAGAGUUGUGUUGUGAUAUCUUCCCGUGAGUCCCUGAUCUUGAUCGUACAUAUUGGCGUGCAUGAUUAGUGUACGAUUGAAUCAGGGGCGUCACACAAGCGGUACUACUGCCCCACCCAGUUUCAGCAUUUCGAGUUUCACCGUUUUGCCCAUAACUUCCACAUCCGGAGUCCGAUUUUUGCAUUUUUUAGCUCGUUGAGUAGCUAUUGACAUCCCCCAUCCAUCUAUAUAGGUUCCAACACCAUUUGACUCCAUCAAAUUUUCCAAAAUUUGGAAAGUUUGCCUAGGCCGUCCACCAUAUCAUCUGCAUAGCCACCACCGACCACCGCAACCUAACCCAUUUUGUUCCCCUUAGCAUUUGAGGUUGUUUGAGUUGUGGCUUGUGUCUCCUAAGGUGUUUCGGCUACUUAGGGAUGGUAACUUCAACUCCAACACGUGUAUAGCCCAUCAUUCCACUUCCGCAUUGCCGAGUGCAAACCACCACCUCUUUCCACUACCACCAUUUGACAUUUACCUUUGUAGAUUUUGAGUUUGCGAUUUUUCCGUUUCCUAGGGUGUUUUGGCUAACUAGGAAUGGGUCGACAUCAGCAACAUCGCCUCUCAUCAUCGCCAAGGACGGUAACCUCGAUGACACCAUUGUAUAUUCCCUUGCCAUUGCAUUGAUAACCCCUAGCCCAUUUUGCGUCACUUGCCUAUCGAGACUAGCCGUUUGAGUAUUGCCGGCAACGUGACUUGUGCACAUUAGUGAUCAUACUUCCCAUAGCAUCAUACCAUAUCAUCGUGGUGCAUAUAUUGGUAGCAUAUCUUGCGUCACAAGUUUGUUGCCGCAUAUACACAAUUGCUAUCUUGGUUUGUGCAUUAUGCAGAAGUGGCCAUACAAAAAAGAGAAAUAAAGCUUUUAAGCAAAAGAAAGAGAGAAAAGAAGCUUGUAAGCAAGUGCCAUAGCAUCAUACCAUAUUGCACAUAAGAUUGUCAUAUCCGAUCAUCUUGGAUCAUCUUGAGAGAACAUCGGGAACCAUACAUACAUAGCAUACUUGGGAUAGAAAGUAUAUCCAUUUGGCAUCUUGUAGGUUGUGCACAAGUGUCCUAUCCGCCUAUUGAGCAAUCGUGCUAGCGUCUCUCUUGAGUUGUGCAACACGAGCGUUUUCUGUGGAUUCCACAUUUUGUGCUCAUUGCUUGGUUGCACGACCCCAUUUAUCUAUCCGUGUGUGUGUUUCCGUGUGUCAUUCUUUGCUAUUGGUCUACUUGUUUCACUUGCAAAUUUGUGAAUCUCUUUCAACAUUAUUGACUCUUGCUAACAUUUUGCAUCAAAUUUUUGUGCCACUAUCCUCACCGAGCUCCACCAUAAGCUUUACUUGAUAGGUGUGAGUGAACAAGUCCGGUACCAAUUCCACUAUUCUUUCAUUUCACAUUGAGUUAAACGGGAUACAUCCUCAACUUUGGGAAAGGUAACUUCCUAUUGUUUAUCUCAUUUCCUACUGGCAUUUCACCUUCGGUCUACAACAACAACGACGAGUUCGAUGCCACGAACAACUCCAACGACGCCAAGAUGCAAGCUCAAAUGGAGGAGAUCAAAGCCCUCAUCAAGUCCUACAAGCAAUCUUCCUCAUCUUCGAGAAGACACUCACGUGCACAUGUUUCCGAGCUACCAUCUCCGGUAAGAUCACAUCAGCAUCGACACCAUCACCAACAAGAACGUGAAGGUCAAGAGCUCAACACCAACUACCGCUCAACGACUUCACCAUCUCCCUUGGCAUCUUCGCCAAGCGACUUCAAGGCAUCUUUGAGUACGGAUAUACGGCAUCUUCGCCAACAAGAACCUCAAGGCUACGCUCAAGAGAAGCUCCCCAAGCUCAAGUCCACGACUUCCAUGAGCUACUACGACCUCGACACCGACCACAAGAUUCCUUUCUAUGGAACUCAAGAACCCGAGGAGUACCUCGAGUGGGAGCGUUUGAUGGACGACUACCUCAAGCUACAUCAAGUCCCUUCCGAAGAUCAAGUGAAGUGCGCCACAAGAAACUUCCACGACUACGCCUCGACAUGGUGGCUUCACACACCUUCGGAGAGCUACGAGAUGAGUUAGCCCAAGACGAAGAGAGCUUUGCAGCGAGAGCUCGUGCCUCCAACCUACAUGGAACAACUUCGACGCCAAUUGGAGAACACCAUCCAAGGAUCCAAGUCCAUCGACGCGUACUUCAAGGAGAUGAAGAAUGCCUUGCGACGAGACGGCGUGGAUGACCCCAUUUCGAUGAAGUUCCACUUCAUGAUGCGAUUGAACAACGACAUCUCCAAGACUAUCUUCCUCGAGAACUACAAGUCCCUGGACAACUACUACAUUGGUGCUCUCAAGGCGGAACAAGAACUCAUGAAAGCCAAGGCUUCUCCACCCCAAGCACACUUCGCGGCGACCAAGCUGUACGACAAGCAUGAGGCUAGUACCACCAUGAUGUCCAAGCCCGACGAGCUCCAAGACAAUGCUCCCAAGUUCGACUUCACCGCCAUCCCUCUUUGUGGCAUUGAUGACGCCGAGUCUACCUUGACUCUUUUUCAAGACGGUGCGGCGACGAGUACGACUACGGAGACCUUCAAGGACCAAGCUUUGGAGGCGAGCGACAAGGUGGCGAGCAAGGAUGGUGUUUCCAUCUUUGGAGGCGAGAGUGAUGAUGUGCCAUCUUCGUCCUUCAUCCACGGCGACGAUGACGAGAUGAUCGAGCAUGGGAUUUUCCCUUCGGUCAUGGAGGAGAGUGAUGAUGUGCCAUCUUCGGCCUUCAUCCACGGAGACGACGACGAGAUGGUUGAGCAUGGGAUUCUCCCUUCGACCACGGUGACGUAUGAUGACUUGAGUGACUUUUGCCACCAUAUUGAGAGUGAGAGUGACUUCACCACUAGCCCCAUAUAUGACGAGUUGCCCCAAUUCCUAUGUGAGGAGAGCCACAACCCCCACCACUUGAGUGAGAUGAGUGACUCCACCAUAUGCGACUUUGAGUGCACCUAUUUUGAGGGAGUGAGUGAACCACCACAUAGAGAGAGUGUGAUAGUUGAUAGGUCUCGUGAGGCCAUUUGCAUUUCUAACAACUUGACCUCUACCUCUAUUGUGUCUUCUCAUUUGGUGCUAGGUCCCAUUUAUGAUGACGCGCCGAUCCUCGACGACUUCGUCCUCCCUUUGGACAAGACGAUGGCCAUGGUGGAAUAUGAUGCACCCCCCACAUGGUUCCAUCAAGAUGAAGAUGACCACCAUUUGGUCUUUCCCACCUCACCUACACCACUUGAGUGGAAUGAAAAAGGUAACAUAGGUGAAGGUGAUGCUCUAGUCCCACUAGUGGACAUUCUUGACAUUGAUUGCUUGCAUGAUGUUGAUCCACCUAGUACCAUGCUUCAUGCUAGUAUGAUUUCCCCAUGUGAUGAUUUGGCCAUUUAUGAUGAGUAUGAUGAUUCUCAUGUGGAGUCUCUUAGUUGUGAUGUCAUGUUACAUAGGAUUUCUUGUGACAAUUCUUUAGGUCACAUCAUGUUUGAUAAUCCGCUUGACUUGUCGUAUGCUAUGCAUGACAUUCACCAUAUGUCAUAUUUGCAAUCUCAUUGUAGUGACUAUGCAUAUGCCAUUCAAAUUAACCCAAUUUGCACUUAUGGCAUAGAUGACAAGCCCAUGGUUAUUGGGAUUUGUUUUUCUUGUGAUGAUAUUGAUAUGGUCCCUUUGCAUCAUUUAUCUCAUAUGCCAUGUCAUGCCCACCUAGCUUCGGAUAUGCAUUGUUUUGGAUGUUGUCCAUUUUCUCCAUAUGAUGUUUCCAAUCUUGCUCAUGAGGAGACCCCCAUAGUUCCCUCAUACAUGUUAGGAGAUUUUGAUCCAUCCCAUCCAUUGCAUGAUCCCAACAAUUGUGUGCACCAUAUGCUCCCCAUGAAUAAACAUGCUAUUGAUGUGCCAUAUACUUGCAUUCUCAAUUUGUGUCCCCAUCGUGUCAUACAUAAUAACUAUUCUUUCAUGAUGGAUGACAUGUUCUUAUACCAUGCAUCAAAUUUCGUUGAGCGAUGCUUAUCUUGUGCUAACUCACACGUGCACAUACACAUCAUGAUGGAUGAUGUGUACAUUUACCACACACACAAUUUAUUUGGUUUGUGUCUCUUUUGUGUAGGUACCCAGGAAUACUUGUCAACCUCGCAAUCCCACGAGUUGACAAAACGAGCUCUAGAGAGCAACGAUGAUUUGGGAUCCCAUGGAUUGUCUUUCCCACCGCUCUCUUCGCGCAAAGACUUAGCGCAUUUCUUCUACAUGGCCCUCACUUGGCUAUGGGUUGUUUUCCAUUACAUAUUAUAUGCCCAUCUUGCCAUGUUCACUUUGCAUGAUAUGCCCAUUCCCAUGCAUUUGUGACCCAUACUUUGCUUUACACAUGAUGAUUGACUCUCAUACUUUUAUGUGUAUUUGCAAGCUUGGUGGAGAUAUUGCUUGUUGUUUCCCUAUUCCAUUUUUGACCCACCCCUAUGAUGAUACUAUGAUCUUGCUUUGUGUUCGUGCUUGUGAUAUGUCAUGUGCAUUGUCUAUCCCUAUUAUUUGCUCACAUGACAUGAUUGCCAUGAUUUACUCUGGUGUGUUGCAUCUUCGCUCCACUAGUUUGCACCACAUGAUUGAUAUGCUUGCUUGUAUUGCAUCCCCCAUGAUUCAUACUUGCUCAUUUCAUGCGAUUGAUGACAACCAUUUCCAUACUUUGCACGUGAUUGCUAUAGCUUCUUGUCACAUAUCUACAUAUGUUGCCUCUCUCAUGCUAGAUCACUUGCCAUGUAUUUAGUGCAACAAUGCUCUUAUUCUUGCUCAUGAGAUUGCCCCCAUAGCAUUCUCACAUAUGAUUGGAGUUGACAUAAUUCUUGUGAAGCAUGCUUGCCUUCCUUCUUUGCACCAUAUGCCUAGUGCCAUGAAUAUUGCCAUUGUUGCAUCAUAUUGUUCAUGCACUUGUGCUACUAAAGGUUAUGUGCAAGAGAUGAGAACCAUCAUGAUGGAUGAUGUGUUUCUCUACCAUGCGCAUAUACUCUUUGUUUUGUUGUGUGCAUGUGUAGGAUACUUGGACUUCGUCUCGACUUCCACUUCAUGUGAGUUGACCAUUCAAGCUCUUAAGAGCGAGCCUCACACAUUCUACCACUACUCGCUUCUACACCGCAUUUGCUUGCGCUUCGGCAUUGUGAAGAAUGCACAAGGACAUGCCUUCAAGGUGACAUCUUUCUUGAGCAUGGAUAUUGCGGAUCAUACUACUUGUGUAGCUUGCACUGUGAGACUUAUUGGUCAUCUUGGACCACUUGAUUGCGCACUUGCUAGAGAUCUUGCUUUGACUUGCCAUUUUCACAUUCCCAUGCAUCAUGAUAUAUAUGCCUUGUGUGUUGCAUCCAAUUCUUGGAUUACUAUCACAACCUAGCUAGUCCAUGCAUUAGAGUGUUGCAUCAUGUCUACCUUUUAUCAGAAACUUGAAUUGGGGAAGACAGAACCCCCCAGAACCCCUCUGAAUUCAACUAGUGCUUACUAAAAAUAUUUUCAAUGAACCUGAAAUGCCCUUCUAAAAAGUUCACCCUCUUUGUCUUGGGUUAGAACCUCUGGCAAAAUUGGUGCACAAUUUUCUAGGUCAACAAAAGGCCAUUGAAUUAAAUCAUAUCUACUUUGAGUUUGGGCAUUUAAACUAUAUAAAAUAUUUCAAAUGCUCAAAUAACUCCAAACUAAAAUGUUCCAUACUGGAUAUAUUCCAACUAGGGACCAUGUGCAGUUUGGUGAUUUUUGGAGUUGCCUAAGUAUUUUUAGAAAUGCAACAAACUUACAGAAACAAUUAAAAACAGAAACAAAUGGGAAAAACCCUUACCUGGCCGAACCAAGCCCCAGCCCAGCUGGCCGGCCCAGCACUGUGCUGGCCCAUGCCAGCCAGCUGCUUCGCCGUCGCCACGCAGGCACAGAGCUGACGCCGGCAAGCGUGAGCUCGCAACGGCGCCAGCUGCUUGCCGCCCGCGCCCCCGAGCACCUGGGUGAGCUCCACGUCGCCGCCCCGACCCCGUGGACACCUCAUUCGCCCCCUGCCUCUCUCCCUCGCUCUCCCGCACCAUGGCCGACGCACCCGCCGCCGCACCCCCGACGUAGUCGCGCCCUCCGUCGUCCUCGUGCUGCACCACCGUGUCCCUUCGCUCCGCCGUCAUCGACUACAUCGAGUAGGCCGAGCCCCGAGCGCUCGCUGGCCCUGUUUCAUCUUCUUCGAGCUCGUCUUCACCGAGCACCGCCACAGAUCCCCUUCGCCGUCGCCGCCGUACCAGCUCGUCCCCGACCUUGCCGACCACUCCGUUGUGACCGCCGUGAGCUCAGCCACCUCCCCAUCCUCCCCGUUUGCCUUCUCGUGCACCGUAGCAACCGCAUGGAGCUUCAUCGCACGCACCACCGACGAGCUCGUCGCCGACGUGCCUCCGGCCAUCCACCGUCCACACCACGGUGUCUAACAUGCUCACCGCAUCGUGUAGAGUCUAACGCCCCACUCCACGCGCCUCGCCGUGCCCCGUAGCCAUGGGUCCAUUUUCAUCCGACUCCGGCGACCGCCGUGGUCGUCGCCGGCGACGUUCCUGGCCACCUCGACCUCAACCACCACCACCAAACGCCGCGACUUGUUCCCGGCUACACGUAGAUGGUCUCCGUCGUCCAUUUGGUCGCCAGAACAUGCUAACCCACUUCCUCCGCCGCGUCUGGCCUCGCCGGCGGCUAGACACCGGCAUGUUUGACCCGUUGACAUUCACUGGGUGGGCCAGGUUGACUCCCCUGAGUCUAUGACAAGUGCCCCCCCCUCUGCUAAUUAACCUAGUUUAGCUCUUACUAAAAUCAGUUAGUUUAAAUAAGUGCUGACAUGCGGGACCCACUGGUCAGUUUGACCUGAACGACCCCUUUGACCACUGACGUCACCCUGAUGCACUGCUGACGCAAUAACCAAUUUCUGGAUUUAUUGUUAUAUAGGAAAUUCCAGAAAUUGUUGCAAACUUCAAAAAUUCAUAGAAAUUAAUCUGUAACUCCAAAUGCAAAGAUUUAUAUAUGAAUUUUGAUCAGAAAAAUUCAAUCUAUCCAUUGGUAAUGGUUUCAUGCAUGUCAGAACAAGUUAACCUUGCUGUUUAAUCAAAACAAGUUAAUGCACUAAUAUGACUAUGUUAAAUGAACUACCAUUUGCAUCUUUGAUUCAAAUGAGUUCAUACCUUUCUGUUCUAGCUUGCAUUAGGCCAGGACACAUUCAUGUUGCCAUGUCAUAGCAUGCAUCAUAUUGUUGUAUAUCGUCAUGUGUUGUUCAUGUUCGGUGUGUUUUCGUGAUAGGUUCUGCCUCCGAGGAUAACCCCGAAUAUCCGUCUGAAGGGCUGUAUCCUACUACCACUACAUCAGGCAAGCAACCCAUUGAUCAUUCCGAUACAAACCCAUGUUCUUGCCUCUGCUCUUGUUUACUGCAUUAAGACAAUGCGAUUCAAACUUUUGUGUGUUGUGGUAGUUGAACCCACUUCCUUUGCAUGACCUGUCAUUGCCACAGUAACUAGAUGAAACUCAGUAGCAUGUGUAGGAGUUGAUUGAGCCAUAUCUGUGUUACCUACCAUGCUAUGCUUGCUAUGCUUAGAGUUGUGUCAGGUCUGGCUCAUUGGGAUGAUGAACUAGAGUGAAAGGUUGUGUCGGUAAUGAAGUGUUGAACACGAUUUGGUAAAGGUAUCGAUGAGAGGCCAUGUAGGAGUACAUGGUGGGUUGUUUCAUUGAGGCCGUCCUUAAGCACUGAGAUCUGUGUGUGUGAUUUAAGAUUCAGCUACUACCACGCAUUGGGCCCGAAACCAAUGGACCCUCUCGACUUAUUAACCACUCUUGUCCUCUGUCCGGGAGUUGCAAGUAGUUUUUGGUGUUUGUAGCAUGAUGGGGGCCGCACGCAGUGCUGACCUUAGGGGUGGGUUGGGUUGCGGUAGGCAUGUGGCACGGUGUAUCGAUUCGCCCGUUUGGUGUCUCGGGAACCAUGUUCACAUCAUUCGGGGCCGUUAGUGGAAACCUCGGCCGGACUCCCUGCGGAUGGAACCCGAAUAGGCGAUAAACCUGGACUAGGGACUCGUGUGUUUAGUCAGGCCGUGGCCGACACCCUCGCUGGGCUUCCGCUUGAGGCUUGCCGAGUACACGUCAUGUAGCGGUGAUAAGUGGUGAGAGCGUGUGUGAAGAAGUACACCCCUGCAGGGUAUAAAACUAUUCGAAUAGCCGCGUCCGCGGUAAAGGACUACUUGGUCACCUAUGCAGUUCAUAGACAAGUAAAUGGAUACUUCUAAAAGCCUCAAGUUAAGUGUGAGUACCGAGGAUGGCCCUCUCGUAGGUUGACAAGAGAGGAUCCUCGGUGGAGUAUUGUGUUGGUGAGUAGUGGACUCGUGUGCGACAAAUGUUUUGCAAGUUGUGUCUAUCGUAGAAUAGCUUAGCCAAGAGUCAAAGCUGGCUUGCUGCAAUAACUCCACUACCUUCUUGAGAAUGUGCAUGUAUGAUAGGAUUCUGUUGUAAGACUUGCUGAGUACCUCUGUACUCAUGUUUGCUUAAAUGUUUUCAGACGACAACACCAACCCCUCCGAUGGGUUCUACGUAGACCUCGACGUUGACGAGUGACUAACCACCCAAGUGGUGAUCCGAGACUUGUGAAGGGCCGAUGUAGAUAGAAAGGCUUCGUCAAGCCCUCUUUCUUUCUAGUGUCUGUACUCAGACUAGUUGCUUCCGCAUGUGCUUGUAUGCUUGUAUGACUUGAGUCUCAGGUCAUGUGACCCCUAUCUGUAUGAACAUGUUAUGUAUGGCUCCUUGGAGCCACUUAAAUAAAGUACUUUGAGUUGUAGAGUUUUGUUGUGAUGCCAUGUUGUAUGUACUCAUAUCGGGCAUAUUGUGUGUAUGUUUGAAAUGCUUGGUAUGAGUGGGAUCCGACAAUCUAGUUGUUUAUCCUUGGCAGCCUCUCAUAUGGGGAAAUGUAGUCUAGUGCUUCCUGAGCGAUAGUAGUCCGCUACAGCCCGGUUCACCGGAGUCCUGCUAGCCCAGUACUACAGCUCUGGACACUUGACUGGACAGCAUGUGUUUCACUUCGUUCCUGUGUCUGUCCCUUUGCGGAAAUGUCACGCGGUGGCAUUCGGAGUCCUGCCUAGCCUGCUACAGCCCGGGUUACUGUUGGGAAACGUAGUAAUUUCAAAAUUUUCCUACGCACACACAAGAUCAUGGUGAUGGCAUAGCAACGAGAGGGGAGAGUGUUCGUCCACGUACCCUCGUAGACCGUAAGCGGAAGCGUUAGCACAACGCGGUUGAUGUAGUCGUACGUCUUCACGAUCCGACUAAUCCAAGCACUGAACGUACGUGGCCUCCGAGUUCAGCACACGUUCAGCUCGAUGAUGAUCUCCGGCCUCCAAUCCAGCGAAGCUCCGGAGAUGAGUUCCGUCAGCACGACAGCAUGGUGACGAUGAUGAUGUUCUACCUGCGCAGGGCUUCGCCUAAAAUCCGCGACGAUAUGACUGAGGUGGAAUAUGGUGGAGGGGGGCACCGCACACGGCUAAGGAACGAUCCAUAGAUCAACUUGUGUGUCUAUGGGGUGCCCCCCCCCCCCCGCCCCUGUAUAUAAAGGAGAAAGGGGGAGGCCGGCCGGCCCCUUGGGCGCGCCAAGGGAGGAGGAAUNNNNNNNNNNNNNNNNNNNNNNNNNNNNNNNNNNNNNNNNNNNNNNNNNNNNNNNNNNNNNNNNNNNNNNNNNNNNNNNNNNNNNNNNNNNNNNNNNNNNNNNNNNNNNNNNNNNNNNNNNNNNNNNNNNNNNNNNNNNNNNNNNNNNNNNNNNNNNNNNNNNNNNNNNNNNNNNNNNNNNNNNNNNNNNNNNNNNNNNNNNNNNNNNNNNNNNNNNNNNNNNNNNNNNNNNNNNNNNNNNNNNNNNNNNNNNNNNNNNNNNNNNNNNNNNNNNNNNNNNNNNNNNNNNNNNNNNNNNNNNNNNNNNNNNNNNNNNNNNNNNNNNNNNNNNNNNNNNNNNNNNNNNNNNNNNNNNNNNUCCGGUUUUCUCCGAAAUCACCCGGAACAAUUUCGGUGUCCGAAUAUAGUCGUCCAAUAUAUCAAUCUUUAUGACUCGACCAUUUCGAGAUUCCUCGUCAUGUCCGUGAUGACAUCCGGGACUCCGAACAAACUUCGGUACAUCAAAACUUAUAAACUCAUAAUAAAACUGUCAUCGUAACGUUAAGCGUGCGGACCCUACGGGUUCGAGAACUAUGUAGACAUGACCUAGAACCAUUCUUGGUCAAUAACCAAUAGCGGGACCUAGAUGCCCAUAUUGGUUCCUACAUAUUCUACGAAGAUCUUUAUCGGUCAAACCGCAUAACAACAUACGUUGUUCCCUUUGUCAUCGAUAUGUUACUUGCCCGAGAUUUGAUCGUCGGUAUCCAAUACCUAGUGCAAUCUCGUUACUGGCAAGUCUCUUUACUCGUUCCGUAAUACAUCAUCUCAUAACUAACUUAUUAGUUACAAUGCUUGCAAGGCUUAGGUGAUGAGUAUUACCAAGAGGACCCAGAGAUACCUCUCCGACAAUCGGAGUGACAAAACCUAAUCCCGAAUUAUGCCAACUCAACAUGUACCUUCGGAAACACCUAUAGAGCACCUUUAUAAUCACCCAGUUACGUUGUGACGUUUGGUAGCACACAAAGUGUUCUUCCGGUAAACGGGAGUUGCACAAUCUCAUAGUUGCAGGAACUUGUAUAAGUCAUGAAGAAAGCAAUAGCAGUAUACUAAACGAUCAAGUGCUAGGCUAACGGAAUGGGUCAUGUCAAUCACAUCAUUCUCCUAAUGAUGUGAUCCCGUCAAUCAAAUGACAACUCUUUUGUCCAUGGUUAGGAAACAUAACCAUCUUUGAUAAACGAGCUAGUCAAGUAGAGGCAUACUAGUGACACUAUGUUUGUCUAUGUAUUCACACAUGUAUCAUGUUUCCGGUUAAUAUAAUUCUAGCAUGAAUAAUAAACAUUUAUCAUGAUAUGAGGAAAUAAAUAAUAACUUUAUUAUUGCCUCUAUGGCAUAUUUCCUUCAGUCUCCCACUUGCACUAGAGUCAAUAAUCUAGAUUACAUGGUAAUGAUUUUGACACCCAUGGAGUCUUGGUGCUGAUCAUGUUUUGCUCGUGAGAGAGGCUUAGUCAACGGGUCUGCAACAUUCAGAUCCGUAUGUAUCUUGCAAAUCUCUAUGUCUCCCACUUGGACUUGGUCCCGAAUGGAAUUGAAGCGUCUCUUGAUGUGUUUGGUCCUCUUGUGAAAUUUGGAUUCCUUUGCCAAGGCAAUUGCACCAGUAUUGUCACAGAAGAUGUUCAUUGGUCCCGAUGCACUAGGUAUGACACCUAGAUCGGAAAUGAGAUCCUUCAUCCAGACUCCUUCAUUUGCUGCUUCUGAAGCAGCUAUGUACUCCGCUUCACAUGUAGAUCCCGCCACGAUGCUUUGUUUAGAACUGCACCAACUUACAGCUCCACCGUUUAAUAAAAACACGUAUCUGGUUUGCGAUUUAGAAUCGUCCGGAUCAGUGUCAAAGCUUGCAUCGACGUAACCGUUUACGACUAGCUCUUUGUCACCUCCAUAUAUGAGAAACAUAUCCUUAGUCCUUUUCAGGUAUUUCAGGAUGUUCUUGACCGCUGUCCAGUGAUCCACUCCUGGAUUACUUUGGUACCUUCCUGCCAAGCUUAUUGCUAAGCAUACGUCAGGCCUGGUACACAGCAUUGCAUACAUGAUAGAGCCUAUGGCUGAAGCAUAGGGAACAUUUUUCAUUUUCUCUCUAUCUUCUGCUGUGGUCGGGCAUUGAGUUUGACUCAACUUCACACCUUGUAGCACAGGUAAGAAUCCUUUCUUUGCCUGAUCCAUUUUGAACUUUUUCAAAAAAAAUUCAAGGUAUGUGCUUUGUGAAAGUCCUAUUAAGCGUCUUGAUCUAUCUCUAUAGAUCUUGAUGAGUAAUAUGUAAGCAGCUUCACCGAGGUCUUUCAUUGAAAAACUUUUAUUCAAGUAUCCCUUUAUGCUAUGCAGAAAUUCUAUAUCAUUUCCAAUUAAUAAUAUGGCAUCUACAUAUAAAAUUAGAAAUGCUACAGAGCUCCCACUCACUUUCUUGUAAAUACAGGCUUCUCCAAAUGUCUGUAUAAAACCAUAUGCUUUGAUCACACUAUCAAAGCGUUUAUUCCAACUCCGAAAUGCUUGCACCAGUCCAUAAAUGGAACGCUGGAGCUUGCAUACUUUGUCAGCACCUUUUGGAUCAACAAAACCUUCCGGCUGCAUCAUAUACAACUCUUCUUCUAGAAAUCCAUUCAAGAAUGCAGUCUUGACAUCCAUAUGCCAAAUUUCAUAAUCAUGAAAUGCAGCAAUAGCUAACAUGAUUCGGACAGACUUAAGCAUCGCUACGGGUGAGAAAGUCUCAUCGUAGUCAACCCCUUGAACUUGUCGAAAACCUUUUGCAACAAGUCGAGCUUUAUAGACAGUUACAUUACCAUCAGCGUCAGUCUUCUUCUUAAAGAUCCAUUUAUUCUCAAUGGCUUGCCAAUCAUCGGGCAAGUCAACCAAAGUCCAUACUUUGUUUUCAUACAUGGAUCCCAUCUCAGAUUUCAUGGCUUCUAGCCAUUUUGCGGAAUCUGGGCUCAUCAUCGCUUCCUCAUAGUUCGUAGGUUCACCAUGGUCAAGUAACAUGACUUCCAGAAUAGGAUUACCAUACAACUCUAGUGCGGAUCUUACUCUGGUAGACCUACGAGGUUCAGUAGAAACUUGAACUCCUCACUAAUUGGUGUAGUUGUCACAGGAACCGGUUCUCGUGAUGAACUACUUUCCAAUAAGGGAGUAGAUACAGUUAUCUCAUCAAGUUCUACUUUCCUCCCACUCACUUCUUUCGAGAGAAACUCCUUCUCUAGAAAGGAUCCAUUCUUAGCAACGAAUGUCUUGCCUUCAGAUCUGUGAUAGAAGGUGUACCCAACAGUCUCUUUUGGGUAUCCUAUGAAAACACAUUUCUCCGAUUUGGGUUCGAGCUUAUCUGGUUGAAGUUUCUUCACAUAAGCAUCGCAGCCCCAAACUUUAAGAAACGACAACUUUGGUUUCUUGCCAAACCACAGUUCAUAAGGCGUCGUCUCAACGGAUUUUGAUGGUGCCCUAUUUAACGUGAAUGCGGCCGUCUCUAAAGCAUAACCCCAAAACGAUAGCAGUAAAUCAGUAAGAGACAUCAUAGAUCGCACCAUAUCAAGUAAAGUACGAUUAUGACGUUCGGACACACCAUUUCGUUGUGGUGUUCCGGGUGGCGUGAGUUGCGAAACUAUUCCACAUUGUUUCAAGUGUAGGCCAAACUCGUAACUCAAAUAUUCUCCUCCACGAUCAGAUCGUAGAAACUUUAUUUUCUUGUUACGAUGAUUUUCCACUUCACUCUGAAAUUCUUUGAACUUUUCAAAUGUUUCAGACUUGUGUUUCAUCAAGUAGAUAUACCCAUAUCUGCUCAAAUCAUCUGUGAAGGUGAGAAAAUAACGAUACCCGCCGCGAGCCUCAACAUUCAUUGGGCCACAAACAUCAGUAUGUAUGAUUUCCAACAAAUUAGUUGCUCGCUCCAUAGUUCCGGAGAAUGGCGUUUUAGUCAUCUUGCCCAUAAGGCACAGUUCGCAAGUACCAAGUGAUUCAUAAUCAAGUGAUUCCAAAAGUCCAUCAGUAUGGAGUUUCUUCAUGCGUUUUACACCGAUAUGACCCAAAAGGCAGUGCCACAAGUAAGUUGCACUAUCGUUAUCAACUCUGCAUCUUUUGGUUUCAACACUAUGAACAUGUGUAUCACUACUAUCGAGAUUUAAUAAAAAUAAACCACUCUUCAAGGGUGCAUGACCAUAAAAGAUAUUACUCAUAUAAAUAGAACAACCAUUAUUCUUUGAUUUAAAUGAAUAACCGUCUCGCAUCAAACAAGAUCCAGAUAUAAUGUUCAUGCUUAACGCUGGCACCAAAUAACAAUUAUUCAGGUCUAAAACUAAUCCCGAAGGUAGAUGUAGAGGUAGCGUGCCGACCGCGAUCACAUCGACUUUGGAACCGUUUCCCACGCGCAUCGUCACCUCGUCCUUGGCCAGUGCUCGCUUAUUCCGUAGUCCCUAUUUCGAGUUGCAAAUAUUAGCAACAGAACCAGUAUCAAAUUCCCAGGUGCUACUACGAGCUCUAGUUAGGUACACAUCAAUAACAUGUAUAUCACAUGUAGCUUUGUUUACUUUGCCAUCCUUCUUAUCCGCCAAAUACUUGGGGCAGUUCCGCUUCCAGUGACCAGUCUGCUUGCAGUAGAAGCACUCAGUUUCAGGCUUAGGUCCAGACUUGGGUUUCUUCUCUUGAGCAGCAACUUGCUUGCUGUUCUUCUUGAAGUUCCCCUUCUUCUUCCCUUUGCCCUUUUUCUUGAAACUAGUGGUCUUGUUGACCAUCAACACUUGAUGCUCCUUCUUGAUUUCUACCUCCGCAGCUUUUAGCAUUGCGAAGAGCUCGGGAAUAGUCUUGUUCAUCCCUUGCAUAUUAUAGUUCAUCACAAAGCUCUUGUAUCUUGGUGGCAGUGAUUGGAGAACUCUGUCAAUGACGCUAUCAUCCGGAAGAUUAACUCCCAGUUGAAUCAAGUGAUUAUUAUACCCAGACAUUUUGAGUAUAUGCUCACUGACAGAACUAUUCUCCUCCAUCUUGCAGCUGUAGAACUUAUUGGAGACUUCAUAUCUCUCAAUCCGGGCAUUUGCUUGAAAUAUUAACUUCAACUCCUGGAACAUCUCAUAUGCUCCAUGACGUUCAAAACGUCGUUGAAGGCCCGGUUCUAAGCCGUAAAGCAUGGCACACUGAACUAUAGAGUAGUCAUCAGCUUUGCUCUGCCAGACGUUCUUAACGUCGUCAGUUGCAUCAGCAGCAAGCCUGGCACCCAGCGGUGCUUCCAGGACGUAACUUUUCUGUGCAGCAAUGAGGAUAAUCCUCAGGUUACGGACCCAGUCCGUGUAAUUGCUACCAUCAUCUUUCAACUUUUCUUUCUCAAGGAACGCAUUAAAAUUCAACGGAACAACAGCACGAGCCAUCUAUCUACAAACAAACAUAGACAAGCAAAAUACUAUCAGGUACUAAGUUCAUGAUAAAUUUUAAGUUCAAUUAAUCAUAUUACUUAAGAACUCCCACUUAGACAGACAUCUCUCUAGUCAUCUAAGUGAUUACGUGAUCCAAAUCAACUAAACCAUAACCGAUCAUCAUGUGAGAUGGAGUAGUUUUCACUGGUGAACAUCACUAUGUUGAUCAUAUCUACUAUAUGAUUCAUGCUCGACCUUUCGGUCUCCGUGUUCCGAGGCCAUAUCUGCAUAUGCUAGGCUCGUCAAGUUUAACCUGAGUAUUCUGCGUGUGCAAAACUGGCUUGUACCCGUUGUAGAUGGACGUAGAGCUUAUCACACCCUAUCAUCACGUGGUGUCUGGGCACGACAAACUUUGGCAAUGGUGCAUACUCAGGGAGAACACUUCUUGAUAAUUUUUGUGAGAGAUCAUCUUAAAAUGCUACCGUCAAUCAAAGCAAGAUAAGAUGCAUAAAGGAUAAACAUCACAUGCAAUCAAUAUAAGUGAUAUGAUAUGGCCCUCAUCAUCUUGUGCUUGUGAUCUCCAUCUUUGAAGCACCAUCGUGAUCACCAUCGUCACCGGCGCGACACCUUGAUCUCCAUCGUAGCAUCGUUGUCGUUACGCCAUCUAUUGCUUCUACGACUAUCUAUACCGCUUAGUGAUAAAGUAAAGCAAUUACAGGGUGUUUGCAUUUCAUACAAUAAAGCGACAACCAUAUGGCUCCUGCCAGUUGCCGAUAACUUCGGUUACAAAACAUGAUCAUCUCAUACAAUAAAAUAUAUCAUCACGUCUUGACCAUAUCACAUCACAACAUGCCCUGAAAAACAAGUUAGACGUCCUCUACUUUGUUGUUGCAAGUUUUACGUGGCUGCUAUGGGCUUAGCAAGAACUGUUCUUACCUACGCAUCAAAACCACAACGAUAGUUCGUCAAGUUGGUGCUGUUUUAACCUUCGCAAGGACCGGGCGUAGCCACACUCGAUUCAGCUAAAGUGAGAGAGACAGACACCCGCCAGCCACCUUUAAGCACGAGUGCUCGUAACGGUGAAACCAGUCUCACGUAAGCGUACGCGUAAUGUCGGUCCGGGCCGCUUCAUCUCACAAUACCGCCGAACCAAAGUAUGAAAUGCUGGUAAGCAGUAUGACUUGUAUCGCCCACAACUCACUUGUGUUCUACUCGUGCAUAUAACAUCAACGCAUAAAACCUAGGCUCGGAUGCCACUGUUGGGAAACGUAGUAAUUUCAAAAUUUUCCUACGCACACGCAAGAUCAUGGUGAUGGCAUAGCAACGAGAGAGGAGAGUGUUCGUCCAUGUACCCUCGUAGACCGUAAGCGGAAGCGUUAGCACAACGCGGUUGAUGUAGUUGUACGUCUUCACGAUCCGACCGAUCCAAGCACCGAACGUACGGGGCCUCCGAGUUCAGCACACGUUCAGCUCGAUGACGAUCUCCGGCCUCCGAUCCAGUGAAGCUCCGGAGAUGAGUUCCGUCAGCACGACGGCGUGGUGACGAUGAUGAUGUUCUACCGGCACAGGGCUUCGCCUAAACUCCGCGACAAUAUGACCGAGGUGGAAUAUGGUGGAGGGGGGGCACCGCACACGGCUAAGGAACGAUCCGUAGAUCAACUUGUGUGUCUAUGGGGUGCCCCCCGCCCCUGUAUAUAAAGGAGCAAGGGGGAGAGGCCGGCCGGCCCCUUGGGCGCGCCAAGGGAGGAGGAAUCCUCCUCCUAGUAGGAGUAGGACUCCUCCUUUCCUACUCCUACUAGGAGGGGGAAGGAAGGAGGAGAGGGGGAAGGAAAGGGGGGGCGCCGCCCCCCUCGUAGUCCAAUUCGGACCAGAGGGGGGGAGGGGGCGUGCGGCCCAUGCUGGCCGCCCCUCUCUCCUUUCCCCUAAGGCCCAUAAGGCCCAAUACUCUCCCGGGGGGUUCCGGUAACCCCCGGCACUCCGGUUUUCUCCGAAAUCACCCGGAACAAUUCCGGUGUCCGAAUAUAGUCGUCCAAUAUAUCAAUCUUUAUGUCUCGACCAUUUCGAGAUUCCUCGUCAUGUCCGUGAUGACAUCCGGGACUCCGAACAAACUUCGGUACAUCAAAAGAUAUAAACUCAUAAUAAAACUGUCAUCGUAACGUUAAGCGUGCGGACCCUACAGGUUCGAGAACUAUGUAGACAUGACCUAGAACCAUUCUCGGUCAAUAACCAAUAGCGGGACCUGGAUGCCCAUAUUGGUUCCUACAUAUUCUACGAAGAUCUUUAUCGGUCAAACCGCAUAACAACAUACGUUGUUCCCUUUGUCAUGGGUACGUUACUUGCCCGAGAUUUGAUCGUCGGUAUCCAAUACCUAGUUCAAUCUCGUUACUGGCAAGUCUCUUUACUCGUUCCGUAAUAUAUCAUCUCAUAACUAACUUAUUAGUUACAAUGCUUGCAAGGCUUAGGUGAUGAGUAUUACCGAGAGGGCCCAGAGAUACCUCUCCGACAAUCGGAGUGACAAAACCUAAUCUCGAAUUAUGCCAACUCAACAUGUACCUUCGGAAACACCUGUAGAGCACCUUUAUAAUCACCCAGUUACGUUGUGACGUUUGGUAGCACACAAAGUGUUCUUCCGGUAAACGGGAGUUGCACAAUCUCAUAGUUGCAGGAACUUGUAUAAGUCAUGAAGAAAGCAAUAGCAGUAUACUAAACGAUCAAGUGCUAGGCUAACGGAAUGGGUCAUGUCAAUCACAUCAUUCUCCUAAUGAUGUGAUCCCGUCAAUCAAAUGACAACUCUUUUGUCCAUGGUUAGGAAACAUAACCAUCUUUGAUAAACGAGCUAGUCAAGUAGAGGCAUACUACUGACACUAUGUUUGUCUAUGUAUUCACACAUGUAUCAUGUUUCCGGUUAAUAUAAUUCUAGCAUGAAUAAUAAACAUUUAUCAUGAUAUGAGGAAAUAAAUAAUAACUUUAUUAUUGCCUCUAGGGCAUAUUUCCUUCAGUUACCGGAGUCCUGUUAGCCCAGUGUUACAGCCCGGAUGUAUACGUUGAUGACCGACAUGCUCGAUGUGACUCAUGUAUGCCUGUCCCCAUAGGUUAGCGCCGCUUUGGGUUCAUGACUAGCCAUGUCAGCCCGGGUUCUCUGUCAUAUGGAUGCUAGCGACACUAUCAUAUACGUGAGCCAAAAGGCGCAAACAGUCCCGGCCAUGGUAAGGCGACACCCGUGGGAUUACCGUGCGUGAGGCCGCAAAGUGAUAUGAGGUGUUACCGGCUAGAUCAAUGUGACUUGGAAUCAUGGUCCAGACAGCAUUGGCAUCAGAGCCGGACUGCCUGUAGGUUCCUAAGCCAAACUGGUCGAUGUCGAGUCUAGAAAUGCUUUAGUUAUAUGUAGGGGAAUUUAUUGUGGGAGGAAACGUAAGGCUCUUUUUACCCCUUUACCUUAUGCCCUCUGAUCUGUGUCAUCCUCUUCUCAUUCUACGUGGGUUAAGGACUAGGCUCUCUUCUCUCUAUCAGGUUCACGUGUUACUAAUCCGUAGUAACUUAUAGGAUUGUUGGUUACCAGUCUCAGUACAGUUCCUACUACUUUAGUAUGUUAUCAGUUGAACCUGAACCUUGAUAUGAUGUUGUUGAGUGGUUUUGCAAUCCGUUGUGAAUGUCUCAAAUCUGCUCCUGAGCAUUUACAGCUGUUAUGUUGUCCAAUUUUCCCUAGGAAUUCUAAUGUCUUUGCAUUGUGGUUGUGCUUUCAGAUGGCCACUCGCGCUCAGAACCAAGUGGUUCGCCUGACGCGGUGCCUCAAUGUGCCCGGUCAUACUGCUAUGUUAGUCCGGGUCAUGAUCGAGACAGGUUACCGUUGGUAUCCCGAAUACAUUGCCGAAGAGCAAUUCCAAGACUUUAAUCAAAGCCAAUACUUCUGCACUGUCAGGAUAUUUCCUUCAUAUCCUGGAUCCACCGAGCCCCUUCACUGCUCCUAUGGACUCGGGGUCACCAUUGAGAUGGCUGUACAGGAUGCGGCCUAUUCUAUGAUGACCAUCAUGCGAGUCAGGACUGGUCUGCUUCGGAACACCGACUUCCGUUAUAUGCCAGCAUCGCUCCCAGGAGCGCAAGGGUAUCUCCAGGCUAUCUAUGCUGAUUCCACCCAUGAGGACUCACUAACUCGCACCAUUGCGGAGAUGCUCGAGGAUAAGGACCGAGAGAAUCAGGCCUUGAGGUUGGAGCUUUUCAACACCUGCGCCGAUCAUUGGGCCACUUUGACUCGGUUUGCACCGGCUGUGCAAGCUGGAUGUAUGGAUAUGAGGGAUCUGUUUCCUGUGAGAUCUGCUCUGCCAGACAUGGUGGAUUGGCGUGAUGUGGGAGGCAUCAUCCCACCCCGUGGUCCCCGUAGGCCAUCGUUUGUUGGUCCAAGACCUCAUCCUAGCCCCUAUGGUCCACAGGCUCCUCAGGACCGUCUGUUCCCGGAUGAUCACGUUGAGCUUCCAAGCUAUGGAGGGGACUUCUAUGAGGACUACUACGGAGCUGUCUGAGUUAGUAGUAGUAUCUUUAGUAUUGUAAUAGUUGUAAUUCCAUCGUCCUGCGUGACCUGUGGAAUAUGACUUAGUGUGUAUCAGUUCCGGAGGUGUAGAAAAAUAAUGUAUCGGAGCUUGGAAUGCCUCCGAUGAGAUGUAACUUCUUCCACCGUAGUUGUACUAUAGUCGGGCUUGUACUAAACUAUGUAUGGUGUGUAUGACUGUUGGUGCAUAUAUGGCAGUUUCUGUAUUACCAUGUCAUACAGAUGAACAUCUCUGCAUUCCUUGUUAUCCAUUACAUUCUGCACUUCCUUGUCCAGAUUUGCCAUCCUUGUCUAAAGCGAUGUCUUGUUUUCCUAGGAUGGUCAACACCCGUAACAACCCUGCUACUCCGGAGCAGGGUGAAGCCAGUGCAGCUAGGAAUGAAAAUCUGCCUCAACCACCUUCUCUGGUCGAAGUUAUGCUGGAGGCAGAGCGAAAUAAGCGUGAGACCAAUCGCUUGCUGGAGCGGAUUGAGCAGAAUACCGCACGCCAGCCGAGGAACGACCUGGUGUCACUUAAUGACUUUGUCAAGCUGUAUCCACCGAAGUUUAAACAUUCCGUCGAGCCCCUUGAUGCGGAUGAAUGGCUUCGCAGCAUUACCCACAAGCUACGUUCUGUCAAUGUGGCCGAAGCUGAUAAGGUUAACUUUGCUACCUAUCACCUCGAAGGCCCUGCUAGCCUUUGGUGGGAAAACUUUGAGGCUAUGCGCCCGGUCGGCCAAAUUACUACUUGGGCUGAAUUCAGUAUGGAGCAUCACAUUCCGGAAGGUCUUAUGGAUCGCAAGCGUGAAGAGUUCUGCAACUUCACCCAGGGUAGACUGACUGUGGAUGCAUACAGUCGCGAGUUUGGAUAUCUAGCACGAUAUGCUCCUAAAGAGGUAUCCACCGACGCCAAGAAGCAGGCAAGGUUCCGCAAGGGACUUAGCCCCGAGCUUCGUCGUGAUCUUCGUCUGCACGAGUGCACCUCCUUCCAGAAGUUAGUCAACAAGGCCAUCAGUGCUGAGACAGGGCAGUCGGACUUUGAAGCUUCACGCAAGCACUCCCGUGACUUUGGACUUCAUCCGGCUGUGCAUCUCAGAAGCGCCGGGUCUGGAUUCCAAGCACUGCUCUGCCACCCAGGUUCACCCCGAGGCCAUCCUUUGACGCGCCUCGCCCCAACCAAUAGUAUACACCGCCCAAGGCCUAUGGUGGCCCCACUGCUAAUGCUACUCCAUGCCCCAAUGUGAUAACUUGUUUCAAGUGUGGGGAGACGGGUCACUACAUUCGUGAGUGUCCCCAAAACAACCCCAACCAGAUUGGAAAGUCUGUUGGCCGUGGCAAGCCAGCAGGAAAGGUGCUCUACGCCAAGCCAGCCACCACUGCCCGUGGCCAUGUCAACUAUGUCUCAGCAGAGGAGACUCAUGAGGAUCCCAACGUCGUUCUCGGUACGCUUCUUGUUAAUUGCCACCCGGCAACCAUUCUCUUUGAUACUGGAGCAUCUCAUUCAUUUAUAUCUGAAAGCUAUGCUCGAUUGCACAACACCACAUUUUGUGACAUGCCCACCUCCAUGGUAAUUCAAACCCCUGGUUCUAAGUGGCAAACCUCUAAAAUCAGCCAUGGAAAUGAAAUCCUUGUCGACAGAUUAGUCUUCCUUGCAUCACUAAUAGCUCUCAAGUCCUCGGACAUAAACAUCAUCUUGGGUAUGGACUGGAUGUCAGCCCAUUACGCUAAGAUCGAUUGCUCCACUAGAACUGUUCAACUCACCCACCCUUCGGGCAAGACAGCCAAUGUUUUGACCCGAGUGUCUAAGCGUCAGCUUUACUCUUUAAAUGCCAACCCCCUUCCAGACCUUGAAGAUAUUCCGGUAGUCCGUGACUUCCCGGAUGUCUUUCCAGAGGAACUGUCAGGUGUUCCACCUAACAGAGAUGUCAAGUUCGUGAUAGACCUUGUUCCAGGAACCAUGCCAACAUCUAGGAGACCUUAUAAGAUGGCACCCCUAGAACUAGCUGAGCUUAAGAAACAACUCGAUGAGUCCUUGCAAAAGGGUUUCAUCCAUCCUAGCUCUUCUCCAUGGGCUUGCCCCGUCCUUUUCGUCAAGAAGAAGGAUGGAACGGAUCGGAUGGUUGUAGAUUACCGGCCAGUCAACUUGGUCACUAUCAAGAACAAGUAUCCGCUCCCCAAGAUCAACGACCUGUAUGAUCAGCUCGCUGGAUCCUCAGUCUUUUCUAAAAUGGAUUUGAGGUUGGGCUACCAUCAAAUCAAAAUUAAGAACGGGGACAUUCCUAAAACGGCCUUUGUUACUCGAUAUGGCCAAUACGAGUACACCGUCAUGUCCUUCGGUCUAACCAAUGCCCCAGCCACCUUCUCUCGGUUAUUGAACUCGAUCUUCAUGGAGUAUUUUGAUAAAUUCGUCGUGGUUUACCUUGAUGAUAUACUCAUCUACUCCAAGAAUGAAGAAGAACAUGCCGAACAUCUAAGGCUAGUGUUGAUGAAACUUUGAGAGCAUUGUCUUUAUGCCAAAUUCUCUAGGUGUGAGUUUUGGUUGCCAGAAGUAACCUAUCUAGGACAUGUAAUCUCUGGUAAGGGCAUUGCUGUCAAUCCCAAGCGAGUUCAAGCCAUCCUUGACUGGACUCCACCUGAAACGGUCAAGCAAGUUCAGAGUUUUGUUGGUUUAGCGAGCUAUUGCCGCUGCUUCAUCGAGAAUUUCUCCAAGGUUGCUAAGCCUCUAACCGAACUCCUCAAGAAAGAUAAAAAGUUCGAAUGGACGCCAUAGUGCGAGUUCAGUUUUCAGGAACUGAAAAGACGCCUGACAUCUGCUCCUGUACUUGUUCCACCAGAUUUCUCUAAGGACUUCGUUAUCUACUGCGACGCCUCGCGACAAGGACUAGGUUGCAUACUCAUGCAAGAUCGUCAUGUGAUUGCCUACGCUUCUCGACAGCUGCGUCCACAUGAGGAUAACUAUCCCACACAUGAUCUACAGCUUGCAGCAGUGGUCCAUGCACUCAAAACCUGGCGACAUUACCUUCUCGGUAAUCGUUGCGAGAUUUACACCGAUCACCAAAGUCUGAAAUACAUCUUCACCAAACCGGAUUUGAAUCUCAGACAAAGACGUUGGGUCGAGUUGAUUACGGAUUACGAUCUAGGAAUAACCUACACCCCAGGAAAAGCCAAUGUCAUGGCUGAUGCAUUAAGCCGUAAAUCUUAUUGUAACAACCUGAUGUUACAACAAAGCCAACCAUUUCUCCACGAGGAAUUUCGUAAGCUUAACCUUCACAUCGUUCCUCGAGGUUUUCUUUCCACCCUGGUGGCGAAACCUACCCUUACGGAUCAGAUCAUCAAGGCACAGAAGGUAGAUCCGGGAAUAUCCCGUAUCAAGAGAAACAUCAAAAGGGAGUUGGACUGUUUCUCCAUAGAUGAUCAAGGUGUUGUGUUCUUUGGAGGCCAUCUAGUGGUUCCCAAGGUAUGCAACCUGAGGCGAUUGAUCCUUAAGGAAGCUCAUGAAUCCCCUCUCACUAUUCAUCCCAGUAGUACUAAAAUGUAUCAAGACCUACGCCAGAGGUUUUGGUGGACUAGGAUGAAGAGAGAAAUCGCUCAAUACAUUACCAAUUGCGACGUCUGUCGUCGAGUUAAAGAAGAGCAUCAACGACCUGCUGGCACCCUGCAACCUUUGGAAAUUCCCGAAUGGAAAUGGGAUAAAAUCGGUAUGGAUUUCAUUACCGGGUUUCCCAGGACCAAGAGGGGGAAUAAUGCUAUCUUCGUUGUUGUCGAUCGUCUUUCCAAAGUAGCCCACUUCCUACACGUUCGUGAGAGUUUAACCGCUAGCCAGCUAGCUGACUUAUACAUCUCCCGAAUAGUGUCUCUUCAUGGUGUUCCAUUGGAGACUAACUCAGACCGUGGAAGUCUCUUCACCUCUCGAUUUCGGGAAAGUUUCCAAAAUGCGAUGGGAACUCGUCUUUCUUUUAGCACCGCUUUCCAUCCUCAAUCAAGUGGUCAAGUAGAACGAGUCAAUCAAAUUCUAGAGGAUAUGCUUCGAGCUUCUGUCAUCUCUUUUGGUAUGAAUUGGGAGAAGUGCCUUCCAUUCGCUGAGUUCGCUUAUAACAAUAGUUAUCAAGCUAGCUUGGACAAAGCUCCUUUCAAAGUUCUCUAUGGAUGAAAAUGUCGAACACCUCUUAACUGGUCAGAAACCGGGUAAAGACAACUCUUUGGCCCGGAUAUGAUCCAGGAAGCAGAGGAGCAGGUUCACGUUAUUCGUGAGAAAUUGAAAACAGCCCAAUCUCAUCAAAAGAGCCAAUAUGACCGCAAACAUACACUAGUAGAAAAGGGGCCAAUGGUCCAGGCCGGUCCAGCCCAUUAGUCCCGGUUCAAUCCAGAACCGGGACCAAUGGGGGCAUUGGACCCGGUUCGUGAGCCCUGGGGGCCGGCCGGGCCACGUGGGCCAUUGGUCCCGGUUCGUCCUGACCUUUCGGUCCCGGUUGGUGGGACGAACCGGGACCAAUGGGCCUCGCUCCUGGCCCACCAACAUUGGUCCCGGUUGGUGGCUUGAACCGGGACCAAAGGCGUCCCUUUAGUCCCGGUUCAAGUCACCAACCGGGACCAAUUAGUUGCCUAUAUAUACCCCUCGCCUGCGAGCAGAGCACUCCCAGUGCUCUGUUUUUCGUGGCUGGCGAGGGGAGAGCUUUGUGGUGCUCUAGCUCACGUCCUAUGCACACAAGGUGUUCGAUGGAAUGCCCGAGCCACACUACUUAAGCUUUCUCCUCUCCAAGCUCGACCUCCAAGCUCCAUUUUCCUUCAUAUUUGUCUAGGUUUAGCGGUUCGUCACGUCCCGUCCCCAUCUUCACCACCGUUGAUCGCCCGCGCCGAUCUCGUCGCCGGCACCACCGUGGUGAGCCUCUUGUUCUUAUCUUCUUUCUGAAAGGAAAAAAAAUUCUUACUUGUAUGUUUAUAUAGAUACUUGUAUAAUUUUCUUACUUUUAUUAUUGCAUCUUAUAUAGUGCGAUGGUUUUGGUAUCCGCCCCCGUCGGCCCUCGUCCUGUCUAUGAUUCAGAUGUGGUAUAUAUAUAUUAUCUUUUCAUAACUAGUGGUUCAUUUAUUGUUUAUGACAAUUAUGCCGACCAACGUGACAUAGAUUUUAUUUAUCUAGGAGGUUGUUGAACCGGAAAUUCCAACCGACCCUAUUGUCGAGAGGUUAAAUUUAGUUGAAGAAAACAAUUUGUUGAAGGGAAAAAUUAGAAAAAUUGAGGAGGAGAAGAUGAUAUUGGAGUUGCAUGUUGCGGAUGUCAUCGAUGAUCACAAGAUCAAGAUGGAUGCAAUGCGCUUGAAGAUUAGAAAGAUUAGAAAAUAUGCCAUUCAUACCGAGGCUUGGUAUCAUUAUGUCGUUGGAUCAGUUGUUACAUUGGUUGCGAUUAUGAUCGUAUUUGUUUUCGCAUUGAAAUGUUUUACAUAGUUUCAGUGUAUGGUUUAAUUAAUUUAGAUGCCCUGCAGAGCUUUAUGUUGUUAGAUGAGAACUAUGUAUGUACUUUGGUUUUAAUGUGAUGAUGAACUUCUAUUAAUUUCGUCACUUAAUUAUCUAUUCAUGAUGUUCUGUAAUGAUUUUUGACACACUUAAUUAUAUAUAAUGCACGCAGAUGAACCGGCAAUGGAUGUACGGUUCAAGACACACCUCCGAGUACAUUAAGGGCGUGCAUGAUUUUCUCGAAGUGCCUGAGGCAACAAGAAGAAUGGUUUUAUGUGUUGUCCAUGCCCUAUAUGUGGGAAUACGAAGUCUUACUCUGACUGGAAAAUCCUCCACACCCACCUUCUUUACAAGGGUUUCAUGCCACACUAUAAUGUUUGGACGAGGCACGGAGAAAUAGGGGUUAUGAUGGAAGACGGCGAAGAAGAAGAGUACGAUGACAACUAUGUGCCCCCUGAAUACGGUGAUGCUACUGAAGAUCAAGAGGAACCAGACGAUGUGCCCGAUGAUGAUGAUCUCCGCCGGGUCAUUGUCGAUGCAAGGACGCAAUGCGAAAGUCAAAAGGAGAAGCUGAAGUUCGAUCGCAUGUUAGAGGACCACAAAAAAGGGUUGUACCCCAAUUGUGAAGAUGGCAACACAAAGCUCGGUACCGUACUGGAAUUGCUGCAGUGGAAGGCAGAGAAUGUUGUGCCUGACAAAGGAUUUGAGAAGCUACUGAAAAUAUUGAAGAAGAAGCUUCCAAAGGAUAACGAAUUGCCCGACAGUACAUACACAGCAAAGAAGUUCGUAUGCCCUCUAGGAUUGGAGGUGCAGAAGAUACAUGCAUGCCCUAAUGACUGCAUCCUCUACCGCGGUGCGUACAAGGAUCUGAACGCAUGCCCGGUAUGCGGUGCAUUACGGUAUAAGAUCAGACGAGAUGACCCUGGUGAUGUUGACGGCGAGCCCCCCAGGAAGAGGGUUCCUGCGAAGGUGAUGUGGUAUGCUCCCAUAAUACCACGGUUGAAACGUCUGUUCAGAAACGGAGAGCAUGCCAAGUUGAUGCGAUGGCACAGUGAGGACCGUAAGAAAGACGGGAAGUUGAGAGCACCCGCUGACGGGUCGCAGUGGAGAAAAAUCGAGGGAAAGUACUGGGAUGAGUUUGCAAGUGAGCCAAGGAACGUAUGGUUUGCUUUAAGCGCGGAUGGCAUUAAUCCUUUCGGGGAGCAGAGCAGCAAUCACAGCACCUGGCCCGUGACUCUAUGUAUGUAUAACCUUCCUCCUUUGAUGUGCAUGAAGCAGAAGUUCAUUAUGAUGCCAGUUCUCAUCCAAGGCCCUAAGCAACCCGGCGACGACAUUGAUGUGUACCUAAGGCCAUUAGUUGAAGAACUUUUAUAGCUGUGGAAUGGAAAUAGUGUACGUACGUGGGAUGAGCACAAACAGGAGGAAUUUAACCUAAAGGCGUUGCUGUUCGUGACCAUCAACAAUUGGCCCGCUCUCAGUAACCUUUCAGGACAGACAAACAAGGGAUACCACGCAUGCACGCACUGUUUACUUGACACCGAUAGUAUAUACCUAGCAAGUUGUAGGAAGAAUGUGUACCUGGGCCAUCAUCGAUUUCUUUCGACCAACCAUCAAUGUUGAAAGAAAGGCAAGCAUUUCAAAGGCGAGGCAGAUCACCGGAAGAAGCCCUCCAUGCGUACUGGUAUCACGUACUUGCUAUGGUAGUGAUUUACACGUAAUCUUUGGAAAGUGUCCCGGCGGACUAGCUGUUCCGAAUGACGCUGAGAAUCACGCACCCAUGUGGAAGAAGAAAUCUAUAUUUUGGGACCUACCCUACUAGAAAGACCUAGAGGUCCGCUCUUCGAUCGACGUGAUGCACGUGACGAAGAACCUUUGCGUGAACCUGCUAGGCUUCUUGGGCAUGUAUGGGAAGACAAAAGAUACAACUGAGGCACGGGAGGACCUGCAACGCUUGCACGAAAAAGUGGGCAUGCCUCCGAAGCAGUAUGAAGGUCCUGCCAGCUACGCUCUUACGAAAGAAGAGAAAUAAAUCUUCUUUGAAUGCCUGCUCAGUAUGAAGGUCCCGACUGGCUUCUCUUCGAAUAUAAAGGGAAUAAUAAAUAUGCCAGACAAAAAGUUCUAGAACCUAAAGUCUCAUGACUGCCACGUGAUUAUGACGCAACUGCUUCCGGUUGCAUUGAGGGGGCUUCUACCGGAAAACGUCCGAUUAGCCAUUGUGAACCUAUGUGCAUUCCUCAAUGCAAUCUCUCAGAAGGUGAUCGAUCCAGAAAUCAUACCAAGGCUAAGGACUGAUGUGGUGCAAUGUCUUGUCAGUUUCGAGCUGGUGUUCCCACCAUCCUUCUUCAAUAUCAUGACGCACGUCCUAGUUCAUCUAGUUGACGAGAUUGUCAUUCUGGGCCCCGUAUUUCUACACAAUAUGUACUUCUUUGAGAGGUUCAUGGGAGUCCUAAAGAAAUAUGUCUGUAACCGCGCUAGGCCAAAAGGAAGCAUCUCCAUGGGCUAUCAAACAGAGGAUGUCAUCGGGUUUUGUGUUGACUUCAUUCCUGGCCUUAAGAAUAUAGGUCUCCCUAAAUCGCGGUAUGAGGGGAGACUGACUGGAAAAGGCACGCUUGGAAGGGACUCAAUUAUAUGCAGGGACGGAUAUUCUUGGUCUCAAGCACACUACACAGUUCUACAGAACUCUACCUUGGUGACCCCGUAUGUCGAUGAACACAAGAACAGUCUGCGCUCCAAACACCCGGAGCAGUGCGACGACUAGAUUACAUGUGAACACAUCAGGACUUUCAGUAGUUGGUUGGAAGCACAUAUCAGAGGUGACAACACUGUUUGUGAUGAGUUGUACUUGUUGUCCAGGGGACCAUCUUUGACUGUAUUGAUUUGGAAAGGAUACGAGAUAAAUGGGAAUACAUUUUACACGAUUGACCAAGAUCAAAAGAGCACCAACCAAAACAGCGGUGUCCGCUUUGAUGAAACAACCGAGAGGGGAAAGGACACAUAUUGUGGUUACAUAGUGGACAUAUGGGAACUUGACUACGGACACGAUUUUAAGGUCCCUUUGUUUAAGUGCAAAUGGGUCAAUCUGUCAGGUGGCAGGGUACAGGUAGACCCACAGUACGGAAUGACAAUAGUGGAUCUGGAAAAUCUUGGAUACACUGACGAACUGUUCGUCCUAGCCAAUGAUGUGGCACAGGUUAUCUAUGUGAAGGACAUGUCUACCAGACCAAGAAAGAGAAAAGAUAAGGAAGCGAAUACAUCAUACGAUGAGCCAAAGUGCCACAUAGUUCUUUCAGGAAAAAGGGACAUCGUGGGAGUGGAGGACAAGACAGACAUGUCUGAAGAUUAUGAAAAGUUUCAUGAAAUUCCUCCCUUUAAUGUCAAGGCUGACCCCAGCAUCCUGAUAGACGAUGAAGAUUAUCCAUGGUUACGGCGCAAUAAGCAAAUGACACAAGCGAAGAAAAAGUGAAGACUUUCUCCCGCAACUAUUAUGAUGAUACCAUGCCAAAUUUGUAACUGACGAGUAUGAUACCAUUGUCCGUUUUGUACAUGCACAUGCUAUGUGGGUCAAUUUAUGAUACCAUGCCAACUUUCAACUUUUUCAGAGUUCAUUUGAAAUGCUUUAAUGUCUUAUGGUUCGGCCCUCGUAAUGAUUAAAAAUAGCAACAAUAAGUAUUUUGUUGUAAGUAGAAACAAAAUAAAAUAAAUAAAGCAAGAAAGAAAACAAAAAAAACAAAAAAAGUGUUUUCAAAUUUGAAAACUAAUGGUACUAACAGAAAGUUUAUAAUUUUCCUAAAACUAAAAGCAAAAAGAAUUGAAAAAUAAAGCAAAAAACAAAAGACAAUAAAUAAUGCAGAAAUCAAAACAAAAAACAACAAUAAGUAUUUUGUUGUAUGUAGAAACAAAACAAAAUAAAUAAAGCAAGAAAGAAAACAAAAAAACAAAAAAAGUGUUUUCAAAUUUGAAAACUAGGGCACUAACAGAAAGUUUAUAAUUUUCCUAAAACUAAAAGCAAAAAGAAUUAAAAAAUAAAGCAAAAAACAAAAGAAAAUAAAUAAUGCGGAAAACAAAACAAAAAAACUGGAAAAAAAAUAAAAUAGCAAAAAUAAGUAAAGAAAACAAAAAAAUGCCUCCUACUGGGCCCCCACGGCCUGAAUACGACUAGAAACCCUACUAUGGGCCAGGAUUCAGGCCCGCAGUAGGCCCAGAAGGCCCAUCAGGCAAAGCAAUAGCAAGUAGGCCCGAAAGCCUGCGGUGGAGAGGAGCUCGAGAGGGGUGCGGCAGUGGGGCUUAUAAACCACUGCACGCCCCUCUCAACUAGCGAGGUGGGACUAAACUUUGGCCCCGACGCGGGAAGCACAGGGGCCUUUGGUCCCGGUUGGUGGCACCAACCGGGACUAAAGGGGGGGGCAUUGGUACCGGUUCGUGGCACCAACCGGUACCAAAGGCCGCCGCUUCCCGCCCUUUGGGCUGCCGAAAAGGAGGCCUUUGGUCCUAGUUGGUGGCACUAACCGGGACUAAAGGGUGCAUUAGUCCCGGUUGAUUUCACGAACCGGGACCAAUGCCUUUGCUAUAUAAGCAAACACUUUGCAAAAUUUCAGAAUCCCAUCGCCAGUUGCCCCCGACGACGCCGACCCUCCUCGACGCUGCCAGGCUGCUCCACCUCGCCGUCGUCGCCGCCACCGCCAAGCCGUCGCCUCCCCGAGCCCGCGCCAUCCUCGUCGCCGGCCUCCCUGAGCCCGCGCCGUCCUCGUCGCCGGUCUCCUCGAGCCCGCUCCCCGUCCCGCCCCCGCGCGCCGCCGCCCCGAGCCCCUGCCCCGUCCUGCCCCCAUGCGCNNNNNNNNNNNNNNNNNNNNNNNNNNNNNNNNNNNNNNNNNNNNNNNNNNNNNNNNNNNNNNNNNNNNNNNNNNNNNNNNNNNNNNNNNNNNNNNNNNNNNNNNNNNNNNNNNNNNNNNNNNNNNNNNNNNNNNNNNNNNNNNNNNNNNNNNNNNNNNNNNNNNNNNNNNNNNNNNNNNNNNNNNNNNNNNNNNNNNNNNNNNNNNNNNNNNNNNNNNNNNNNNNNNNNNNNNNNNNNNNNNNNNNNNNNNNNNNNNNNNNNNNNNNNNNNNNNNNNNNNNNNNNNNNNNNNNNNNNNNNNNNNNNNNNNNNNNNNNNNNNNNNNNNNNNNNNNNNNNNNNNNNNNNNNNNNNNNNNNNNNNNNNNNNNNNNNNNNNNNNNNNNNNNNNNNNNNNNNNNNNNNNNNNNNNNNNNNNNNNNNNNNNNNNNNNNNNNNNNNNNNNNNNNNNNNNNNNNNNNNNNNNNNNNNNNNNNNNNNNNNNNNNNNNNNNNNNNNNNNNNNNNNNNNNNNNNNNNNNNNNNNNNNNNNNNNNNNNNNNNNNNNNNNNNNNNNNNNNNNNNNNNNNNNNNNNNNNNNNNNNNNNNNNNNNNNNNNNNNNNNNNNNNNNNNNNNNNNNNNNNNNNNNNNNNNNNNNNNNNNNNNNNNNNNNNNNNNNNNNNNNNNNNNNNNNNNNNNNNNNNNNNNNNNNNNNNNNNNNNNNNNNNNNNNNCGCUGCAUUGGCUCUGUUUUUUUUUCAUUUUUAUUAGUUUAAUUAUUUUUUUGUUCAUAUAUAUAUAUAUAUAUAUAAUGUAUAUGUGUAUGUAUGUGGCUAUAUAUGUGUAUGUAGAUGUUCAAAAAUUAUUCAGAGCACGUUUUUAUUCAUAUAUGUAUUUUUUGUUCAUAUGUGUAUUAAUGUUUUCAUAUAUGCAAAAGAUAGAUUUUUAGAAAAGUUAGGGUUUUUUUUUCUAUUCAUAGAUUUUUUUGGUGAUAUUAAUUAUUGUAGAAUAUGCAAAUGUUUGUAUAUUCAUAUGAACAAUGCAUUAGGCAAAACCUUUGUUUUUUUUGAAAUUUUUUAUUUGAACAUUUUUUAAAAACAAGCAAUACUAAAAGAAUGAGAGGAAAAAGGAAAAUAAGAAGAGGAAGAAAGGAGAAGAAGAGGAGAGGAAGAAGAGGAGAAAUAAAUAAGAAGAGGAAAAAAGAAGAGGGGAAGAAGAAAGGAAUAGAGGAGAAGAAGAAAAAUAGAAAUUUUCUAUUUUUCUUCUUCUCCUCUAUUCCUUUCUUCUUCUCCUCUUUAUUUUCUUCUUUUUUUUCUUCUUCCUUCUUCCUCUUUUCUUCCUUUUCCUUAUUUUCCUUUCUCGAGGGAGAAGAAGAAAAAGAAGAGUAAAAGAAGAAGAAAGGAAUAGAGGAGAAAGAAGAAACUUCAACACAAGGGGGGGUUACCGAUACCCCCUCCCCGAUAACAUUAUUUUCCCAUGUAUAUGUAUGUCGCGUCAUUGUCGAUAUAACCCCCUCGAGAUAACUUCGACAUGAGGGGCGGUCGAUAUAUAUACCCCCUCUCGACCGUGAUAACUUAUACAACGGCAGCACCCCCCUCGGCCCUCUCGCUCGACCAAAACUCUUGAGGACACCCAAACCCUAGAGAGAAAACGAUGUUGGUCUCCUACCCCCUCCCGCCGCGCCCCUACCCGACAUAUUAACUCUCUCGAGGCCACCCAAAUUUACCAAGUUAAAAGAGCGUUGUCGUCGAGGCCACCCCAAACCCUUGAAGCGUUGUGUCGAGGAGACCCCAAACCCUAGAGAAGCAGCGUCGAGGCCACUAACAUGGAUCGAUCCAUCUGUAAUAAUAAUUGACAUGGUGUAAAUAUUUGCAGAAACUAUGGAGCACUCCCGAGACGAAGAAACAGAAGCGAUGUUGGGGGACAUUAUCGCACAAGGAAGUGAUGAAGUUGCGUCAUUUCUCAACGACACCGAUGGUCAGGAACGACUGGGUGAAGAAGAGGGCUAUGUUCAUGAUGGCUUCGACCCAUUAAUGCCGGUACAAGAAGAGGACUAUGUUCAUGAUGGCUCUGGUGACACAAUGGAGGUACAAGAAGGAGACCGUGCUGACUGCUCCGGUGACCGAACCGAGUCCGGCCAGGUAUAUAUAUAUAUAUUAGUUAAGCCCGUGCUGACUAGUUAAUUGAUGCAUCCAUUGUUUUGGUAUAUGUACACAUAUUAAUUACUCUCGUCUUUCUUCCUUAUAAUUUCUAGCCCUCCGGAUCGAGCACAACUUCGGUAAGAAGACGAAGCCCGAAGAAAAAGUUGAGCUCGGAUGAAAAGUUUGAGAUCAUAGAAAUCGCGCCCGACGGCGAACCGAUUGAACCCAUCCGGACAAGGAAGGCAUUUUCUGCUCAGUGCGGGGUUCUUGUUAGGGACAAGAUCCCGAUCAGCAUCCAUCAAUGGUAUAAGCCUAAGGAGGAAGACCCCGAGGUGUCUUAUGUCAAUGAUAUGCAGAAAGAAGAUCUUUGGACUGAGCUAAAGGCAAAUUUCACCCUACCGCUAGAGGAGGAUCCGGAGAAGCCAGUUAUAGAGCAAUUAAUCAAUUCUUGUGCUCUUAAGAAGAUGGCAACCCUAAUGAGGAGGUGGAGGAAAGAGGUGAACCAGUUUGUCGAGAAAGAUAAGACACCAGAAUUCAUCGGCAAAUAUGAGAAGAUCAAAGAUCACUGGCCCGCAUUUGUGGCCCACAAGACAUCGGAAAAGAGUAAGAAGAUGUCGGCAACAAACAAGAAAAAUUCUGCAAAGAAGAAGCUUCACCAUCGCACGGGGUCAGGUGGCUACCUCAAAGCCCGGCCUAAGUGGUCCAAGGCUGAGCAUGAUCUGCUUGAAAAAGGGAUCGAACCAGAGACAAUGUACUGGCCAGACCGUUGUCGGACUUGGUUCUUCGGGGCUGGCGGAACCUUGGACCCUGUAACAGGGAAGUGCCAGUGGACGGAUGAGCAACUACAAAUACCAGUCAAGAAACUUCGACACUAUAUCGAUGCAGCGUAGCGAGGGACGCUCCUUCCAAACAGGGAGAAGGACGAGCUCACAAUGGCCCUUGGGAAUCCUGAGCACCCUGGAUGGACACGAGGCACGCCAGGCUCCAUUCCAUGGAAGGUUGGUCUUCCGCACACAGGGGGUUACAAAACCCACGAGAGGAGGAAGAAACUGGAGCAGGACCAAAUGCAGGCGCUGCACGAAAGGGUAAUGGGGCUAGAGGAACGAGAAGCAGCAGAUCGCAGCAAACGACAUGCCGAAGCUUCCCCCGAAGCUACCUCGCCAUCUCAGCGGAGAAGCAGCGUGGCUUCCACCGAGCUGCUUCAGCCGGAGCAUGUCUUGACGUCUCCUGCCAGCUAUCCCGUGGAUGGUAUCACGGAGUCUCAAAGUUGCCACAUUAUGACGCAAUGUAUGAAUUUGAAGGUCAAGGCGGCUGUUGGCCAAGUUUAUCCUAGUGGACCCGGCACAACUUAUCACUGCCAGCCGAUUCCAGAAGGAUUUGCUAAGGUGAUGGUGGAUGAAAUAACGGAGGGAUUUGAGGACCUCCUGCUUGAGCACCCUACCGGUGAAGGGGAGACUAGGCUGGGUUCUGCUCUGAAGACUCCAUGCCUAUGGCGGAAGGAGCUCAUCAACCUUCCGAACUGGACGCCUCCGCCUCCUCCUCCUCCUCCGGCGAGUCAGGGCACUCCGCCUCCUCCACCGCCUCCUCCUCCGGCGAGUGAUGAUCAGGGCACACGUGGCAGCACUCCGCCUCCUUCUCCGCCUGCGCCGGCGCGCCCGAGCAGCCAGCCUCCUCCUUCUCCGCCUCGUCAGCAAGGGCGAAAGAGACCCGCCGCUGCUCCGGCUGCUCCGGCGCGUCGUAAUCCUUCUCCUCCGCCUCACAAAAAGCAAGCAAAGAAGACAUCCACUCCGUCUGCUCUGUCGGUGUCUAGCAGUACAGCCAAAGGCGGGAAGAAAUACAGAUUUGGUCCUUCUCCGAAGACUCCAGAGAAGUUACCGUACGAGAGGACCGAGGAGGAAAACGCGGAGAUCACGCAGAACGAACUGGAUGGCUGGUUUGCAGGGUUGAAAGCAAAGAGACAUCCACCUCCGGAGGAGAAGGUAGAUCCGGUGAAAGUGAAGCGCACUCUGGCUGCCCUGAGGAAACCGGCAAAGUCUCCGCCGAGAACCAACUAUGAGCGCAUUACUGAACAGACAUAUCUCCAAGCGGAGCAGUCGGGAAGUACUGUCAGACAUCAAAGAGCAAAAGAACGAGCAGCUGCGAAAAAAGUUGACCAGCUCGGCGAACAACCAAACCAAUCGUGCCCCCCGCUCAAUGUGUCUAGCGGCAACAUCGUCGCUAAUGUUCCGGGGAUCAUGGACGGUUAUGGCAAUCCACAAUAUUACCUGCCUGACGAUGCACUUCCUGAAUUCAUGAUGGUGGAAGAACGCAGAUACGAGUACGGGAAGCCUCUCAUCAAAGAUGUAAAAUCUCUAACAACGAUGAUGCGAAGAUUCCAUACUUGGUACAUGAAAACCUGCAGAGAGUCUGGGGGGACGAAUAGUUUGUAUCUACACAUUAAAGAGGAGCACGACCUCGUUGGAACUGAUCUGUUGUGUGUUCCAUUUGAGGAGUUCUUCGCGUUCUUCAAUCAAAUAGCCCUCGAUAAAUUAACGGUCUUUUGCUACUGCCUGUAAGUACUAUUUCUGUCAUUAAGUCUCUAUAUAUAGCUUGGCUUUCAUUACAUGUAUUUAUAAUUAAUUAUCCUCAAUAUAUUAUGCAGAUUGAAGAUCGUCGAGUGCAAAAAAAUGAAAUCUAUGAUAUUGGGUUCAUUAACACAAAUAUCAUAGAUGUAUUUCUGGUUGAAAAGCACAUCGAAGAGGCCGAGGACAACUUGCUACGAUCAUUGAUCAAAAAUCAAAACAAAGAUACCAUACUCUUUCCUUACAACACCAAGUGAGUGUUACUGAUCAUUUGCAUAUUCGGUUUCCCUUAUUACUCGAGCGAGGUUAUAGUAAUGUAAUUGAUGAGUUAUGCAUGUGUGCGCAGGUACCACUAUAUUCUUCUGGAGAUUAAGCUUGAGCGUGGACUAGUAACCGUCUUAGACUCGAGACGGAAAGAUCCCAGCACCUAUGCGGACAUGACUGAAAUGCUCAGCAAGUAAGUUCAAUCGAUCAUUAUCGCACCAUAGCGGCAACUUUUUGUUCAUUUCCUGAUAUCUCAAGUAAUAAUAAUUAUUUUCUUUGUCUUGCAGGGUUUGGAAACAGUUCACCACAGUAGCUCGGGGACUGCCGAAGGAGCUGCGAUAUAUAUACCCGAAAGUAAGUACUACUGGCUAGCUAGUUGUGUGCAUCUCCUGUUGAUUCUAUAGCUAUACUUUCAUCACAUUUAUAAUGCUUCAUUAUCAGUUUGAUAGACCUCUAUUUCUCGUAAAGUGCUUGUGGUAGGAACAAGGGAAUGAUUUCUAUAGAUACUACGUGUGCGAGUUCAUCUACAACGCGACUUUGAAAAAUAAGCGGGGCUACUCUCAAAGACAAUAUGAAGUGCGUAAGCAAUUAAUAAUAUUCACAAUUUCUGUUGAGUUUCAUUCAUAUAUAUAUAUAUAUAUAUAUAUAUAUAUAUAUAUGUAUUAAUUAACCCCCUUCUUCAAAUUAGACGUGGCAGAUGCGGAAUGAACUCCUAGAACCAGAUCGCAUGAAAGGAAUUCAAGAGGAAUUGGCGGGAUUCUUUCUUGACCACGUCAUCAAUAAAGCCGGAGAAUACCAUGUGGAACUUGAUUUCAAAUGCUAGGGGACUGUAAUUGAGAGAUCUUAUAUAUUGUACAUGUUGUAUGUAGCCAGUAGCGUCGGACAUACAUGAUACAAAAACUUGUUGUUUGACCAAUCUCUCGGAGAAGGAGACGUCGAUCGAUCACUUCUCUCGGUAUGCAUGACGAACUUCUGUACUUAAUGGUUUCCUUCAUUUUCUUACUAGCUAGCGUGUCGAGAGCCUCUCUAUGUAUAGUACGUAGCGUCGACCAAGCACGGACAUAAGAGAGGACACUUCUCUCUAUUAAUUAGCUAGCUAACACAAUAUAUGAAACACCUAAAUUAACCCCCAAAACCNNNNNNNNNNNNNNNNNNNNNNNNNNNNNNNNNNNNNNNNNNNNNNNNNNNNNNNNNNNNNNNNNNNNNNNNNNNNNNNNNNNNNNNNNNNNNNNNNNNNNNNNNNNNNNNNNNNNNNNNNNNNNNNNNNNNNNNNNNNNNNNNNNNNNNNNNNNNNNNNNNNNNNNNNNNNNNNNNNNNNNNNNNNNNNNNNNNNNNNNNNNNNNNNNNNNNNNNNNNNNNNNNNNNNNNNNNNNNNNNNNNNNNNNNNNNNNNNNNNNNNNNNNNNNNNNNNNNNNNNNNNNNNNNNNNNNNNNNNNNNNNNNNNNNNNNNNNNNNNNNNNNNNNNNNNNNNNNNNNNNNNNNNNNNNNNNNNNNNNNNNNNNNNNNNNNNNNNNNNNNNNNNNNNNNNNNNNNNNNNNNNNCCCCCUGCCUGGGCUCGGCGCGUGGAUGCCUUUUGGUCCCGGUUGGUGCCACCAACCGGGACCAAAGGCCCCCCUGCCUGGGCUCGGCGCACAGGCCACGUGGAGGACCAUCUAUCCCGGUUCGUGUUACAACCGGGACUAAAGGGGGGAGGUAUUAGUAACGACCCAUUAGUCCCGGUUCAUGAACCGGGAGUAAAGGCCCUCACGAACCGGGACUAAUAGGUGUUUGUCUACUAGUGAUAAGCCUAUGACUUAUGAAGUUGGUGAGAAGGCUUACCUUCGGGUUACACCUUUAAAGGGAACCCAUCGAUUCGGUAUCAAGGGCAAGUUGGCCCCUUGUUACAUUGGACCCUUUUGCAUUCUUGCCAAACGAGGGGAAGUUGCCUACCAGUUGGAACUACCUCCACAUCUUUCUAGAGUUCAUGAUGUCUUCCACGUCUCUCAACUCAGGCAUUGCUUCUCGAAUCAUAUCCGCGAAGUAGACCAUGAAACGCGUGAUCUCCAAGAAAAUCUCACUUAUCGAGAAUAUCCAAUUCGCAUCCUUGAUCAAGCCGAGCGUACCACUCGACGCCAGAAUAUCAAGUUUCUCAAGGUUCAAUGGUCACACCACUCCGAUCAAGAAGCAACUUGGGAAAGGGAGGAUCAUCUACGACUUGAGUAUCCCACCUUCUUCCCGAUAGACCCUAAAUCUCGGGAUGAGAUUCUUUUGAGUGGGGGUGAGUUGUCACAACCUAGCUAGUCCAUGCAUUAGAGUGUUGCAUCAUGUCUACCUUUUAUCAGAAACUUGAAUUGGGGAAGACAGAACCCCCCCAGAACCCCUCUAAAUUCAACUAGUGCUUACUAAAAAUAUUUUCAAUGAACCUGAAAUGCCCUUCUAAAAAGUUCACCCUCUUUGUCUUGGGUUAGAACCUCUGGCAAAAUUGGUGCACAAUUUUCUAGGUCAACAGAAGGCCAUUGAAUUAAAUCAUAUCUACUUUGAGUUUGGGCAUUUAAACUAUAUAAAAUAUUUCAAAUGCUCAAAUAACUCCAAACUAAAAUGUUCCAUACUGGAUAUAUUCCAACUAGCGACCAUGUGCAGUUUGGUGAUUUUUGGAGUUGCCUAAGUAUUUUUAGAAAUGCAACAAACUUACAGAAACAAUUAAAAACAGAAACAAAUGGGGAAAAAACCCUUACCUGGCCGAACCAAGCCCCAGCCCAGCUGGCCGGCCCAGCACUGUGCUGGCCCAUGCCAGCCAGCUGCUUUGCCAUCGCCACGCAGGCACAGAGCUGACGCCAGCGAGUGUGAGCUCGCCACGGCGCCAACUGCUUGCCGCCCGCGCCACCGAGCACCUGGGUGAGCUCCACGUCGCCACCCCGACCCCGUGGACACCUCAUUCGCCCCCCUGCCUCUUCCCUCGCUCUCCCGCACCAUGGCCGACGCACCCGUCGCCGCACCGCCGACGUAGUCGCGCCCUCCAUCGUCCCCGUGCUGCACCACCGUGUCCCUUCGCUCCGUCGUCAUCAACUACAUCGAGCAGGCCGAGCCCCGAGCGCUCGUGGGCCUUGCUUCGUCUUCUUUGACCUCAUCUUCACCGAGCACCACCGCAGAUCCCCUUCGCCGUCGCCGCUGCACCAGCUCGUCCCCGACCUCGCCGACCACUCCGUUGUGACCGCCGUGAGCUCAGCCACCUCCCCAUCCUCCCCGUUUGCCUUCUCGUGCACCGUAGCAGCCGCAUGGAGCUUCAUCGCACGCACCACCGCCGAGCUCGUCGCCGACGUGCCUCCGGCCAUCCACCGUCCACACCACGGUAUCUAACAUGCUCAUUGCAUCGCGUAGAGUCUAACGCCCCACUCCACGCGCCUCGCCGUGCCCCGUAGCCACGGGUCAAUUUUCACCCGACUCCGGCGACCGUCGCGGUCGUCGCUGCCGACGUUCCUGGCCACCUCGACCUCAACCACCACCACCAAACGCCGCGGCUUGUUCCUGGCUACACGUAGAUGGUCUUCGCCGUCCAUUUGGUCGCCGGAACGUGCUAACCCACUUCCUCUGCCGCAUCUGGCCUCGCCAGCGGCUAGACGCCGGCGUGUUUGACCCGUUGACGUUGACUGGGUGGGCCAGGUUGACUCCCCUGAGUCUAUGACAAGUGGGCCCCCCCCUCUGCUAAUUAACCUAGUUUAGUUCUUACUAAAAUCAGUUAGUUUAAAUAAGUGCUGACAUGCGGGACCCACUGGUCAGUUUGACCUGAACGACCCCUUUGACCAUUGACGUCACCCUGAUGCACUGCUGACGCAAUAACCAAUUUCUGGAUUUAUUGUUAUAUAGGAAAUUCCAGAAAUUGUUGCAAACUUCAAAAAUUCAUAGAAAUUAAUCUGUAACUCCAAAUGCAAAGAUUUAUAUAUGAAUUUCGAUCAAAAAAAUUCAAUAUAUCCAUUGGUAAUGGUUUCAUGCAUGUCAGAACAAGUUAACCUUGUUGUUUAAUCAAAACAAGUUAAUGCACUAAUAUGACUAUGUUAAAUGAACUACCAUUUGCAUCUUUGAUUCAAAUGAGUUCAUACCUUUCUGUUCUAGCUUGCAUUAGGCCAGGACACAUUCAUGUUGCCAUGUCAUAGCAUGCAUCAUAUUGUUGCAUAUCGUCAUGUGUGGUUCAUGUUCGGUGUGUUUUCGUGAUAGGUUCUGCCUCCGAGGAUAACCCCGAAUAUCCGUCUGAAGGGCAGUAUCCUACUACCACUACAUCAGGCAAGCAACCCAUUGAUCAUUCUGAUACAAACCCAUGUUCUCGCCUCUGCUCUUGUUUACUGCAUUAAGAUAACGCGAUUCAAACUGUUGUGUGUUGUGGUAGUUGAACCCACUUCCUUUGCAUGACCUGUCAUUGCCACGGUAACUAGAUGAAACCCACUAGCAUGUGUAGGAGUUGAUUGAGCCAUAUCUGUGUUACCUACCAUGCUAUGCUUGCUAUGCUUAGAGUUGUGUCAGGUCUGGCUCAUCAGGAUGAUGAACUAGAGUGAAAGGUUGUGUCGGUAACGAGAGUGAAGUGUUGAACACGAUUUGGUAAAGGUAUCGAUGAGAGGCCAUGUAGGAGUACAUGGUGGGUUGUUUCAUUGAGGCCGUCCUUAAGCACUGAGAUCUGUGUGUGUGAUUUAAGAUUCAGCUACUACCACGCAUUGGGCCCAAAACCAAUGGACCCUCUCGACUUAUUAACCACUCUUGUCCUCAGUCCGGGAGUUGCAAGUAGUUUCUGGUGUUUGUAGCAUGCUGGGGGCCGCACGCAGCGCUGACCUUAGGGGUGGGUUGUGUUGCGGUAGGCACGUGGCACGGUGUAUCGAUUCGCCCGUUUGGUGUCUCGGGAACCCUGUUCACAUCGUUCGGGGCCGUUAGUGGAAACCUCGGCCGGACUCCCUGCGGAUGGAACCCAAAUAGGCGAUAAACCUGGACUAGGGACUCGUGUGUUUAGUCAGGCCAUGGCCGACACCCUUGCUGGGCUUCCGCUUGAAGGUUGCCGAGUACACGUCAUGUAGUGGCGAUAAGUGGUGAGAGCGUGUGUGAAGAAGUACACCCCUGCAGGGUACAAAACUAUUCGAAUAGCCGCGUCCACGGUAAAGGACUACUUGGUCACCUAUACAGUUCAUAGACAAGUAAAUGGAUACUUCUAAAAGCCUCAAGAUAAGUGUGAGUGCCGCGGAUGGCCCUGUCGUAGGUUGACGAGAGAGGAUCCACGGUGGAGUAUUGUGUUGGUGAGUAGUGGACUCGUGUGCGACAAAUGUUUUGCAAGUUGUGUCUAUCGUUGGAUAGCUUAGCCAAGAGUCAAAGCUGGCUUGCUGCAAUAACUCCACUACCUUCUUGAGAAUGUGCAUGUAUGAUAGGAUUCUGUUGUAAGACUUGCUGAGUACCUCUGUACUCAUGUUUGCUUAAUUAAUGUUUUCAGACGACAACACCAACCCCUCCGAUGGGUUCUACGUAGACCUCGACGUUGACGAGUGACUAGCCACCCAAGUGGUGAUCCAAGACUUGUGAAGGGCCGAUGUAGAUAGAAAGGCUUCAUCAAGCCCUCUUUCUUUCUAGUGUCUGUACUCAGACUAGUUGCUUCCGCAUGUGCUUGUAUGCUUGUAUGACUUGAGUGUCAGGUCAUGUGACCCCUAUCUGUAUGAACAUGUUAUGUAUGGCUCCUCGGAGCCACUUAAAUAAAGUACUUUGAGUUGUAGAGUUUUGUUGUGAUGCCAUGUUGUAUGUACUCAUAUCGGGCAUAUUGUGUGUAUGUUUGAAAUGCUUGGUAUGAGUGGGAUCCGACAAUCUAGUUGUUUAUCCUUGGCAGCCUCUCAUAUGGGGAAAUGUAGUCUAGUGCUUCUUGAGCGAUAGUAGUCCGCUACAGCCCGGUUCACCGGAGUCCUGCUAGCCCAGUACUACUGCUCUGGACACUUGACUGGCCGGCAUGUGUUUCACUUUGUUCCUGUGUCUGUCCCUUCGGGGAAAUGUCAAGCGGUGGCAUCCGGAGUCCUGCCUAGCCUGCUACAGCCCGGGUUACCGGAGUCCUGUUAGCCCAGCGUUACAUCCCGGAUGUAUACGUUGAUGACCAACAUGCUCGAUGUGAUUCAUGUAUGCAUGUCCCCAUAGGUUAGCGCCGCUUGGGUUCACGACUAGCCAUGUCGGCCCGGGUUCUCAGUCAUGUGGAUGCUAGCGACACUAUCAUAUACGUGAGCCAAAAGGCGCAAACGGUCUCGGGCCAUGGUAAGGCGCCACCCGUGGGAUUACCGUGCGUGAGGCCGCAAAGUGAUAUGAGGUGUUACCGGCUGGAUCAAUGUGACUUGGAAUCGGGGUCCUGACAAUUACUUGCUCCUAUCAUAUGUUUGGUUGCAACAAUGUCACUUCUUCACAUAUGCCAUGUCCCAUUGCUUGUCUCAUGCUUGACUUCAUUGCCUCACACAUGAUGAACAAUUGCUCUUUAUAUUGUGUUGAGUGUUACACUAUAUUCACUACAUCCUAUGCACGUUAUGUUUGGAUUGUCUUGCACUUGACCCAUGUGUUUAGACACUUCAUUUUAUUUGGUGUUGUGAAUCCUUCCUAUGCCUACCAUAGACCUUUCAUUGAGCAAUUUGUGAAUGCUUGCUAUGACCUCGAGGUAGAUGCUUAUGCUCUUGUCACACAUAUUUGCAUCUCUACCUCACAUUUACAUGCUUGUUCCCAUGAUAUUUUUGCUUGUGCUCGAUUGAUAUGCUUACAUGCCAUGUCACAAUCCUUUGUCACACCCUAUGCUAUGCUUGAUGACAACACUUGUUUGGUGAAUCACCUCUUGAAUGCUUGGUUUUGCACGAACGCAAACCACAUUUGUUUUUCCACGGGUUUGUUCUAUUUGCUCCUUUUGAAGGAAUCACAAGAUGGUGCGACACUGGAGAGUGCCCACUUCGAGCUACUAGACGAUGAGUGCUUGGUGAUCGACCACUUCGAUAUGGCACCGCCAUCUCUUUCCUAUGGUGAUUUGGUUUUCGAUCCGAGGUCGAAUCCUUCUCAAGGGGGAGGGGAUGAUGCGGAGCAUCCUAUGGACAUCACCAUGUCAAGAGUCCAUUCGGCAAGUGACACGUGCGACAUCUACUUCUCAUACAUAAAGGUGAAUCUUCUCCUUUACACGUGUUCACUUGACCCCUUCGAGGAUGGUAUACUACUUGACACUUCUCCCGUGUGCAUGCAUAGGUAUUGUCAGAGCUUUACGGAUGUCGAGGAGUGCAAGCGCCAAGGAACGACUACACCGUCCGCGAGGGAAGCAUGGAAGAGAAGGAGGAAGAGAACCUGGUGUUGGGGAACGUAGUAAUUUCAAAAUUUUCCUACGCACAUGCAAGAUCAUGGUGAUGAUAUAGCAACGAGGGGAGAGUGUUGUCUACGUACCCUCGUAGACCGAAGCGGAAGCGUUGACGCAGCGUAGAGGAAGUAGUCCUACGUCCUCCCGGUCCGACCGAUCCAAGCACCGUUACUCCGGCACCUCUGAGUUCUUGACACACGUACAGCUCGAUGACGCACCCUCGAUCUCCAAUCCAGUAGAGGCUCCAAGGGGGAGUUCCGUCAGCACGACGGCGUGGUGACUAUCUUGAUGUUCUCCUGUCGCAGGGCUUCGCCUAAGCACCGCUACAAUAUGACCGAGGUGUAAUAUCGUGGAGGGGGGCACCGCACACGGCUAAGGAACGAUCAAUGAUCAACUUGUGUGUUCUAGGGUGCCCCCUACCCCCGUAUAUAAAGGAGGGAGGGAGGAGGUGGCCGACCCAAGGAGGGGGCGCGCCAUGGGAGGAGGAAACCUACUCCAAGUAGGUUUCCCCUCUUUUUCCUUAUCUUAUUUGGAGGGGGAAGGAAGGAGUACUAGUAGUAGGAAGGAGUACUAGUAGUAGGAAAGGAAGAGGGGGAAGGAGAAAGGAAAGGGGGGGCCGGCCCCCCUCCCCAAUUCGGAUUGGGCUUGGGGGGGCGCGCCCCCCUCCCUUGCUCCUUCUCCCUUCCUCCUACAUGGGCCCAAUAAGGCCCAUAUACCUCCCGGGGGGGUUUCGGUAACCUCCCGGAGCUCCAAACUCUUCCGGAACCUUUCCGGUGUCCAAAUAUAUCCGUCCAAUAUAUCGAUCUUUAUGUAUCGACCAUUUCGAGACUCCUCGUCAUGUCCGUGAUCAUAUCCGGGACUCCGAACAAACUUCGGUACAUCAAAAUACAUAAACUCAUAAUAUAACUGUCAUCGAAACCUUAAGCGUGCGGACCCUACGGUUCGAGAACGAUGUAGACAUGACCGAGACAUGUCUCUGGUCAAUAACCAAUAGCGGGACCUGGAUGCCCAUAUUGGUUCCUACAUAUUCUACGAAGAUCUUUAUCGGUCAAACCGCAUAACAGCAUACGUUGUUCCCUUUGUCAUUGGUAUGUUACUUGUCCGAGAUUUGAUCGUCGGUAUCCAAUACCUAGUUCAAUCUCGUUACCGACAAGUCUCUUUACUCGUUCUGUAAUACUUCAUCUCAUAACUAACUCAUUAGUUAUAUGCUUGCAAGGCUUAUGUGAUGAGCAUUACCGAGAGGGCCCAGAGAUACCUCUCCGACAAUCGGAGUGACAAAACCUAAUCUCGAAUUAUGCUAACUCAACAUGUACCUUCGGAGACACCUGUAGUACUCCUUUAUAAUCACCCAGUUACGUUGUGACGUUUGGUAGUACCCAAAGUGUUCCUCCGAUAAACGGGAGUUACACAAUUCUCAUAGUUACAGGAACAUGUAUAAGUCAUGAAGGAAGCAAUAGCAGAAUACUAAACGAUCAAGUGCUAAGCUAACGGGAUGGGUCAUGUCAAUCACAUCAUUCUCCUAAUGAUGUGAUCCCAUUAAUCAAAUGACAACACAUGUCUAUGGUUAGGAAACAUAACCAUCUUUGACUAAUGAGCUAGUCAAGUAGAGGCAUACUAGUGACUAUAUGUUUGUCUAUGUAUUCACACAUGUAUCAUGUUUCCGGUUAAUACAAUUCUAGCAUGAAUAAUAAACAUUUAUCAUGAUAUGAGGAAAUAAAUAAUAACUUUAUUAUUGCCUCUAGGGCAUAUUUCCUUCAGUCUCCCACUUGCACUAGAGUCAAUAAUCUAGUUCACAUCGCCAUGUGAUUUAACACCAAUAUUCAUAUCUGUAUAUGAUUAACACCCAUAGUUCACAUCAUCAUGUGACCAACAUCCAAAGUGUUUACUAGAGUCAAUAAUCUAGUUCACAUCGCUAUGUGAUUAACACCCAAAGAGUACUAAGGUGUGAUCAUGUUUUGCUCGUGAGAGAAGCUCAGUCAACGGGUCUGUCACAUUCAGAGCCAUAUGUAUUUUGCAAAUAUUCUAUGUCUACAAUGCUCUGCACGGAGCUACUCUAGCUAAUCGCUCCCACUUUCAAUAUGUAUCCAGAUUGAGACUUAGAGUCAUCUGGAUCGGUGUGAAAACUUGCACCGAGAUAACUUUUACGACGGGCUCUUUUAUCACCUCCAUAAUCGAGAAAUAUUUCCUUAGUCCUCACUAAGGAUAUUCUUGACCAAUGUCCAGUGAUCUACUCCUAGAUCACUAUUGUACUCCCUUGUCAAAUACAGAGCAAGGUAUACAAUAGGUCUGGUACAUAGCAUGGCAUACUUUAUAGAACCUAUGACUGAGGCAUAGGGAAUGACUUUUCAUUCUCUUUCUAUUUUCUGCUGUGGUCGGGAUUUGAGUCUUACUCAAUUUCAUACCUUUGCAACACAGGCAAGAACUCUUUCUUUGACUGUUCCAUUUUGAACUACUUCAAAAUCUUGUCAAGGUAUGUACUCAUUGAAAAUCUUAUCAAGCGUCUUGAUCUAUCUCAAUAGAUCUUGAUGCUCAAUAUGUAUGUAGUUUUACUGAGGUCUUUCUUUGAAAAAACUCUUAUUCAAGUAUCCUUUAAUGCUUUGCAGAAUAAUUCUACAUUAUUUCCGAUCAGCAAUAUGUCAUUCACAUAUACUUAUCAGAAAUGCUGUAGUGCUCCCACUCACUUUCUUGUAAAUACAGGCUUCACCGCAAGUCUGUAUAAUACUAUAUGCUUUGAUCAACUUAUCAAAGCGUAUAUUCCAACUCUGAGAUGCUUGCACCAGUCCAUAGAUGGAUUGCUGGAGCUUGCACAUUUUGUUAGCACCUUUAGGAUUGACAAAACCUUCUGGUUGUAUCAUAUACAACUCUUCUUUAAUAAAUUCAUUAAGGAAUGUAGUUUUGACAUCCAUUUGCCAAAUUUCAUAAAAUGUGGCAAUUGCUAACAUGAUUCGGACAAACUUUUAAGCAUCGAUACGAGUAAGAAAAUCUCAUCGUAUUCAACACCUUGAACUUUGUCAAAAACCUUUUUUCGACAAGUCUAGCUUUGUAGAUAGUAACACUACUAUCAACGUCCGUCUUCCUCUUGAAGAUCCAUUUAUUCUUAAUGACUCACUGAUCAUCGGGCAAGUCAAUCAAAGUCUACACUUUGUUCUCAUACAUGGAUCAUAUCUCAGAUUUCAUGGCCCCAAGCCAUUUCGUGGAAUCUGGGCUCAUCAUCGCUUCCUCAUAGUUCGUAGGUUCAUCAUGGUCUAGUAACAUGACUUCCAGAACAUGAUUACCGUACCACUCUGGUGCGGAUCUUACUCUGGAAGACCUACGAGGUUUGGUAGCAACUUGAUCUGAAGUUUGAUGAUCAUCAUCAUUAACUUCCUCACUAAUUGGUGUAGGAAUCACUGGAACUGAUUUCUGUGAUGAACUACUUUCCAAUAAGGGAGAAGGUACAAUUACCUCAUCAAGUUUUACUCUCCUCCCACUCACUUCUUUCGAGAGAAACUCCUUCUCUGGAAAGGAUCCAUUUUAGCAACGAAUGUCUUGCCUUCGGAUCUGUGAUAGAAGGUGUACCCAACAAUUUCCUUUGGGUAUUCUAUGAAGACGCACUUCUCCGAUUUGGGUUCGAGCUUAUCAGGAUGAAACUUUUUCACAUAAGCAUCGCAGCCCCAAACUUUAAGAAACAACAGCUUAGGUUUACUGCUAAACCAUAGUUCAUACGGUGUCGUCUCAACGGAUUUAAAUGGUGCCCUAUUUUAAAACGUGAAUGCAGCUGUCUCUAAUGCAUAACCCCAAAACGAUAGUGGUAAAGAGACAUCAUAGAUCGCACCAUAUCAAAUAAAGUGCGGUUACGACGUUCGGACACACCAUAACGAUGUGGUGUUCCAGGUGGUGUGAGCUGUGAAACUAUUCCACAUUGUUUUAAUUGAAGACCAAACUCGUAACUCAAAUAUUUGUCUCCGCUAUCAGAUCGCAGAAACUUUAUUUUCUUGUUACGAUGAUUUUUCCACUUCACUCUGAAAUUCUUUGAACCUUUCAACUAUUUCAGACUUAUGUUUCAUCAAGUAGAUAUACCCAUAUCUGCUCAAAUCAUCUUGUGAAGGUCAGAAAAUAACGAUACUUGCCACGAGCCUCAACACUCAUUGGAUCGCAUACAUCGGUAUGUAUUAUUUCCAAUAAGUCAGUAGCUUGUUCCAUUAUUCCGGAGAACGGAGUUUUAGUCAUCUUGCCCAAAAGGCACGGUCCGCAAGCAUCAAAUGAUUCAUAACCAAGUGAUUCCGAAAAUCCAUCUUUAUGGAGUUUCUUCAUGCGCUUUACACCGAUAUGACCCAAACGGCAGUGCCACAAAUAAGUUGCACUAUCAUUAUUAACUUUGCAUCUUUUGGCUUCAAUAUUAUGAAUGUGUGUAUCACACGAUCGAGAUCCAACAAACCAUUUUCAUUGGGUGUAUAACCAUAGAAAGUUUUAUUCAUGAAAACAGAACAACAAUUAUUCUCUAACUUACAUGAAUAACCGUAUUGCAAUAAACAUGAUCAAAUCAUAUUCAUUCUCAACGCAAACACCAAAUAACACUUAUUUAGGUUUAACACUAAUCCCGGAAGUAUAGGGAGUGUGCGAUGAUGAUCAUAUCAAUCUUGGAACUAUUUCCAACACACAUCGUCACUACACUCUUAACUAGUCUCUGUUUAUUCUGCAACUCCCGUUUCGAGUUACUAAUCUUAGCAACCGAACAAGUAUCAAAUACUUAGGGGCUACUAUAAACACUAGUAUGGAACACAUCAAUAAUCUGUAUAUCAAAUAUACCCUUGUUCACUUUGCCAUCCUUCUUAUCAACCAAAUAUUCAGGGCAUUUCCGCUUCCAGUGACCAUUUCCUUUGCAGUGUAAACACUCAGUUUCAGGCUAUGGUCCAGCUUUGGGCUUGUCUUUCCACUUGAAGUUCCCUUUCUUUCCCUUUGCCCUUCUCUUGAAACUAGUGGUCUUGUCAAUCAUCAACACUUGAUGCUCUUUCUUGAUUUCUACCUUCGUCGAUUUCAACAUCACGAAGAGCUCGGGAAUCAUUUUUUCGUCAUCCCUUGCAUACUAUAGUUCAUCACGAAGUUCUAGUAACUUAGUGAUGGUGACUAGAGAAUUCUGUCAAUCACUAUCUUAUCUGGAAGAUUAACUCCCACUUGAUUCAAGCGAUUGAAGUACCCAGACAAUCUGAGCACAUGCUCACUAGUUGAGCGAUUCUCCUCCAUCUUUUAGCUAUAGAACUUGUUGGAGACUUCAUAUCUCUCAACUCGGGUAUUUGCUUGAAAUAUUAACUUCAAUUCCUGGAACAUCUCAUAUGGUCCAUGAUGUUCAAAACAUCUUUGAAGUCCCGAUUCUAAGCCGUUAAGCAUGGUGCACAAAACUAUCAAGUAGUCAUCAUAUUGAGCUAGCCAAACGUUCAUAACGUCUACAUUUGCUCCUGCAUUAGGUCUUUCACCUAGCGGUGCAUUAAGGACAUAAUUCUUCUGUGCAGCAAUGAGGAUAAACCUCAGAUCACGGAUCCAAUCCGCAUCAUUGCUACUAACAUCUUUCAACACAGUUUUCUCUAGGAACAUAUCAAAAUAAACAUAUGAAAGCAACAACGCGAGCUAUUGAUCUAUAACACAAUUUGCAAAAUACUACCAGGACUAAGUUCAUGAUAAAUUAAAGUUCAAUUAAUCAUAUUACUAAAGAACUCCCACUUAGACAGACAUCUCUCUAGUCAUCUAAGUGAUCACGUGAUCCAAAUCAACUAAACCAUGUCCGAUCAUCACGUGAGAUGGAGUAGUUUCAAUGGUGAACAUCGCUAUGUUGAUCAUAUCUACUAUAUGAUUCACGCUCGACCUUUCGGUCUCCGUGUUCCGAGGCCAUAUCUGUAUAUGCUAGGCUCGUCAAGUAUAACCUGAGUAUUCCGCAUGUGCAACUGUUUUGCACCCGUUGUAUUUGAACGUAGAGCCUAUCACACCCGAUCAUCACGUGGUGUCUCAGCACGAAGAACUUUCGCAACGGUGCAUACUCAGGGAGAACACUUCUUGAUAAUUAGUGAUAGAUCAUCUUAAAAUGCUACCGUCAAUCAAAGCAAGAUAAGAUGCAUAAAGGAUAAACAUCACAUGCAAUCAAUAUAAGUGAUAUGAUAUGGCCAUCAUCAUCUUGUGCUUGUGAUCUCCAUCUCCGAAGCACCGUCGUGAUCACCAUCGUCACCGGCGCGACACCUUGAUCUCCAUCGUAGCAUCGUUGUCGAUUACGCCAUCUAUUGCUUCUACGACUAUCGCUACCGCUUAGUGAUAAAGUAAAGCAAUUACAGGGCGUUUCCAUUUCAUACAAUAAAGUGACAACCAUAUGGCUCCUGCCAGUUGCCGAUAACUUCGGUUACAAAACAUGAUCAUCUCAUACAAUAAAAUAUAGCAUCACGUCUUGGCCAUAUCACAUCACAACAUGCCCUGCAAAAACAAGUUAGACGUCCUCUACUUUGUUGUUGCAAAUUUUACGUGGCUGCUACGGGCUUAGCAAGAACCGUUCUUACCUACGCAUCAAAACCACAACGAUAGUUUGUCAAAUAGACUCCGUUUUAACCUUCACAAGGACCGGGCGUAGCCACACUCGGUUCAACUAAAGUUGGAGAAACAGACACCCGCCAGUCACCUGUGUGCAAAGCAUGGCGGUAAAACCAGUCUCGCGUAAGCGUACGCGUAAUGUCGGUCCGGGCCGCUUCAUCCAACAAUACCGCUGAACCAAAGUAUAACAUGCUGGUAGGCAGUAUGACUUAUAUCGUCCACAACUCACUUGUGGUCUACUCGUGCAUAUAACAUCAACGAAUAAAACCUAGGCUCUGAUGCCACUGUUGGGGAACGUAGUAAUUUCAAAAUUUUCCUACGCACAUGCAAGAUCAUGGUGAUGAUAUAGCAACGAGGGGAGAGUGUUGUCUACGUACCCUCGUAGACCGAAGCGGAAGCGUUGACGCAACGUAGAGGAAGUAGUCGUACGUCCUCCCGGUUCGACCGAUCCAAGCACCGUUACUCCGGCACCUCCGAGUUCUUGACACACGUACAGCUCGAUGACGCACCCUCGAUCUCCAAUCCAGUAGAGGCUCCGAGGGGGAGUUCCGUCAGCACAACAGCGUGGUGACUAUAUUGAUGUUCUCCUGUCGCAGGGCUUCGCCUAAGCACCGCUACAAUAUGACCGAGGUGUAAUAUCGUGGAGGGGGGCACCGCACACGGCUAAGGAACGAUCAAUGAUCAACUUGUGUGUUCUAGGGUGCCCCCCUACCCCCGUAUAUAAAGGAGGGAGGGAGGAGGUGGCCGGCCCAAGGAGGGGGCGCGCCAUGGGAGGAGGAAACCUACUCCAAGUAGGUUUCCCCUCUUUUUCCUUAUCUUAUUUGGAGGGGGAAGGAAGGAGUACUAGUAGUAGGAAGGAGUACUAGUAGUAGGAAAGGAAGAGGGGGAAGGAGAAAGGAAAGGGGGGGCCGGCCCCCUCCCCAAUUCGGAUUGGGCUUGGGGGGGCGCGCCCCCCUCCCUUGCUCCUUCUCCCUUCCUCCUACAUGGGCCCAAUAAGGCCCAUAUACCUCCCGGGGGGUUCCGGUAACCUCCCGAAGCUCCAAACUCUUCCGGAACCUUUCCGGUGUCCAAAUAUAUCCGUCCAAUAUAUCAAUCUUUAUGUCUCGACCAUUUCGAGACUCCUCGUCAUGUCCGUGAUCACAUCCGGGACUCCGAACAAACUUUGGUACAUCAAAAUACAUAAACUCAUAAUAUAACUAUCAUCGAAAACUUAAGCGUGCGGACCCUACGGUUCGAGAACGAUGUAGACAUGACCGAGACAUGUCUCUGGUCAAUAACCAAUAGUGGGACCUGGAUGCCCAUAUUGGUUCCUACAUAUUCUACGAAGAUCUUUAUCGGUCAAACCGCAUAACAGCAUACGUUGUUCCCUUUGUCAUCGGUAUGUUACUUGUCCGAGAUUUGAUCGUCGGUAUCCAAUACCUAGUUCAAUCUCGUUACCGACAAGUCUCUUUACUCAUUCUGUAAUACUUCAUCUCAUAACUAACUCAUUAGUUAUAUGCUUGCAAGGCUUAUGUGAUGAGCAUUACCGAGAGGGCCCAGAGAUACCCCUCCGACAAUCGGAGUGACAAAACCUAAUCUCGAAUUAUGCUAACUCAACAUGUACCUUCGGAGACACCUGUAGUACUCCUUGAUAAUCACCCAGUUACGUUGUGACGUUUGGUAGUACCCAAAGUGUUCCUCCGGUAAACGGGAGUUACACAAUUCUCAUAGUUACAGGAACAUGUAUAAGUCAUGAAGGAAGCAAUAGCAGAAUACUAAACGAUCAAGUGCUAAGCUAACGGGAUGGGUCAUGUCAAUCACAUCAUUCUCCUAAUGAUGUGAUCCCAUUAAUCAAAUGACAACACAUGUCUAUGGUUAGGAAACAUAAUCAUCUUUGACUAAUGAGCUAGUCAAGUAGAGGCAUACUAGUGACUAUAUGUUUGUCUAUGUAUUCACACAUGUAUCAUGUUUCCGGUUAAUACAAUUCUAGCAUGAAUAAUAAACAUUUAUCAUGAUAUGAGGAAAUAAAUAAUAACUUUAUUAUUGCCUCUAGGGCAUAUUUCCUUCACCUGGCCGCUCCAGAACGAGCGGUACUACCGCCCACUCCAAGCGGUACUACCGCUGAGGCCACCCAAGAGGCACUACCGCCCAGCAUCCGCCCUACUACCGCUCAACCCGACAAACUCCAGUGAUCGAGCGGUAUAAGCCCGGUACUACCGCCCCUCCAAGCGGUACUACCGCUCAAGCGGUACUACCACCCAUGAGUCCGGUACUACCGCCCUGCUUGUGAGCAGCCGCGGGCCUUUGGCCUUGUAUCCCUCUCCCACUUACCCCUUCGUGGCUUAGACUAUAAAUAGACCACCUCCACCUCCUUUCUAGGGUUAGAACAGAUUGAGCUUAUUUUGAGAUAGAGCUUUACUCAUCCAUACGGAUCUACUCCUCGUGAGAGACUGCGGCCUCUUCGGAGAAGAUCGAUCUUGGAUUCAAGACCCCUCGUGGGAAGAUCCGUCUAGGAUCAUCAAGACCUCCUCUUGGAGAUGAACCUUACCUUGUAUCUUUCCCUUUGUUGUUCAUGUACCCUUGUGGAUCUUGUGUGUUUGAUUGUCUAGUGGAUGUGUGAUUGGACUUGUUCUUGAGUGUUUCCCCUUGUGAUUUCUCUCCGUUCUUCCCUGUGUUCUUCGUGUUCUUCGUGGGGAUCCACUCCAAACGUGAAAAAUCGGCCUCUAGGGUUCUACCCUACAUCAUCAUCCUUCAAAAAUAUGGAGGGCCAUUAUUGACGGAAGGGAUAUUAUAUGGCGCAAGGUAUAAUCAGACGCAUCGGGGAUGGAGCGACUACACACAUAUGGGAUCACAACUGGAUUAUGAUGGAAAGCUAUAAGAGGCCAAUAACUAAGUUAGUGCAGAACCCCCCUCAGAAACAUUUUAUGUAUACACGUUAACAUUUCCCAGAUAUAUGAUUAAUAUUUUUGGAAAACUUCUAUUUUUUAUGUGUACUUUUUUAUACAUUUUGUAAUAUCAGAAAUAGUUUUUAUAGAAGGUUUAACAUUUUUCAAAUACAUGAUUACCUUUUUGUAAACUUAUAUUGUUUGACGUUUACUUUUUUUCAUAGACAUAGUGAGGGGUUAUAUCUAAGGAAUAGGCCCAAGUACAUGUAUGGCACAACCAAAUGCCCAUGUUAAUCAAGGAUGUUCCACAAGACAAAUGGGGAAACACACCAAGGCCAAUGGAGCUACAAGGCCAAGGCAUCGGAUACAAGGGGAGAGUCAACUAUGUACAGUCGGAUUACACAGCCCUUAACAGACAAGACUCAUCAGUUGGUCCACUAUUGGAAUCAGGUCAUUUGCCGUCAGCCCAGAAUAGACGCGAAGACUUUGCCGUGAGCAAGUUGACGACAAACACAAUCAGCAAAGACUAUAUCGGCAGAGAGCUAAUUUGACGUCAACUUUUCAUCGCGCUGAUGACAAAGACUUUGCCGUCAAUUAAACUAUGUGUUUGUAGUCUGUAGAGAAAACACAAACGGCAAAGAAAUUAAAAAAAUGGUCAUUUUAAAAUAAUUUUUAGAAAUCUAUAUACUGUUUUUUAAAAUGUUUAAUAUGUACCAAGAAUUAUUUCGUAAGUAUACAAAAGAUGUAUAACGUGUAUGAAAAUUACGUAGACAUCAGAACAUAUUAUAGAAAUGUUAAUCUUGUAUUUAAAAAUUUUAAAUACACAUGCAUAAAAAUGUUUUUGAUGUACAUAAAAAAAUUGUACAUAGUGUGUGAACAAAGUAUGCAUUGAAAAAACAAAAAUCUUGUUGGAAAAAAAUCUCGUGUUGUAUACGAAAAUGUAAAAGGUGUAUGAAAAUAAUUAGAUAUAUGUUUAAUGAAAAAAGGAAAGAAGGCGCAAAAAAUCCGAUUAACACCAAGAUAGGAACAAGAAAACCUGAAGAAGACCAUUGAAAAAAAGAAAUGAAUACAAGAAAGAGGAAGAAAAACAAAAAAAAUGAAGAAGCUGAUGCAGAACAGGGAACUUAGUGAAAACGAAUAAAAAUUGAUGAAAACCGAGAAGAAAAACAAGAAAACUGAAGCAAAAAUUAAGAAAAAUAUGUAAAAAAAAUGAUGAAACAUUGCGAAACAGUGAAAUACUAUGAAAACCAAAGGAAAAAAAGACUCAAAAAUAAGAACGUACAGCAAGCGAAUGAACAACAACUGAGUGAACGAGCGAACAUGCGAGAAUACGUUAAUUGUCUGGCCCAUACUUGUGGAUUCCAGAGGCGAGCCAGAAUAGGCGAGAUAUAGCUAUGACGAUUUGAUACCCUUCAUAGCUUCACGAAUGCUAUAUCUCGCUCACAGCGAAAGUAUUUUUUGUCUGGCCUGAAGGUGAAAGAAUAGCAUCAGGUCGCUGUAAGUUUUGUGAUCCUACAAUCAGAGCUCGAUAAGAUUAAAAUUCAUGUUUCUGACAACCAGUCAUUCGCUCACUCAAUUCCACGUACUAGUUUGGUUAGGUUUUUUUUUCAUUUUUUUCUGUUUUUUAUUUCUUCACUGGCUUUCUUUGGUUUUUUUAUCGGUUUUCUUUGUUUCCUUCACGUUUUACUCUUUCUUUUCCUUUUUACUGGUUUAUCUAUUCCUUUUUUCUUUGUUUCUUUCUUGGUUUUCUUUGUUUUUUCUUUCUUUUGAUGUCAACCUUUUUACAUACACAUUCAACAAUUUUCGUAUACAUCAGAAACAUUUUAUGUAUACACGUUAACAAUUCCCAGGUACAUGAUUAAUAUUUUUGGAAAACUUCUAUUUUUUAUGUGUACUUUUUGAUACAUUUUGUAUAUAUCAGAAAUAUUUUUUAUAGAAGGUUUAACAUUUUUUAAAUACAUGAUUACCUUUUUGUAAACUUAUAUUGUUUGACGUUUACUUUUUUUCAUAGACAUAGUGAGGGGUUAUAUCUAAGGAAUAGGCCCAAGUACAUAUAUGGCCCAAGUACAUUUAAUCAAGGAUGUAGUCCACAAGACAAAUGGGGAAACAGACGGGGGCCAAUGGAGCUACAAGGCCAAAGCAUCGGAUACAAGGGGAGAAUCUACAGUCGGAUUACACAACCCUUGACAGACAAGACUCAUUAGUUGGUCCGCUAUAGGAAUCGGGUAAUUUGCCGUCAGCCGAGAACAUACUCAAAGACUUUGCCGUCAGCAAGUUGAUGACAACUUUUCAUCACGUUGAUGACAAAGACUUUGCCGUCAAUUAAACUAUGUGUUUAUCGUCUAUAGAAAAAACACAAACGGCAAAGGAAAGCACCUUUGCCAUCAGCGGCUAAUCUGCAUGUGUCUUCAACAAGACUCGUCUUGUCACUAGCCUCAAACAUCACAGAUGGAAAAGAAAUUUUUUAUUUUAAAAAAUCUGCGUCGACCACCCUACUUCGCACAUGUAGCCACCGCCUGGCCGCGCUCGCUGAUCACCCACAAGUGUAGGGGAUCUAUCGUAGUCCUUUCGAUAAGUAAGAGUGUCGAACCGAACGAGGAGUAGAAGGAAAUGACAAGCGGUUUUUAGUAAGGUAUUCUCUGCAAGCACUGAAAUUAUCGGUAACAGAUAGUUUUGUGAUAAGGUAAUUCGUAACGGGUAACAAGUAACAACAGUAAAUAAAGUGCAGCAAGGUGGCACAAUCCUUUUUGUAGCAAACGACAAGCCUGGACAAAUUCUUAUAUGAAGGAAAACGCUCCCGAGGACACAUGGGAAUUAUCGUCAAGCUAGUUUUCAUCACGCUCAUAUGAUUCACGUUCAUUACUUUGAUAAUUUAAUAUGUGGAUGGACCGGUGCUUGGAUACUGCUCUUUCUUGGAUAAGCAUCCCACUUAUGAUUAACCCCUAUUGCAAGCAUCCGCAACUCAAAAGAAAUAUUAAGGUAAACCUAAUCAUAGCAUGAAACAUUGACACGGCACAUUAUAAAGAGUUCAACCCAAAUUUUGUAGUAACACUAUUAUAUUUAAAUAGUGAUUAUUCCAACACAUGGAUAAUUAAUUAAGGCACCAGGUUGCGCUUGUGACCAGGAAAGACAAACUUAUGAACUUGCAAGCAUGACAAUCAGAUCGACAUCCACACAAUGUCAAUAUGAACAUUGUCUUGAUACAACUUUAUUUGUAUUUUAUUUCAGAAUUUAAACAACUAGUUUGGGCGGGUCACACACGACGUUGUGUGACACUUUAUUUGUCACCGCUGCAUCGACAUAUCCAUCGACUAAACAACGGUGAUCCAACUAUAUAUUACUAGAGACCUUUCCUUAUCAGUAG